UUUCCUCAAAAUACAAGUAGCUCUCUCAUAUCUAUCCAAAACAUCAUCUAGUACACAAGGGUACUCUAAUGCAUAAAGGAAAAGCUAUCAACUAAGCUCACUUAGGGCGCUAUGCCCUUGCCGCGGUCCUCGCUUGACUCGCCUCUGUGUGUACCUGUACCCCAAAAUCACACGGGGUGAGAACUAUAUAAACAUAGUUCCCAGUGGGUUCGGCCGCCGACGCCGCCGGUUUUCCCACUAGGUCUAAGCUGGCACAGAUAGAGGGAUAGAUAGAUAUACAAAGAUGAACUGCAACUACUCUAUCAUGCCAUCAAUAAUAAUAAUGCAUGCAACAACUACUAUCAUGCUAGUAUCAUGUCAUGAGUAUAUAAAGGUGCAUAGUAAUGUAAACUACAACAUACACUAUGUCUACUCAAGGUAAUAAUGCAAGUCUACUAUGCAUUUCAUGUUUAUUACCCAAUCCACUUGGUUAACCCGAAGGUUAAACCCUCGACUCACUCUCAAUCUCAUAGGUGAGAAGAAACUGCACUCGCACACCGAGACCGUCUGCGGGACAACUACGUCUGCCCCUAGUGAAGUACUCCGGAGACUCGUGCCUCGGUGGAGCGACCACCGACAAGCAAAAACAGACUAGUGAGUAUGAUCCAAUCCUCACAAGAGGAUACCCUGUCUACUAGGGUCAAUGUGCCUCUGCUGCACAAUCAUGAUAUAUAAUCAAUGUUGGGACUUCUACUGUCCCUAAGCUCAUGUCAAGUUUACUACACUAGACUCGAUGCCCCUCGUUCGAUCAUUGUAGUAAGUUUUCUACUAGUUGACAUGCCACAAGUUCAAAUUUAGUGUUUCUACUACACUAGUUCAAUGCCACUCUACUAGGCUAUCAUAUGUCCAAGUUCGGCUCUUUAUGCCAUUAUAGGAUUUCCAUGUCACAUGACCCAAUCCUCAUGCUACCCUAGUCCACGUGUUCAACUCAUAGUUACACUACUAAGAAGCAUGCAAGGGAAAGAAAAUAUACAUCUACUAAUCCUAUAAUGCAAUAUGAUCAACACAUAUAUAACUUAGACAUAAAAAAAAACCCGGAUGCUUAGGCUCUAGAAUUGCGCUUCGGCGUCCCUUACGACGAAGCCUCGGUCUUCUUGGUCCAAAUGAUGCUCAAUCGGCCUUAUUUUGCCGAUAGCUCUUGACCCGCUCGACGAAUCGAAAUUCCGACUUCGCCCCCGUGUUUCGUUACCUAGCAAUUAGGUUUUCAAGGCCUCAAAUGAGAUCAAUCUCAUACUUUACCAAAAACCCUAUUUUGAUGCCCUAGGGUUAGCAUCAAGCUAAACCCACCUCAAAACCCUAGGUUCUAGCUUCAACCCUACCAUUCAUGGUGCCAGGGAUCCAUUUGAUCCCAUCCAAAGAGCUAAAACCCAAAAACCCUAAAUUUCCCAAGCUAGGGUUAAAAGCUUACCUCUAGGUUGGCUUAAAAGAGAGAAGAGAGGAUGAGGGAGAAGUCCAAAAGCUUCCUUUUGUUGAUCUCCUUCUUCUUCUCCUUCCUUUUCUUCCUUCUUUUUCUUCUCCUUUCUUCUUCUCCUUCUUUUUCUCCUUCUUUUCUAGAGAGAGAAAGCAAGAGAGUGUGAGGGAGGGAGAGAGAGUGGACUGAGAGAGAGUGAGAGGGAGAGAGGGACUAAUAAGCCCUCUAAUGUAACAAUAUCCAGCUGGCCCCCCCCACUUUUCACUCUGUGCGCAGUCCUCACUGGGCGUUCUGCGCGCGGAGGGACCGGUCUCCCCGACUUGGGACCGGUCCCCGAGAGCUUCAGCUCGGGUCACGCGUUCGGGUACCGGUCUCUCCCAGAGAGACCGGUCCUCGGGAGACCGGUUCCUUCCUGAGAGACCGGUUCCCGAGAGUUGGGACUGUCAGACUUAGCCAAUUUUUGGCUUCUCACCUGGAUCACGUUCGGAACCGUCCCUCACUGCCAGGGACCGUUGCCUCACAACCCGUCAAUACUGCAGCCGAGGGACCGUCCCUCCUACCAGGGACGCGGUCCCGAGAGCAUCUUGCUCCAUUGCAGGUUAUUCGCACUAUUUGCUCUCGUGACAUCUUUCCAAUGCACUUUUGCUGAUUAAUAAUAUCUUUUAUUUUCCAAAGCUCACCAAACACGAACCCUUGUCGAUCUUGAUGAAGUCAAUCUCGUACUUUUCGAGAAUUCACUUCCUCACACAGGUUUUUCAAGCUAUAAACAAUUCACAAAUUAACCUAUUAUUAAGAAUGCUCAAAGAUGCCUUAUGCUCAAAAUAUGACACACGUAAACAUAACAAAUUUCGAUGUCCAUUGAAUGCACGCCGCACCACUACAUUGAGGUUACAAGAUGCCUUCGUGAAUUUUCGUUCAAAUUUUUGAAGGCCCUAAUUCCGCGGCUGCGGCUGAUCCUGUUACGGAAAAAACACGUUUUUGUCACAAACUUGCAUCAUACACCUCGUCGGAAUUGUCGAACCGCAGGCGUUCCAACGCUUUAAAAAUACCUCAUUAGAUUUCUCAUAAUCACAAAUAGAUCAAAACCCAACUUGGCAAAACCCCUCUUUGGAAUGCCCUACACACAAUUUUGCAUUUCCCUAGAUUGAUCUCAUUGCUCGACAGCAAAAGAAAGCUAGAAUCACCUUGGGAACUUCUCUUAAUAAGUUCCUAAAAUUUAGAACCAUCCCUAGGCAUCUCUUUGAUCCGCUAGUGAUCCACGAAUAGGGUCCAAGAAUAUACCAUAGUUUUCAUGAGUUCAAGGUCUUAAGAGAUAUCUAGUUAAAUAGCAGGAUCAAAACCCUAAAUCCCAAGGUUUAAAACCAAACCCUAGACUCUCUUGUGCAAUAAACUCACCUUAGCCACGAGCUCACCAAAAUCCACCUUGUUGGAAAGCCACCAAAGCCUCCAAGCCUCCAAAAUCCAACUUCUUCUUCUUUUUCUCCACCUUCUCCACCAAACCCUAGGAUUUUUUCUAGAGAGAGAAAGAGAGAAAUAAGAGAGAGAGUGUUUUGAGAGUGUGCUGUGAAAGGGAGAGGGCUUAGGCUCAUAACAUGUUGCAACAAUUGCAAACAAACCCCCCACAAAGUCUUAUUUGCAUCAGACUUCAAAGUGCUGUCUGGGGCCUCUUGUACCGGUACAAGGAUUCUUGUACGGGUACAAGGCCAAACAGUGAGCCAAACCUGAGAGCUGCCUCUCGGGUGCGCAGGGUCUGUACCGGUACAAGGGGUCUUGUACCGGUACAAGGCCUGGACUGCAGCAACCCGAGAGCUACUCAGCUCGGAUUGCGUUGGUUGUACCGGUACAACCAUCACCUUGUACCGGUACAACGGCUCCAGAAUGCUGUUUUAGGCUUCGAUUCGACUCUACCUCGCAUCGGUCGAUGCUAAAACCAUUCUAAGUCUUCCAAAACUCAUUUUUAGCCCUCCCAACAUUAUUGGAAUGUAAGAGGAACUUGUCCAACACUUUCCUUCGACGCUUUAACCAAUUUGGUCAAAGUUCGAUUAUUGUUUUCGGGUUUCGAUACGUUACACUUUCUAAUAGCGAAGAGGCAACAAGCAGUAACUGAUUUUGAGGCUGAAUUAUAAUUUGCCUUACAGUUGGUAUAGGACCAAGAAAGUUGCGCCCAGAGAGUUCAGUCAAUAAACGAAACCCAACUGUAUUAGUAUUCGAGUUGAAAAUUUAUAUUAGGAAGACGGACUACACAAUGAAUCUUAAUAAAAGAAAUUUCCUUCUCUAAGCGUACUUGCCGUCAAACUGCUACUCUUAAGUAUCACACUAAUAUUCUGUCCCCAUUCUUCCCAUUCGCCUAUCUAAAUUCUCCCUCUGCACUAUUAGUAAUUAUUGUUUCAUAUUACUAUAUUGUUAUGUACUUGCAUGGUUCAGUGUAGCAUUUUAUUUGCAACUACUCAACAUACCACGCCUACCUUCAUAUGCUUCACAUAGUACACACAACUAAUCAUCCAACAUUAAUCAGUUUCUCUUCUCACUGUGAUGAUUCCUUACCUAUCUGUAUGCUUUCACACCACUUUUUGUAACAAAAGAAAUAAUUCCAAUUACAUAAAAUUAUACUGCAUCUAUUGUUCAAUACGCCUAAUUUUCAGACACCAAGAAACUAUUCAUCUAAAAAGUACUUCUCACAGACCAAGAAACUCCACAUAUCCAUUACUUAUACACUAAAGGCUGUGGAGUAGGGCUCAGGCGCAAAGCCGUGCACCUCGCCCUCUACUGCGCCAUACUGUGUUGAUCGGCAUGGGUCAACAUCCUCCUUUCUUUUAAGUGUUCAUCGCACGAGCUGUGUCCACUGUGUCAUGCCAUAGCGAGAAGUCAUCGGUACAAUAUGACCCCCAUGCCAAAAGCACAGCACAACAUCUUCUUUUCUUUGAAAUUAGCAAGUAGUUAUCUAAAUAAAGUGCAAAAAAUUUGAUAAAGAUAUAUAGCAAGCAAUUAGAGCAUAUUGGUGCUAAAGAAAAUAAAUAUUUGAUGAAAUAGUGUGUCAACAUGUAGGCAUUUUUGUGACCAGCACACAUCGAAAUGGCAUGGCCACGCACCGUGCUGUAUCAUGUCAUACCAUCCCAAUAAGUUCUUGGCACAACCCCCUACCACGACACUUAAAUUCUUGUGAUCAUGUUCGCUUCCUACCGCCCCACCACCUCACCCUAUCCUCUUAUCUCUCUCUCUCUCUCUCUCUCUCUCUCUCUCUAAAUUCAUUUUUAACCCCAACACCUUCUUAUCUCUCUCUCUCUCUCUCUCUCUCUCUCUCUAAAUUCAUUUUUAACCCCAACACCUUCUUAUCUCUCUCUCUCUCUCUCUAAAUUCAUUUUUAACCCCAACACCACCUUUACCCCAAGAGGAUAAGGUUGACGGCAGCCCUCAGAAGCUCAUUCCUUCUAGCUUCUUUUCUCCCAUCUAAGGUUAGCCAAAGGUUUAAGCCAUGACAUCCAGGUUUCUGUCUGCCAAUUUCACCUCCUUGGUAGGGAAGUCCAUUGCCACCUGAGCUUCACCCAAAAUUUGGAGGGGCUCCCAAGCAUCACCUUUUUCUUCUUAUUAUUACUAUCUUCUUUUCUUUUGGUUGUCUUCAUUUUCAGGCCAUGAAGAUCAGUCCUGAUGUGCAUCAGUUGCUUUGUAACUGACAAGUUUGGGAAGUUACAUGAUUUGCACAUUAGAUUUUUGAUGAGUUGACCUGAAGGCUUUUAAGUUUUUAGUAAGAUGGUUGUUACUAAAAUGAUUGAAAUAUUACAUUUAAAUUUAGAAUUUAGAUGUUAAAGUGCUCAAUUAAUUUGAUUCAGCAUUAGGUCUAAGGUUUCCUUUUUUUUUCUUUUGAAUGUUUAGGCCUCAUUUGGUAUCGUUGCCUUUCUUUUAUUCUUUUUAAACAUAUUCUAUAUAACUUGAUAUGCUGAAAGAAAGAUUUUCCUUCUGCUAUUAUCACUGGUUAGCUUACAAUGCAUCCAGUCAAGUGGUAAAGACAACUUGUUAAAAAAAAAAAAUUGGAAGCAAAGAAAAGUUAUUUUCACGUUUUUGUUGUUUGUUGUUAAGGAAAUAGUUUCAAUGAGAGGAUUGCAAGUAAUCCACUGUCCACUCCUACACUUUUUUAUAUAUAAAAUUCUAUUUAAAAAAUAAAAAAUAAACACGAUAUCAAAUAAGACCUUAAUGUUAAGUUUAUGAUUUGGCUCUAUGGCCUUGAUGAUUACUUUAAAAAUGCUCAUUCUUUCCUCUUUCUUUGAUGAGAUUUUAAUGUAACAAUUGACAAAGUUCGGAUGGCAUACUCCUUUGUAAGCAACCAUUUGCAGGAUAACUUUUUUUGAAAUUGGAUUUAGUUUUAAUGCUUUAGACCAAGGAUUUAAGUGUCGUGGCACGGGAUCGUGCCGGAAACUUGCCGGCACGGUGCGUGCCGAGCCGUGCCGAUGUGUGCCGGUCAAAAAAAUUCUUGUGUGCCGACACAUAAUAGCAUGAAAUAUUUAUUUUCUUUAGCAACAAAAUAUUCUAACUAUUUAUUAUGUAUUUUUAUCAUAUCUUUUGAACUUUAUUGAGAAAAUUACUUACUAAUUUAAAGAAUAGAGGGUCUUGAGCUGUGCCAUCGGCACGAGGUUUGUAUCGUGCCAGUAUCUUGUUGGCACGGUACAGCACGAUAAAUACGGCCCGUGCCGACGGGUACUUAAAACCUUGCUUUAGACAACAUAUUACUUGCUUUUAGUUGUUUUUGUACUUUUAUAUCACAUUAUUUUAUAGAUAGACUGGUCCGUCUGAGCCUUAUUAUUUUUUGUCUUUUUUUAAAUUGCUUCGACCAAUAAACUUUUAGCAAAAUUCAAAUAUGCAUAAGAAAUAUCAAACAAGUAACAAUUGAAGUACUUUAAUCAGUAGUGCAAAAAGCCUUGGAAAAGGAUUUGCAUUUCUUCCAUGCCAUCUCAAUAUGCAUUCCAACUUGAGAUCUUUUUGCUCAUUAUUUGUGUCAUGUCCCAAGGGCACCUAUCCCAAAGCCCACGGCUAGCUUUACUGAUGAACCCUAGCCCUAAUAACCUGUUGGGCCCAAAUCCACCAGCCCAAAAUGUUUAAGCCCGAUUAUAAGCUCUAAAUUAUCCCGCCUUAUAUACCCCACAUCAAAAGCCCCUAGCUGUUCGAUGUGGGAUUAUUCGCUAGCCUGGGGCGUCAGAGACUCCCAUUUUUUAAGCCCUAACGUUCUCGUUGGGCUCAAUCACACAUAUAACCUAGGUUCGCCAGGUGAUGAGAGACCUCAUCUCACACUUUUGGCUGGCAAACCUCUCCGAGACCAUUGUCACUUCCCAGAAAGUCACAUGCGACUCCCUAGCCCUGCUUAAGCCUGAUUGUUAGCUCUAGAAAACCAAGUUUUAUACCCCACAACAAGCUCUCACCUAUCCAAUAUGGGAUUAUUCGCUAGCCUGAGGUGUCACAAUUUGAGCUCAAUUUUUGAUGUUUGCUUACUGCACCCUAAUUGUUCGAUCUAAUAUUUUCAUGUGAAUUACUAGCCUCCUUCAGUGUCAUAAUGCCUCUAAGAGUUUAUGUAGACAAAAAGUACUUAGGUUUCAACAACAAAGUAUGUUUUCUACUGAUUUCUUCCAACUGUUAAAAAAUAGAUCUACUAUCAAAUUAAUUCCUUUCUUUUACCAAUCUCAAAUGCUCUCCACCACAGAAGGAGAUGCAAGAUAAUGGGCCUUUAACAAGCUGCAUUUAAUGUAUUAUCUCUUCCAUUUUCAAUAAGGCUUAUAAUAAGGCCUUUAGCAAGGUAAUUAUGUUUUCUAUAAUUAGGAUAUUCGAGUGCGCCCCUAAGUGCCAAUCUGCAAAAUUAUUUCAAUACAUUUCUGUAUUUUGUUGUCAUUGGUGUUAAGCUUGCUAUUAGCUGAGUUGAUAAUUGAUUACUUUUAUCUUCUGCUCUUUAGUUUCUAAAAUUUGACUCUCCAAUUUGGAAACUAUAUGCCAUUCAAAACCAAAUCAUGCCUUGAGUUUUUAAGGGAAAAGUAGCCAGAUUACCCAUACAAAGCUACAGCACUGUUGUUCUACAAUCUAUAAAACUCUCACCCAAUGUCACUUGCCACGUAUACGAAUUUUCUUUCCCUUUUUCCAAUAGUAUACUAUUGUUAGAAAAUAUUUAUCAUUGAGACAUUUGUUCAAUUACUUUUAAUGGCAUAUCUCUAUCUGGAAGUUUAGGAACAAAACUCUAGAGGACUUCAAAACUUUUGUGCUUUGUUUGUACUUGUGUUUCUUAGGUCAACUUUCUAAACUAAACAAGAAAAAAAAAAUCCUAUUAGUAAAUCGAGUACCAUAAAGGGGUUUUCUCCCCCAACUAUAGUAUAAUUACUGAUCCAACUUCUAUAAUUAGGACUUUCAACUGCAAUUAGACAAAAACUUCUGUAAUUAGGACUUUCAUCAACAUUUAGUUUAGGCAUAUUGGCUCAGUUUUUCAAACUAAACUAUAUUUUUUACACCAUUUUCUGCAAUCAUAUUAAUCUAAUUAAAGAAUAAUUCAACUCCCUAGAUUACCAAACAUAAUUACUCGAAUAUAGUAAAACCCCUACAAAGAAAGCUUCAUAGAAGUGCAUAGUAUCAAGUUUUUAUUGUAUAUUGAAAGUUUGAUAAUGUCAGAACUCAUAGGAAUCCUUUUCAGUAAGGAAACCUACCACAAGUCAUUGGUUGGUCGUGUCCACUUGGUUUGCUGCUAACGUAGAAUAUAAAGCUUACUUGGUUUGAGAUUUUUCUUCAUUUAGAAGAAAACAAUUCUCUGUAUGCCAUUUUGAGACAAUAAAAACUACCAUUUUGAGCAAAAAUAUACAAAAAAGAUGAGUUAAAUAGACUGUUUUACAGUGCCAACAGAGAUGAAAUAUAUAUUUUAUUAAAGAUGGAUCGAAUCUAAAGUUAUUAGGAAUUUUCCGCUACUCAUGAAUGCACAUUUAGUUGUACCAUUGGCUUAAAUAAUAUUAUUCAUUUCGAUAUGUAGCUGCCGGGCUAAAAAAUAUUGGGGGCAGAUUCGCUCCACUACUGGUUGUAGCAGUGUUUCAAAAAUCGUGAGGCACAAAAAGGCCCAAAGGCCUUCUGGUGCCUAGGCAUGUGGCGCACUGCGAGGCACGCGCCUAAGGAAUAUGAGGUGCACUUCUAAUAAAAAUAAAACGCUCUAAGCAAGACUAGUUUAAAUUGAUGUUUUACAUAAGAAAAUUCCAAAAUAGCCAUAUAAAAUAAAAUAAGCAUAAGAAAGCAAAGAAAUCACAUGCAUAAAUGUUCUCAAACUAAUAUAUAUAUAUAUAUAUGUAUCUAUAUAUUUAAUUAUAUAUUAAUUGUAUAUACUAUAUAAUAUAAAUGAUUAUAUUAUAUUACAUGUAUAUAUAUAUUAUAUAUAUACAUGAUAUAUUAUAUAUCUUAUAUAUAUACAUGGGUAUAUAUAUAGUUAUUAUAUAUAUCUUACAAUGUAUAUAUAUAUAUAUACAUGUAGCUCAUUUAUUUAUAUGUAUCUAUAUAUAAUGUAUAAUAUUAUAUAUUGUAUAAUAUCAUAUAUGAUAUAUAUUAUAUACAUGUAUAUUAAUAUAUGUAUAUACAUAUAUAAUUAUAUACAUAUUUACAUAUAUAUAACAUAUAUAUAUAUUAUAUGUCAUAUAUACGAUUAUAUGUAAUAUCUCACAAGUUAUUAUAUACAAAUAGCAUUAUUAUAUAUACUACAUUAUAUUAAUACUAUAUUAUACAUUAUUAUAUAUACAUAUUCUAUAUAAUAUACAUCAUAUAUAUAUAUAUACUAUAUAUGUUUCACUUUAACUUAAGAAAAGGCGAUUGCUAUAUGUAAUAGGACUCCAGAGGAAGGAAAAAGGAUAGUAGAAAGAAAAAUGUAUAGUAUGAGAUUCUUGAAAAGAGAACUCAGAGAUUAAUCGUACUCGACUCUACCGCCGGACAAUUGAGCAUGGCCAUGGCCUCUUUUGCUCCUCCCUGGAAGCAGCUCGUCAGUGUACCUGAUUUCAGCAAGCUUUGUCCCUUCUUCUUUCCAAUAUUCUCAUCGAUUCCUUUGCGCGCGGCAGUGCGCACAACUCGCUUCCUUGUCUGCCCCUCUACUACCCUCUCCCUUCAACCUCUAUCUCACUCAUCCACUAGCAUCCUCUUCCCCUUUGAAAAGCACCUCCGUGCUGCGCUCUGCGGUGCCGUGCCACUGCUCUGGAGCCCCCGCAGUGGCGACCUCUCCGCUCUUCACGGCCUUCAUGGCCUCCCUUCUAAUGCUCUCAAGGCGGCGCCACUCUGCCACGGCCUUCUCCCACAUCUCCGCCUCCGCGGGGCCUUCAAGCCUCUCGAGGACCCCGUCCUCGUCAUCGCGGUAGCCGUAGUAGCUCGCGUCGAUGCGCUUGUAGAUGUCGUAGCGCGUGCGGCGCCUUUUCUCCUCCGGGGGCUUCUCGAAGAGCUCGAGGACGCUGGGGAGCUUCUUCGCGGCGCCAAAGUAGCGGUAUCCGGGGCCGCGGCCGCUAGGGUUCGGGACGUCGACGAUGUUGCCCUCGAGGUCGGUCAUCCUGGGGGCGCCGCGGGCGUAGUUGGGGCCGCCGAGCUCGACGAUGCGGCGCUCCCAGUGGGCGCGCUCACGGAGGACCUUGUUGAUCUCGUCGUUGAGGUCGUGGAGGCGGUGCUCGCCGAGGCCCUCGUUCUGGAUUUCUGCAACCUUCGCGCCGAUCUCGCGGAGGAUCUCGGAUCGCCAACGAUCGGCCUCCGCGAGGUCGCGGCACUCCGAGGCGAGGUAGGGACGCCGCUCCUUGGGCUUGCGCUUCUCCUCCUGCUUCAUGGCGAUGAAGCGGUUCAGCAUCGACUGCGCCUUCUCCUCGUUCCGCGCCAUUGUCGGAGCUCGUUAGCGACGGAGAUCGCCGGAACCCUAGGGGGCAGUAGAGGCUCGCUGGGAAAGAAGACGACGCGGAGGAAGGGCUUAGACCAGCAAAAUCAAAACCCUAGCGAUUGGGACUACUACAAGAGCCGAACCGCAAUUUAUAAAUCAUAGUUUACUCAAUGAAGUGUAUUUCAAGUUAAAAUCAGAUUAGAAUUAAUAUCUAUUAGAAUUAAUAUAUCCUUUAUAAUUUAUAAAUAUUUAAGUAUUUCUAAAAUAUCUCUUUUUAGAAUUAAUAUUUAAAAUAUUUCUAGUAUAAUGUUAAAUCUCUAUUUUUAUAAAAUUAAGUUAGAAUCAUAUUAGAAUUAAUAUCUCUUUUAUGAUUUAUAAAUAUUUGAAAAUUUGGCAACAAAAUAUAUACAAUAAUAUAUAGAAAAUUAGAAUAAUAUUUUCAUAUAAAUUCUUUCGCUCGGGAUCAUCUGAAACACAAUUAAAAAUUCUAGAAAUUUAGACGGUGUACUGCAAUCGACUCUCAUAGCCGGCGUGCGAAGAAAAAGAACAACUCUAAAGACAAAAAAAAUUGCUAAAAAUUAAAACAGAAAGAAAUUCGUAAAACAAGACUAGACUAAAUCCUAGAAAUUGCAAUGUCAAUUCAACAACGAAAAUAUAUUCAAAAUCUAUGUUAUUUUUUAUCACAAUUUGGUUAUGAGAAAUGAAUUGAUACUUUAUAAGAAAUAAAAAAAAUUUAGCCGUUGAUUAACAAAGGAUAAAUAUGUCAUUUUAAUAUGUAGCAAAUUAAAAGGUUACAUGUUACAUCAUAUCGAGAGUAUUUUGGUAAUUAAAUAUUCCAAAAUUUAAGAAAUUGUUUGUCACGCCCCGAGCCCGAUCCUUUUUGGCCGGUUCGAGAGCGUCAAACAGACGCCGAACGGACAGAGCUUCCUCUGUCCGCCCAAAGCUCAACACUAGUAUCAAUAGAGUACAAAUUUGCAUAAGCGGAAGCAUACACAAUGGCUUGGACAAGGGCAAGCAAUAGCCAAGGUGAAAGAAUUAACCAUUCAGUAUACAAGUAAUAUGACUAAAUUUAAAUCACAUACAUGUAUCCAACUAUAAUCAAGUUCUGUCACAUUCUUGCAUCAUUUCUUUUUACAUCUCAUUUCUCCCAAAAUAUAACUUUUGACAUUUAAGGUAAACAUCCUUUACUUCAUUCAUUAAAGCAAGUUCAUAAUACUAAAAUCAUCAAAUACAAAAGAUGAUAGUAAAGGGUGUGCAACUACAUAAUGAAAUCCAUCUCGGGCGGUCUCUACCUAGGGCGCGAUGCCCUUACCGCGAUCAUCUGCCGGCUCGCUCGGUCCCGGCUCUGUGGAAAUAGUGGGGUGAGAACUACAACAAAGUUCCCAGUGGGUUCGGCAACCAACCACGCCGACUAUCCCACUAGGUCUAAUCAGGCAUAAUAGAAGAAAGAAUAGAUAAUAACCAACUAACAAAUGCAGCUAAUAUGCCUGAACAAUAAAUAAAACUAUGCUCGAUAGAAUGCUCAUGAUGAAUGCAAGAUUAACUUUUCAUUACCCAAUCUCAUGGCUAGCCCGUAGGUUUCGCCCUCACAAACUCACCAACCCAAAUCCCUAUUGUCGGGGAGAUAACCGCUACAACCCGACGGGACCGCCCUCUGGGGAGAUAACCGCUACGACCCAGUGAUGACAACUCCGGAGCACAUCGCCCGAGGGGGAGCUACCGCCCUCGAGCAAGGACUAUUAGGUGAGUACGAUCAAUCCUUAACUUUAAGGAUUUUAAGUUCAAUCCAUUCCUUGACUUCAAGGAGAACCAUGUACAUAUGACCCUUAAUUCUAAGGUGUUUAUGUCAUAAUGUCACUACUUGUUCUUGUUCUUUGUCAAUGAUGCCACACUUGUUUUCUAAGUCCUCUAGACUCAUCAAUGUCACUUGCUAAAUCUAUGUCAACAUGUCACAUUUGUUUACUAACCCUUCUAGGUUCUUGUCCCUUGUCAUGCAUAUAUAGGGUUACCAAUUCUCAUUCAUUUACUACUAUUUCUCAAGCAUUAGAACUCAUAUCAUGCAAAGAAAAUUUACAAUUAACCCUACUAUGCAACAUGCUCAAUAUAAAUACAUAUGCUCAAAUAUGACGCUUUAGACAUAAAGGGAUUUCCGAUGUCCUUGGAAUGCACCACCCACCUUAGAUGGUCACAAGGAUGCUACGGUGAAUUUCUUGGAAUUUUUGAAGCCCUAGUCCGCGUGCUGCGGCUAUCUGUACGGAAAAUGACGUUUUUGUUAAUAACUUUGUGUACACUCGUCGGAUUGUCGAACCGAGCGUUCCAACGCGUUUAAAAUACCCUCAAUUAGGUUUCUACAUGAUCAAAAUAGAUCAAAACCCAACUUGGGCAAAACCCCUCUUUGGGAUGCCCUAACAUGUUAUUUUUGCAUUUCUCCGAGAUUGAUCUCAUUCCUAAGCAAAAGAUAGCUUAGAUUCACAUGGGAAGCUCUCUAAUAAGGUUUCUAAGCUUUUAGAACCAUCCCUAGGGCAUCUACUUUGAGCCCUAGUGAUCCACCAUGAGAGGGGUCUAAGAAAUCCAUGUUUUUCAUGGAGUCAUGGUCCUUAGAGGAUUUCCUCACUUGUAGAGAGAUCAAAACCCAAAAAUCUAAGGUCUAAACCCAAACCCUAAACUCAUUUUUGCAUAAGGACUCACCUUUGCCCAAGCUCCACCAAAGCCUACUUGUUGGAGAGCUUCUAGGACCACCAAAGCCACCAAAAUCCACUUCUCCAAGCUCUUCUCCACCUUCUCCAAGCUCUAGGGCUUGCUUUCUAGAGAGAGAAAGAGAGGAAAAUGAGAGAGAGGGUGAAAUGGGUGUUGGCUGUGAGGGGAAGGGGUAUUGGGCUAUUAACAUGUGGUAACAUUUGCCAAAAAAUCCUCCCAAUCUUUAUUUUUUGCAGCAGAUCUCGUUUUGCUGUCGGGCCCAAAGUGUACCGGUACACUUUUUCGUGUCACCGGUUACACGACUACGCAUAGGCAAACCCAAGAGCAAAUCUGUCGGUUUCGCCCAAAGUGUACCGGUACACUUUUUCGUGUCACCGGUUNNNNNNNNNNNNNNNNNNNNNNNNNNNNNNNNNNNNNNNNNNNNNNNNNNNNNNNNNNNNNNNNNNNNNNNNNNNNNNNNNNNNNNNNNNNNNNNNNNNNNNNNNNNNNNNNNNNNNNNNNNNNNNNNNNNNNNNNNNNNNNNNNNNNNNNNNNNNNNNNNNNNNNNNNNNNNNNNNNNNNNNNNNNNNNNNNNNNNNNNNNNNNNNNNNNNNNNNNNNNNNNNNNNNNNNNNNNNNNNNNNNNNNNNNNNNNNNNNNNNNNNNNNNNNNNNNNNNNNNNNNNNNNNNNNNNNNNNNNNNNNNNNNNNNNNNNNNNNNNNNNNNNNNNNNNNNNNNNNNNNNNNNNNNNNNNNNNNNNNNNNNNNNNNNNNNNNNNNNNNNNNNNNNNNNNNNNNNNNNNNNNNNNNNNNNNNNNNNNNNNNNNNNNNNNNNNNNNNNNNNNNNNNNNNNNNNNNNNNNNNNNNNNNNNNNNNNNNNNNNNNNNNNNNNNNNNNNNNNNNNNNNNNNNNNNNNNNNNNNNNNNNNNNNNNNNNNNNNNNNNNNNNNNNNNNNNNNNNNNNNNNNNNNNNNNNNNNNNNNNNNNNNNNNNNNNNNNNNNNNNNNNNNNNNNNNNNNNNNNNNNNNNNNNNNNNNNNNNNNNNNNNNNNNNNNNNNNNNNNNNNNNNNNNNNNNNNNNNNNNNNNNNNNNNNNNNNNNNNNNNNNNNNNNNNNNNNNNNNNNNNNNNNNNNNNNNNNNNNNNNNNNNNNNNNNNNNNNNNNNNNNNNNNNNNNNNNNNNNNNNNNNNNNNNNNNNNNNNNNNNNNNNNNNNNNNNNNNNNNNNNNNNNNNNNNNNNNNNNNNNNNNNNNNNNNNNNNNNNNNNNNNNNNNNNNNNNNNNNNNNNNNNNNNNNNNNNNNNNNNNNNNNNNNNNNNNNNNNNNNNNNNNNNNNNNNNNNNNNNNNNNNNNNNNNNNNNNNNNNNNNNNNNNNNNNNNNNNNNNNNNNNNNNNNNNNNNNNNNNNNNNNNNNNNNNNNNNNNNNNNNNNNNNNNNNNNNNNNNNNNNNNNNNNNNNNNNNNNNNNNNNNNNNNNNNNNNNNNNNNNNNNNNNNNNNNNNNNNNNNNNNNNNNNNNNNNNNNNNNNNNNNNNNNNNNNNNNNNNNNNNNNNNNNNNNNNNNNNNNNNNNNNNNNNNNNNNNNNNNNNNNNNNNNNNNNNNNNNNNNNNNNNNNNNNNNNNNNNNNNNNNNNNNNNNNNNNNNNNNNNNNNNNNNNNNNNNNNNNNNNNNNNNNNNNNNNNNNNNNNNNNNNNNNNNNNNNNNNNNNNNNNNNNNNNNNNNNNNNNNNNNNNNNNNNNNNNNNNNNNNNNNNNNNNNNNNNNNNNNNNNNNNNNNNNNNNNNNNNNNNNNNNNNNNNNNNNNNNNNNNNNNNNNNNNNNNNNNNNNNNNNNNNNNNNNNNNNNNNNNNNNNNNNNNNNNNNNNNNNNNNNNNNNNNNNNNNNNNNNNNNNNNNNNNNNNNNNNNNNNNNNNNNNNNNNNNNNNNNNNNNNNNNNNNNNNNNNNNNNNNNNNNNNNNNNNNNNNNNNNNNNNNNNNNNNNNNNNNNNNNNNNNNNNNNNNNNNNNNNNNNNNNNNNNNNNNNNNNNNNNNNNNNNNNNNNNNNNNNNNNNNNNNNNNNNNNNNNNNNNNNNNNNNNNNNNNNNNNNNNNNNNNNNNNNNNNNNNNNNNNNNNNNNNNNNNNNNNNNNNNNNNNNNNNNNNNNNNNNNNNNNNNNNNNNNNNNNNNNNNNNNNNNNNNNNNNNNNNNNNNNNNNNNNNNNNNNNNNNNNNNNNNNNNNNNNNNNNNNNNNNNNNNNNNNNNNNNNNNNNNNNNNNNNNNNNNNNNNNNNNNNNNNNNNNNNNNNNNNNNNNNNNNNNNNNNNNNNNNNNNNNNNNNNNNNNNNNNNNNNNNNNNNNNNNNNNNNNNNNNNNNNNNNNNNNNNNNNNNNNNNNNNNNNNNNNNNNNNNNNNNNNNNNNNNNNNNNNNNNNNNNNNNNNNNNNNNNNNNNNNNNNNNNNNNNNNNNNNNNNNNNNNNNNNNNNNNNNNNNNNNNNNNNNNNNNNNNNNNNNNNNNNNNNNNNNNNNNNNNNNNNNNNNNNNNNNNNNNNNNNNNNNNNNNNNNNNNNNNNNNNNNNNNNNNNNNNNNNNNNNNNNNNNNNNNNNNNNNNNNNNNNNNNNNNNNNNNNNNNNNNNNNNNNNNNNNNNNNNNNNNNNNNNNNNNNNNNNNNNNNNNNNNNNNNNNNNNNNNNNNNNNNNNNNNNNNNNNNNNNNNNNNNNNNNNNNNNNNNNNNNNNNNNNNNNNNNNNNNCUAGGUAGAGACCGCCCGAGAUGGAUUUCAUUUUGUAGUUGCACACCCUUUACUAUCAUCUUUUGUAUUUGAUGAUUUUAGUAUUAUGAACUUGUUUUAAUGAAUGAUGUAAAGAAUAUUUACUUUAAAUGUCAAAAGUUAUAUUUUGGGAGAAAUGAGAUGUAAAAAGAAAUGAUGCAAGAAUGUGACAGAACUUGAUUAUAGUUGGAUACAUGUAUGUGAUUUAAAUUUAGUCAUAUUACUUGUAUACUGAAUGGUUAAUUCUUUCACCUUGGCUAUUGCUUGUCCUCGUGCAAGCCAUUGUGUAUGCUUCCGCUUAUGCAAAUUUGUACUCUAUUGAUACUAGUGUUGAGCCUUGGGCGGACAGGGGAAGCUCUGUCCGUUCGGCGUCUGUUUGACGCUCUCGAACCGGCCAAAAAGGAUAGGGCUCGGGGCGUGACAGCUCCAGACCUGAUUUUGGUUCCGUUUCAAUUCUAUUUUGCGCCGAUCGAUGCCAAAACCCUUCUAAUACUUCUAGAACUCAUUUUUAACCCUCCCAACAGUGUUGGUAGGUUAAUUGGAACUCGCCUAAUUAAUCCAUUCGCGCACUUUAGUCAGUUUGCCUAAAGUUCGUCAUUUUCUAUCUAGGUUUCAAUACGUUACAUUGUUAAUUGAUUUUAGGCACUAAUUUUGCAUUACAUCAAGCAUUAAUUUAAGAAAAUGAUUGAUAUCUCAAAUCUAUACAAUCUAUACAAUUAUAUGAAUUUCCAUGACUACAUCUGACAUGGCAGUACCUCCUUAAUUUGAGGACAUUGGGACUGUUAAUUUUUUUAAUUAUGUUUUAAUUCCCUCUAUAUUUAUGUGAAACCCUUCAUCUUCCCCACCUCUUUUUACAAAAUUGGCAACGAAUGUCUCUCUCUCUCGCUCUCACCCCACCUACAACAGUUUGGAUCUCUCUCUUGAUUUUUGUUUUUUUUUUCACUCCACCUCUUCCUCUUCUUCUUAGCUGUUAAAAAAAAAAAAGAGAAUCCAAUUAGGUUUUGAGAAGUGGGGAGGGUGACGAAACAAAAGGAGGAGGAGAGGAGAUGUUGAAAAAGCUUGAGACAAAGAGCAACUGAGUGAAGGAGUUCAGCUUCCACAUCAAGCGGCCGUGAAUUCUCGCGAGCCUCCACAACAGCGUGAUCCAAUUAUGGGACUACUAGAUAGGAACCCUUAUCGAUCGCUUCGACGAGCACGACGGGUCUGUGCACAACAUCCAUUUCCACAAGACGCAGCCCCUUUUGGUCUCCAAAGGUGACAUUUUCACAAUCCUAUUCAUGUCGUUGUUAUGAAAAUUUGCAUUUUGGUUUGUCUCAGUUGAUGAAUUUUUGGCUUGGAUCCGGGAGGAUUUAGGUUUUUGUUGUGAUUUAGGGCACAUUUGUGAAUUCUAUAUUACUUUUAAUCGAAAUAGUUCUCAUUUCAGUUACUAUUGUAAUGGGAUCUGAAUUGGCUUCACUUCAAUUUUUUGUAUGGUUUGAUUGUUUGUUGGUGAUAUUUGGGGUUAGCGAACGUAACAUUCUCAAUGGUAAGAAAGAUCAAACAAAAAGCUUAACCAAUUCUNNNNNNNNNNNNNNNNNNNNNNNNNNNNNNNNNNNNNNNNNNNNNNNNNNNNNNNNNNNNNNNNNNNNNNNNNNNNNNNNNNNNNNNNNNNNNNNNNNNNCGAUUACGGAGAAGUUACGCGACCCGGAAGUUUCGACUUUAAGUGAUAGUGACUCCGAUUUUGCCGGAGAUUGGCGCGGAGAGUGGUGGAUUGACGCGUAUCUGACUCCGAUUAUAGCUUAUCAAUAGCUCUGUUUCGAACUCUCGACCUAGUACUGGAACCAUUGGCGCUGGAUGGUAAUUGGGUUCUUGUAUGCGGUUGUCGAGAAAGGGGUUUAUGGUUUUUACAUCUGAUUAUCUAUAUGUGGUUUUUCUGAUGGAACCAGUUGAGGGUGGGUUUUGUCGCAAAAUCUGGAGACCUUUUCAGACGGAUAACGAGAAUGUAGAUUCGUUGCCCAGUCGUGCUGGAUACGCAGGCUGGCGGCAUCCGUUCGGAUAGAAAUCCCGACGGAACGAAUCUUCUCGGAAUCGACGAAAAAGUGCAACACGCCAGCGAAGGGGCUGAUUUAGACAAAGGGAUAAAUUGCGAAGAAGCUGUUCAUUUAUGCGCGUUUGGCGUUUUUCGAACUCGGCAGGGAAAAUGUCGUGCAAGGUGACCAAGCUGGUAGGGAGCUGAGGUCGAAUUGGUCAACAUCGGGGGUUUUUCCGCCAAGGCUUACCUUACUACAGUAAGGAGCUUAGAGGUUUCGAGGUGCAACCCUAACCUAAUUCCGACCCAAGCUGACCAGACCCCUAGCCGCCCAGUGAGCCUGCCCUUGUCGGUGCGCGCGCCCGGCGCGGCGUUGCUGCUCCUGGCCACUUGAAACCUCCUGCAGCCUUCCGGACCUACCUCUCGGCCCCUUUUCCACGCACUCCUCCUUGACCGAGAGUCAAGUGGGCAUUCUACACACCUUCUGGAAGGGAAGCCCCGGCGUGACUCCACUCCAGCGCGCCUAUCUCCAGUCGGCAUCCCGACAGUACUGCGGAGCCGCCUGGAAGUGCAAGGCCGCGGGGGUCAACCAGGCCGGCGGUGCAACCUCGAGAUGCGCGGACGCCGCCCCAAUUUCUCCGGCCCGCGCCGCCUCCAGUCGGCCUGCGGCGACCUCGGAACCGGCGCGGCAUCUCCCGCGUUCCAGCUACGCCGCCGGCCGUCGCUGGAACUUCCUGUGGCCGCAAGCACGUGGGGCGAGGUCGGGCGCAGCUUCUAGACGCCGCUGCCGCAGCCAACGUUAGGCGUGCACGGCCUCCCCCUCGGACUCCGGCGCCGACCCGUCGACCGACCUCCUCGGCCGCCGCGCCGCCGCCGGGAAGCCUUGAAACGGAGAGGGAGUUGGCUGGGAGUGCGAUCUCUGGCCGCCGCGCCACGGUUGCCAGCGCGCCGCCGCCAGCCACCCCCCGGAUCCCCUGGACGAGUGCUCCUCCUCGGCCGGAUCGCCGACUCGCCGGCCGCCGGCGACCAACCUAGCACUCCUCGGGUCGUAAGUAGAUAUUUUACGUUCCAGCCAUGUUUUUUCGGGUUCCGGUCUUUUUCGGUGAUCGAGAAAGCCUUUAAGUUCCGGGGAAUGUUGAGCACGAUUGUCUACAACUCGUGCCUGACAUCGUGCAGCUCCUCAACAGCCAGCAAUGAUGCCAUGGUUUGUGAGUUAGUCGCGGAUUCUUCAGCGCUGUUGCGCGCAGUUUAAUAUGAUUUUCACAUCGCUCGGUGCGCGCACAGAAGUGGCAGGCAGUUGCUCCGAAAGAGUGAUGCGACGGCUCGACAUGCUGGAAACUUGUCGGGUCGCACAGGUCGGAAUUACAUCGACCCUGGUUUUGCGCACGUCAGAAAGCCUAGAAGAAAUACAUUGAAAUGAUGCAAUAUUCAUGCUUCUCGGGUAUCGGUUUUGGCUUUUGCUUCGUUGUUAGAUGCUGUGGACGGUAAUACUGAGGGGUAAACCUCUGGACUGAUCGUCCAAGGCCAAGCUUGCGGAAAUCGGAAAAGUGAUUUCUGAGGGUUUUUCCGGCGAAAUCUGACCGAUGAACGCGGUUUCGGUAUCGGAUAUCAUCCGACGGUGCCUCGUUGAGGUGGUUAUGGCGUCGCUUGAGGCCUGGUUUGGCUGGUCACCCGCGUCGUUUUGAGGGUUCGGGAAACGAAGGGGAGCGACGUAGAAAGUUCGCGUGCAGUUUUCGGAUUCGGCUUAUUUCGACGGUAAUCGGUUUUUGGGAAAAUCUGGUCUUGUUUUGUGUUAGCAGGGGUUGUGGUUUAGUUUCCUGUCAGUUGGUUAGACCUUACCCGUGCGACUUUCGUAGGUGUCGGUUGCCACCGUUCUUCUCACAGUUGAGAGCUUCGUCGGUACAUACAGGGUGCGGUACUUGACGCCGACGUCGGUCCAGUGGUGCUACGCUCGGUGACGUUCCUUCCACCUUCCUAUUUACAUUGACUUACAGUAUACUUUGCUUAUCAUAUUAUUCUGUAUUACUUACCUCGUUGUGUGCAAUGCUCAGGUAUCUUGUGUAGGAGUGAGUAGAUUUCUUCGCAUAUGAUAUCUUCUGAAUUUGGUUGGUUGGUUUCUUCUUUGUUUAUUCUAUGACCUGUGGUUGGGUCGAGUUUAUAUUCCGUAUUUGUGACUGUUUGGUCGAUUGGUUACAUUGAUGAGCGCUGCGGGUCGAUGGUCAUGGGGGGCGAGGAUUGUCGGCUGUAUAGUUGCGACGGUUGAUCAUUGAGCAUACUGCAUGAUUCGCCCGAUACUGUCGUCGAUUCAACGAACACUGAGCGGUCUGAUCCACGCAGGAGUGUUCUUAUUCCGGAAAAGUGGUUGAAUGGUGACAACCGUUUGAGCCUUAGAAGGGUUAUAUGCACUGGAGAGUAGUGGUUGAUUGCUUGGGUCUGACGGGUGCUGACAAUGAGAGCAGUGGUUCCGUUGGGUACUUUUUGAUGAUGUUCCCGUUUGAUGCUAAACAGCUAACAGUAGCUGUAGUUGUUAUUUAGUAUUUCAUUUAAGCACUUGUUUAUCUUAGUACUGUAUUAUCAUGUAUCGUAUAUUUGUUUAUCUCCGUGACUAUUUGUGAGUACCCCUCAGCCCUUUCGGCUUGCGGUACCCUGGUAGGGAACAUGUUUUAAUGUUUUCACCCCCCGCCCCAUUUACAGUGACCGUAAGCAGCGUCCGAGUGGCGACAGCUGGUGAGGAGCGUGUCUAGCGUUGCGAUUUUAGAGCUCCUUCCCGAUGUCGUUAUCCUUGUACCCUUCAAUGCUCGAAUUAAAUAUUGAACAUAUUAUGGUUCAGUUUCUAUUUAUUAUUGUUAUCUGGUUUUAUUUUCAAUUGUUUUGAAAUUGUACUAAAGGAUUUUGACUGUUUUAUCUUGAAAUAAACAGUUUUUUCUACCCCUUCGGUGGUAGCUGGUUUGAAGGAUGGGUUCCGUGUGGGAUUUAGUUUUUAAACUGAUUUCUUUGUGGUUUUAUGGAGUUAGUUAUUUUCAAAUCAGUUUCAGGUAGGAAAUAUUCUCACUGAUAGAUUUAGAUAGAUAGUUAUUCAUAAUUCAAGUUUCAGUAUCUGAGGCGCAGAGAAUGAUGAAUGGAUGAUGGAAUGAAUGUUAUCUAUUCUUGUUGUUCAUCUGGUUGUGGUUGUUGAUUGUAUGUGUAUCUAUACUCUGUUUGUAUUGUGCGAACCGCCGUGCAAAAUGACAGGGAGAGGACUCUGUCGUCUCGUGAACAGUGGAGCUUAUGUAUUAUUGUGGCGGAUCUGGCACCUCUGGGGUCAGAUUUUUUCAAAAAAAUCUUCAGACGUUUUCCGAUAGACCUUUAAACUAAAGGGACCGCGGGGCAAAAGGGCGUGACAUAUGUUCGGGAAUUGGUUUGAAAUUCCGAAAUUCGAAUUUCGAAUCGAAUUUUUGUAAUAGCGUUGUUAGAAGGUAUAUUUUAGGGAUAGGUUGGGAAUUCGAAAUUUCGAAAUUCGAAAUUUGAAAAUUUCGAAUUUUGAAUGGUUUUGGAGGAUUUUUGGGGGUUGGUUGAGGAUUAGGUUGGAAAUUCGAAGGUCGAAUUUUGAAUGGAUUGUGGGAUAAUUUUGAGAAUUGGUUAGGGAAUUCGAAAUUCGAAAUCGAUUUUAAAUUUAGUUAUUGGAUGAUGUUUGGGAAUUUGCGUUAGGGAAUUCGAAAUUUCGAAAUCGAAUUUUUGAUGAGGUUGUUGGAGGAUCAAUUUUGGGAAUUGAGUUGGGAAUUCGAAAUUCGAAUUUCAAAAUAGAUUUGUUGAAUGAGUUGUAUUUGAAAUGAAUUUCAAAUAUAUUUUAUAGCGGUGUGGAUGUGGGCCGUCAUUGAUCAGACCCGUUAUUAUUUAUUGGGCCAAAUUAAUAUUGAAUGGGAUGAAAUGAUGGCCAUUUUUUUAUUUGUUGCAUAGGCUUUCAUGGGCCACCAACGGCAUAGUUUAUGAUGACCAUUGGUAUAUUUAACUACUAAUUAUUAGUGUCCAAAAAUUUUAUGUUAUGAGUCCGAAUUUUAAUAGUUUUAUUACGAUACUUACCCAUUUUUUUUUACUUCAAAUGUGUUUAGUAUUAUAUAUUAUAUAUAUUAUAUAUAAUAUAUAUAUUAUAUGUCUAUAGAUAUAUAUUAUGAUAUAUAGUGUUAAUGUAUUAUAAGUGUGGUGUGUGGUAUACACAUGUUCAACACAACACACAUCAUUAUAUUAGAGAGAGAGAGAGAGGAGUUGGACUAGGUUACUUAUUAGCUAUGCAAAUCUCAUUUGUUGUACAGUUUUUAGCUUGAUUUCAACUGCUUUUCAUAUAUUUCUAAUCAUUGGAUUAAAUAUUUAACCAUGUGGGGACCACCUUCACCCUAGGGGGACACUCAACUCUAACGACUAUAUAUCUUGACACUACAAUUUUUCAUCAAGGUUUAACAUAUUGAUAGAAAAAGACGUUUUAUAUUAAUAGUAUUCAGACCUAAUUCUAUAUAUAUUAUAUAUAUAUAUAUAUAUAUAUAUUAUAUUAGAGAGAGAGAGAGAGGUGUUGGCGAUGAUGAGUCAGAAGAGAGGAAUUGAGAGUUGAGUAGAAUACUAUGGUAGUAAACGUAGCGUUUUACUAUCGAUUUGAGUUUUUCGAUGAUGCUAGAACUUCAAUUGAGGUCGGCUCAUUGAACCAUGAUCUAUCCACUUGAAGUGUUUAGAAUUUCAAUUUCAAAUCUUUUUCGACUCAUUAAUGGACCUAAUGAUCAAAGGGUUUCAAAAUUUGUAAUUUAAUGGUCAAUAAGAGUUUCUCGUUUAACGGCGUAAGAUAUCCAAAUCAAUUAAUAUUUUUUUUCGAAAAUUCUUUUAAACUGAUUUAUAAACAAGAUUAUACUCUUGAUCUUGUUACAAGAUCCCUAUCAUCAUUUUUUAAAGAGUUUAUUCAUUUCACCAUUUCAUUUUCGGUUCACUUGAAUGGAUAAAAGAACCAUAUCAGAGAAAGUGCUUGUGAAAUUUGAUUUAUUAUGAUGUUUUAAAUGCGUUUUAGAUAUGUUCAACGGAGCGAUCGGUCACAUUUGGAAGCUCUUAUCGAAAAACAUCGAGUGUACGGCUCGUUUACUACCGAUUAGGUUUCUAGACUCAACUCUCUCUCUCUUAUCUCUCUCUCUCCCUUUCUCUCUUCUCUCUCUCUCUCCUCUCUCUAUAUUAUAAUAUUAUUAUUAUAUAUAUAUUAUAUAUAGUUUUACUAUAUAUAUGUGUGUGUGUGUUGUUGCGCGCGGGCGGCGUCUAGUAUAUAUUAUGCUAUAUAUUUAAUAUAAUAUGUUGUGUGUUGUGUGUGUGUCGUUGCAGCGCUGAGUCUAUAUAUUUAUAUAUAUAUAUGUGUGUGUGUGUGGUGUAGGCUAGGGCUUACUAUGCUAUUAAUAGCAUCGUAGUACUUGUUCCUAUCAAAUGUUUCUUUGAUGAUAGAGAUUCGAAUCGAUGAUCGAAGCCGUUUAAGUGUGAUCUAGGAUAUUUGAAAAUAUGUAGAAACUAGAUUUCAUAAAUUUUAAAAUUAUUAAAUGGUGUCAACAGUGUCGUAAAAUGACAAUUUCUUUGCGGCCUAUAUGAGCAUUUGCUUGUUAACGGUGUAGAGCAAUCAAAUUGCUUAAAUUUUGAUAGAAAUUUUAUAUAUAUACUAUACUAGUUUAGUAUGUUGAUACUCUGAUUUGGAAUUGAGAAUCUAGCACUAUUUAAGAAGAUUUAUUAUUUAUGUCCAUUAAUUUUUUAACUCUUAGAUUGAACUUGAUAAUGAUUUUAAAUAUUAAAAUUUAGGUUUUUAAACAUUUUAUUCGAUGUAGAUCAAUUCAACGGUGCCGAUUAUCAUUUGAACUUCCGAUCAAUCAAACGACUUGAUAGAACAGUGCUCUAUCCUAUUAUAGGAUAGUAACCGGAAUCUAUAUUAUUAUAUAUAUAUAUAUAUUAUAUAUAUAUUAUAAUAUAAUAUAUUAUAUAUUAUUUAAUUAAUAGCCGAAAUUUUGGUUGCUACAAGUUCUUCUUGCAGUUAGAUCUCCCAUUUGUCUUUUUCACCCGUUGAUAUACUAUUCAACAACACCCAUUCCCCUAGGGCCACAUCAUCUAAGCACAUCUCUUAAUUCAAAAGCCAAAAAUUGUAGCAUCAAUUGACUUGGGUUGCUAUUAAUAGUAUAUUUUGCUUUUCUAUAUAUAUAUUUAAUAUAUAAUAUUUAUAUAUAUAUAUUGUGUGUGUGUGUGUGUGUGUGUAGUGGGUGUGGUGUGUUACAUAUGUGUGUGUAUUUAUAUAUAUAUAUAUUGUUGUAUGUGUAUAUAUAUAUGUGUGUGUAUAUAUAUAUAUGUGUGUGUGUAUAUUAUUUAUAUAUAAAGUUGGCUGGAAUACUUCGGUAGAAACGGGCUCCGUUGCCAUUUUGUUUUCGAUGACGGAGCUUCAAAUCGAUCAUCAGACUAGUUAUGGAAAUGAUCUAUACCACAUUGAAGUAUCUAGAAAUCUUUUAUAUUUUUCGAGAUUGUUUUCUUUGUCAUCAGUGGGCGGUAAAAAUGAAUGGUAAAAAAUGAAUUAUGCCUCUAAAAGUGAUUAUAGAAUUUGUAAUCAUGAUUCGAGAGUAUAGAUCUUAGUUCCUAAAUAGUUUAAAGAAUUUUCUACAAAAUUCAAUUGAUUUGGAUAGCUUUUACACCGUUAACGAAGAACCCUCUGAUACCAUAUAAUAUCUAAUUUUGAAACUCUUUGAUCAUUAGGUAAUGAAGUCAUAAAGAUUGAAAUUUAAUUUCUAAAUUAGUUCAAGUGAUUUAAGUGAUGUUCACCACGGCUGGCGUGUCGCUUUUGAAAGCUCCAUUAUCGAAACAAGAUGCGGUGGCAACGGAGCCGUUUGCUACGGGGACAGCCCAAAAUUUCCCAGCUCAACUGAUUAUAUAUAUAUGUAUAGUAUGUAUAUAUUAUAUAUAUAUUUAUUGUGUGUGUGUGUGAUGGUGUGUGUCAUGUUGAUGUGUAGUGUGUGUGUGUGUGUAGGUUGAGCUGGAUAAUCUAACGGUAUGCAACGGGUCGUUGCACACCUUUGUUUUCGAUGAUGUAGCCUCCAAUCGACGAUCGCAACAUUUGAAAAUGAUCUUACCAUUGAGUAUCUAGAAAUCAAAUUUCAUACUUUUUUCGAUUUUGUUUUUGUUGCUCAUCAAGUGUCGGAGUUAAAAGCUGAAGGUGAAAUGAAUAUCUUAAAGUGAUGAUUAGAAAUUUAUGUAAUCAUGAUCGAGAGUAUAGAUCUUGUUUCUACUAGCUUUAAAGAUUUUCUAACCAAUUCAAUUGAUUUGGAUAGUUUACACUGUUAAACGGAGAAAACCUCUAUAACCCAUUUAAAUUAUUAAUUUUUGAAACUUUGAAUCAUCUAGGUAAAUGAGGCGUCGAAGAAUUUUGAAAUUGAUAUUUCUAGAUAUUCACAGUGAUGUAGAUUCAUGGAUUCAACGGAGUGCCGUAUCGUUGAUUUUGAACAGCUCAUCAUUCAAACAAAUAGCUUGGCAACGGAACGUUUUUACUACCGAUAGGCAUUUCAGAACUCAACUAUAUAUAUAUUAUUAUAUAUAUAUAUUAUAUAUAUUAUAUAUAUAUGUGGUGUGUGUGUUGUGUGUUGUCGUGCGCGCCGCUGCAGCGCGCGCGUUUGGUGCGUCGUGCGUUUGUGUCUUUGCGUGUGUGUGUGAUGUGUGCUGUCUAUUAUAUAUGUGUGUAUUAUUAUACGUGUGUGUAUAGUGGAUAUAUAUCAACAUGAUUAUAGACACAUUCAAAGUAUCGGAAGCGGCGAACUUUCGUGCUUCAGUCGUCUUUCGAUGUUAGUGAUUAUUGAAUCGUUCAGCGGCUCGUUAAUCAUAAUCGUAGAAGUAUUUUAAAGGACCUAGAAAAUAAUUUAUGAUUUUACGGUAUCUUUUGCUAGUGACACGAGGCUACCCAGGGCUCAAUCAAACGGUUGAAAAUUAAAAUCGUAAAAUGUAUAAUAUGACAUAUAAAAUUUUAAUUCAAAGAUAUGAUCUUGUUUUAUUAUAGUAUAAGAAUUUUCUAUCAAAAUUUUCACAGGUGAUUUGGAUAUUUCUACACGUUAACUUGAAAACGGUCACUACGGCCAUUCAAAUUUGUUUAAUUUUGAGUCCAUUCGAUCACUAGGGCAAAUGAUAUCGAAAAAUAUAAAAAUUUAUUUUCUAGGUACUCCAACUACUCUAGAUCAAGUUUAACGGAGCAGAUCGACGAUUCAAAAGUCGAUGGAAGCACGGAAGGCUCCGUGCUUCCGAUAGCAUAGUAGCCUCACUCUAUAUAUAUAUAGAGAGAGAGAGAGUUGAGCUAGAAUACUCUCGAUAGUAAACGGGACCGUUUACUAUCGAGUUGUUUUCGAUGAUAGAGCUUUCAAAUUGACGACCGGCUCCGUUAAAUAUGAUCUAAACCAUUUAAACUACCUAGAAAUCAAAUUUUACGCACUUUCGAUAUUAUUCUUUUAUCCAUCUAGUGAACAGAAAAUGAAUGGCUGAAAAUGAAUAUUCUUUAAAAAAUGAUGAUAGGAGUCUUGUAAUCAAGAUCAAGAGUAUAGAUCUUGUUUUAAAUAGUUUAAAGAAUUUUCUAACAAAAAUUCAAUUGAUUUGGAUAGCUUUACACCGUUAAACGAGAAAACCCCUCAUAUCAACCAUUAAAAUUGUUAAUUUUGAAACCCUUUGAUCAUUAGGUAAAUAAUGUCGAAAAGAUUUGAAAUUUGAUUUCUAGAUACUUUAAGUGAUGUAGAUCAUGUUCAACGGUACCGAUCGUCGAUUUGAAAGCUCCAUCAUCGAAAAAAAAUGGGUGGCAACGGAGCCCGUUUGCUACCGNUUUUCGAUGAUGGAGCUUUCAAAUCGACGAUCGGUACCGUUGAAAAUGAUCUAUACCACUUAGAUGUAUAUAUACAUAUAUAGAGUUGAGCUGGAAUGUUAUCGGUAGCAAACGGGCUCCGUUGCCACCCAUUUGUUUUCGAUGACGGAACUUUCAAAUCGACGAUCGGUACCGUUGAACAUGAUCUACAUCACUUAAAGUAUCUAGAAAUCAAAUUUCAUACUUUUUUGAUAUUGUUCUCUUGUCCAUCAAGUGGGCGUAAAAAUAAACGGCUGAAAAUGAAUAUCCUCUAAAAAGUGAUGAUAGAAAUUUUGUAAUCAAGAUCGAGAGGAUAGAUCUUGUUCUAUAUAGUUUAAAGAAUUUUCUAACCAAAAUUCAAUUCAUUUGGCUAGCAUUACACCAUUAAAUAAGAAAACACCUCAAAUCUGCCAUUAAAAUUACAAAUUUUGAAAUCCGUUGAUCAUUAGGUCAAUAAUGUCGAAAAGGUUUGAAAUUUGGUUUCUAAAUACUUCAAGUGGUAUAGAUCAUGUUCAACGGCGCAGAUCGUCGAUUUGGAGGCUCUAUCAUCAAAAACAAAUGGGUAGCAAUGAAGCCCGUUUGCUAUCGAUAACAUUCCAGCUCAACUCUACAUAUAUAUAUAUGUAUAUAUACAUAUAUAUAUAUAUAUGUGUAUAUAUACAUAUAUAUAUAUAUAUAUAUGUAUAUGUAUAUAUGUAUAUAUAUAUAUGUAUAUGUAUAUAUGUAUAUAUAUAUAUAUAUGUAUAUGUAACAGUAUAUAUAUAUCAUCAUAUAUACAUAUACAUAUAAUAUACAUAUAUACAUAUACAUAUAUAUAUAUGAUAUGUAUACAUAACAUAUUAUAUACUAAUAUUAUAUUAACUAUAUAUAUAUAUAUUAUAUUAUACUAUAAUACAUACAACUACUAUAUAUAUAUAUACAUCACAUACAUAUCGAUAUACUAUACAUACAUACAUAUUAGUACUAUACAUACAUUCACAUAUAUAUUAUACAUAUAUAUAUAUAUAUUAUAUAUACAUAUAUACAUAUAUAUAUUAUAUUAUAUAUCAUUACAUAUAUAUAUAUUAGAAUUAGGCUGCAAUACUAUUAAUAGUAUAAACACUCUUUAGCUUCAAGUUUUACACCCGUUGGGAGAAAAAUUGUAGGGCAGAUGAAUAUUAGUCGCUAGAGUUGACGUGGUCCCCCUAGGGUUUGAGUGUUCCCACUGGUUAUAGAUUAUCAGAUGUUAGAAAUAAUGAAAAGAGUUGAUCCAUAAGGCUAAAAAUAGUUAGCAAUAAUAGAUUUUGGGCUACUAUCAGUAGCCCAGGUCCAAACUAUAUAUAUAUAUAAUAUAUAUAUGUAUAUACAUAUUAUUAUUGUAUAUCAUAUAUAUACAUAUAUAUAUAUGUAUAUAUAUAUAUAUGUAUACUACAUAUAUAUGUAUACAUAUAUAUGAAUAUACAGUCAUUAUAUACAUAUUAUACAUAAUAUACAUAUAUGUAUACAUAUAUUAUAUUAUAUAAUUACAUAUAUAUGUAUAAGAACUAUGUGCUACUGUACUAUCGGUACACGGAGGGCUCCGUGCACAAGUUGCUUUUCGAAUAUGCGGCUUUCAAAUCGACUAUCGAUUCGUUAGACUUGAAUCUACGUCUAUUAAAAUAUUUAGAACUAAAUUUCGAUAAUUUUUUCGCUAUCAUUACUAUCAAACAAAAGUCUAACUUUGAACUGCUUAGAAAAUAAAAUCCAUAAAAAUAAUGAUAAAAGAUUUUAAUUCAACGAUCAGAUACUAAUCUUACUCCUAAAUAUAAAAAAAAUUUCUUAAAAUUCAUCAAAUUUGGAUUGGUUUUACAUCGUUAAACUCACAAAACACACUCACAUUUGCAUUAAAUGUCAAUUUUCUUCGAAAUCUUUGAUCAGUAAUUAAAUGAUGUCAAAAAAGCUGAAAUUAGUUUCCAAUAUACUUUAUCAGUAGUGAAAUCAAGUCUAACGGAGUCUAGCGAUCGUCGAUUAUGGAAGCCGCAUACAUACAGACAACAUUGUGGACGGAUGCCCUUCCGUUGCUAACGAUAUAUAGUAGCCAAACUCUAAAUAUAAUAUAUAUAUAUAUUAUAUAUUAAUAUAUAUUUAUAUAUAUUAUGAGUAAACUACUUCUCUUCUCCUUCACACCCUUCUCUCUUUUUCUUUUUCUUUUUCUUUAGUACUUUCUCCUCACAAUCUGUUUCUUCUUUUUCAUUUUUUUAUUUAACGGAAUAUGUGAUCCCGCGGAGAAGGCAUCGCAAUCCACAAAUUUCUCUCCCUUUUCUAGAUGCUUCAUUUAUAGAGCCCCCUGAUUGGCUCUUUAUGAAUCCAAAGGCCUCUUCAAAAAAAAUUGCCACACAUUGUGAUCCCAAAUUUUUUGGGAUUACUGAGGGAAGGGGGGGUAGAGAGAGGAGGGAGAUAGAGAAGGAGAGGGAAGAGAGAGAAAUGGUAGAGAGAGGAAGGAGAGGGAGAAGAGGUAGAGAGAUGAGGGAGAUAGAGAAGGGAUGGGGAGAGAGAGAAAAAGGGUAGAGAGAGAGAGGGAGGAAGGCUUAUCAGAAUGAGAGAGAGAAAUGGUAGAGAGAGAGUGAUGGAGUGUAGGGUAAAGAGAGAAUUACUGUAAGGACUAAGGUUUUGGCAGUAUAGCUAAACUCUCUGUUGAUAAUAUUUUUGUGUGUAUUUUAAUUACAAAAGCACUCGUCAAGUUUCGGGAGAAAACGAGUUUGAAUGGAGAAGUUACGCGACUUUUACUUUUCACUUAAAGUGAAUAGUAACCCGCUUUUCCGGAGAGGCCACGGUGUAGAGUUGGAUUCCGACGCGUAUGAGACUCCGUUCAUAGCAAUCCAAUUGCUCAUUUUGAAUGAUUCGACUGUUCUGGAACCAAUGGCGCUGACGGAUUUUAGAUUUGAUGCACAAUUUUCGAGAAAAAAGGAGUUUAUGGGUUUUACACAUAUAUUUAUGUGUGGUUUUGGAAAGUUGGAGAGUUGAUGGGUUUUGUUGCAAAACGGCGACCAUUUCAGGCGAAACAAAAUUGUGAAUUCGGUGCCCCGGUUGUGCCGAACGCGUGGACGCAGUCCGUUCGCAAAUUCGACCGACAGAUCUCCUGAUAUCGCGUGUUGAUCGAGGAAGGAUCAUUUGUGGCAAAACGGUAAUUUUGUGAAAAGCUUGACAUUUUAUGUACCGUUUUGCGUGGAAUCGAAUGUGGAGGUGUAAUCGCGCAUUUUACUCGCGCUGUGAGGGACUCAGAUUAAAAUACUGAGUUUCGAAGGACUUGUCGACAAAUUGGCGACUUGUAUAUAUAUGUCAUUUAGGGUUUCAUAGAGGAAACCCUAACCUUGUUGACCUCCUCCCUCAGCCGACCUCCCUGCGACCCUCUGAACCUCCCCAACCCUUGCCGCGUGCGCUCCGGCCACCUGCGCGUGCCGCCAGCCAUCGGAACCUGACCUUCUUCAUCGCAUUCUCUCCCUCCUCUUUUUGUCACCCUACCCAAGAUCAGCCAAACAGGAUCUCACCCUCGGGCCACCUCCCUCGGCCGAGGCCCGACUUCUGGCGCCGUCCCCGCCGGUCCCCGCCGUCCGCGCGCGCCGCCAUCACCGCCUGGGCGACCCGCGGGCAGUUUUAGCCAGCUCGGGCCGAGCUCAGUUGAGCUCGUCGCCCGCGAGUCGCCGCCGCCCUAGGUCAGCCCCGUUGCCCUCCUAGACCUCCGGCGACCUCCCUGCGCGCGUCCCCGCCGUCCCCGUUGGCCGCCGCUGCAACCCUAGCUCCCCGCCGCCGCCUAGAUCAAGCCUGGGCAGAAGCUUGGCCCGCAUCGCCUCCUCGCACAGCCGCCACACUGGGCCGGCCGUGACGCCCUUCUCCGGCCUCCGGCGACCAACCGCCAUCGUCCCUGGGCACCCCCGACCACCGCCCGGCCGCAGCUGCACCGUUGAGCCCGAGCCCAGCCCGUGCGGGCUCGGGAUGUUCCAGCACUGCCGCCGUUGCCUUCCGCCGCCGGCCGGCAUGAGCACCGGCUCCGCCUGGCCGGCUGCACUCAUUCCGCCGCCGGAGCUCCCUGUCGGACGGACUUGGCCUACGCUCUCCUCUGGUUGUUGCGGCUAGGGCAUCAGGGCCCAUCGCCGCCGCUGCCUUCCGUCUCUGGCCGACCCGCACCCUAGCUUCCCUACGUCGCCCGCGCCUGCCUACCGCCAGUGCUCCCGCCGUCGAGCCGCUGUCGGCCACCAUAUGCUUCACCAAGCUCCGGUAAGCUUAGUUCUGCUUUUCUGCGCACUGUUUAGAGUUCGGAUCGUUGUUCCGGCGAUCCGAGGACACCUCGACACCCCCGGAAGUGAGCACGAUGAUCCCUAUUUCAUGCCGAACAUCGUGCUCACCUCUUUUUGGGUCAGCGUAGCCCCAGUGUGCGUAUUAAACGCAGUUUAGGCACUAUGUGCGCUGUUUGGCUGAAGUUCGCGUCGCCCGUGCGCCUGCCACAGUGGCCGGCAGUGCUCUGAAGUGUGAGCACGGCAUAUGGCACGUCAAGACCUGACAACGGAUGUCUUAGCCUGGCCAGAAAAACCUCGGUUUGUGCUGACGGGCCAUAAAACCCCGAAAAUCACAUAAAAUAAUGUGAUUUUAUGUAGUCGUGAGGGUGUUUAGGAAACUGUUUAAAUUGUGGUUGCUGUAGGCAGCGUGUGCGGGCAGCGGGUGACCUCUAGAUUGGUUGUCCAAAGCCCCCAGCCUUUCUGGAAAUCAAAUGUUGAUUUCUGGUGCGUUUUUCGGCGAAAUCUGCCGACGGAACGUGAUUUCGGUUCAGAAUUCUUCCGACGGUGCCUCACGGUAUAUUGUGUAGUCGCUAAGCCUUGUUAGCUCGUCACUCGCAUCGUUUUGAGGGUUCGAAAAUGACGGGUGAGUGACGGUGGAUUCCGGUGUUGAAGUUGACAUUUCUGGGAACCUGGAUCGGAACGAUUAUCCAACGAUAAUCGUUUCGAUGUGAGGAUGUGCGUUUGUUGCCAUUUCACACGAAUAGUUGACUGUAGUGGUAGCGGGUGACUCGUAAAGCGAGUCGGUGAGUUCUGAGAGAGUUCGUGAGUCCCAUCGGAGUCCCAGUGUGAUUUUCGGGACUUCCGGCGUGUUACAGCAAUCGGUUUUGGGAAACCGAUUCCCGUAGGUUUAUUGGUGGGAAUUGUGAGUCAGUAGUUUGUGUUUGUGGGUUGGAUACUAACCCAGUGGACCCUCUAUAGGUCCAGUUGACUUUCUUCUGCAGUCGGGAGAUUAAUGCUAUGUACAUAUAGGUGGGUACUUCGACCCGAAGUCGGUACAGUGGUGCACUCUCGGUGACAUCUUCUUACCCUUAUUCUUUCGUUGUUAUCUUGCAUAUAUAUCUAUAUAUUUUGUUGAGCCUUGCACCCAUGUUGUUUCCGUUAUACUCUAUUCGGUUGUUUUCAUGCCUAGUAUCAUGAGUAGGAGUAGAGCAGUUCUAUCUACAUGUGAUAUCUGUGACCUGGUUGGUCCAUUCUUAUUUCUCGUAUUUAUGACCCAUUUCGUCGACUUGUUGCAUCGUUAUUGUGACCUACUUGGUCGGUUGGACUAGUGGAUGACCUAUACAGUCGGUGAGCCCUGAGGGCCAGGAUUGUUGGCUAGUUGCCGACGGUUGACUAUUAAGCAUAUCAGCAUUGAUCGCACAAUACUCAUAUGCAUUUCACGAAUACCAGAGGUUUGAUCCACCGCAAGAGGGUGUUUUUUUCCUUAAAAGUGGUUGGAGGCGCCAACCCGUGAGCCCAUAGGCUAUCUUGGGUUAUUUGCAAGUAGAGUGACAGCUUGAGGUCUGCGGUGCGGACCAAUAGGGCACAGCUUGAGGUCAACGGUGCGGACCAAUAGAGCACAGGUUUGAGAUUGGGUAUUUUUGGACUUGUCGUCCAUUGAUGCAUACAUACAGUAGCGGUAACUAUGCAUUAUACAUCUUGUUCAUUCAUUAUCGUUGCUACUAUAUUUCACUUACCCAUAUUGUUGUUUGUCCUCCUUGACUGGUGAGUACCCCUCGCCCUCGUCGGCUUGCGGUACCCACUAGGAGGGGAGACAUGUUUACAUAUUCUCACCCCCCCCACCCCGAUUACAAAUGACAUCGCGGGUCCUAGUGGGACGGUUCGUGAGGAGCAAGUCUAGCGAUCGAUAGUGCCACCAUCCCGUUGUUUGGUUAAUUCUCAAACUCAGCUUCUUUAAAUAAAUGACUUAGACAGUUAAUUGGUUCAGCGACUUUUCACUUUUGAAUUCAUAUGGUUUUAUAAAUGUAAUAAAGGAUUUGUGAAUAUUUGUGAAAUGAAAAUGGUUUUCUACCUCUCGUGGUAACGAGUUUUAAAAGGAAAAGGUUUCCAUAUGGGAAACAGUUUUUAAAAGUGUUUUCUCGUGGUUUUCAUGACUUAGUAUUUCAAAACAAGUUUUCAGAUAGGAAACAUUUUAAACUAAUAGUUGUGGAUUUAUAGUUAAACUCUGAAUGUGAAUGUGAAUGUGAAUGGUGUAUGAAUGUAUGAAUGUAUGUAUAUUCAUAUGUAGUGGUUGUAUACCGUUUUAUGUAUCUUGUACUUGCGCGACGCCGUGCAAAUACAGGGGAUACUCUGUCCGUGUGAACAGUAAACUCCCUAUAUUUGUGGCAGAUCUGGCAUACCCUAGGGGUCAGGUUUUCAAAAAAAAAAAUUUGGGCACUUCCGCUUUACUUUUAAAUCAAAAAGGGACCCCGAGGCGUAACAAUUACUCUCAACACGCCACGAGGCUUUUAGGAGUGCCAAAUAGUGUAUUGUAUGGAUAUCCUAUUCCACGGUAAAUACUUUUAUAGCCUUUGAAUAUUUUAAGUGGACGACCAAUUAUUUUAUAGAUUUAUAGUAAUCUUUUUUUUAUUAUGUAUGUUGCAAAAAUAAGUAUAAACUAAACACCAUUGUUGAGGGCGAAAGUGGCACAGUCAAUUUUACUAUAUUUAGAAGGUUGAUACAAGAUCUUAUUUAUAUUCCGGUGCAAAAUUUAGCCACAACAAUGUACAAAGAUAAAUUUGCUCUCCCUCCUAUUUUCCAAGUUGUACCCGAUGCUUCUUUUAAAGUUUUAAAAAUUUUUACAUUAACAACAAUCCAAGAGGAAAAGGAAAGAAUAAGAAAAAUUUAUUUACAAAAUAUGAGGACCAACUCCACUCAUCUCCCAACAAGAAACAGGCCUGCACAGAAUUGUUGGGAGAAAUUUCUCCAACUCCAGGAACUUUUGCCAGGUGACACAACUUUAUUAGCUUUUAAGUUUUAUAUUUUUAUAUGUCGUUUACAUAUAAAAAAUUUAUUAAAUGGUUUUUAUUGACAGUUCCACACAAUCAUCUGGUAAGUUAUAUGAAGUCCCACAUGCCAAAAGACACCGCCCUAGGUGAUAUUUAAUAUAAAUUGAUUUUUUUAUUUAAAUAACUUGUUUUUCUAUUUAUAUGUAAAAAUACUAAUAUGCAAUCAUUUUAUUUGUAGUUCCAAAAAUGCCGGUGAAGACUAUAAAGACAAAUAAUGAAGAAUUAUAAAUAAUAUGUCAACUCUUACCAAUAUUUAUAAAUAUUGAUGGAGGCUAAAAAGACAAUCAAUGAAAAAUUAUAUGUAAUAUGCCCGCUUUUAGCAAUAUUUAUAAUAUAUAUUUGCCCCGCGAAAUCAUCAAUAUUCAUCAUGUAUAUUUGACGUCACUCUUAUUUGAAGAGACGGUUUCUAAAGAAUAUCUUUUUAUCAAUCUCUUUUUUAUAGUACAUAGUGAAAUUUCCUUCUUCUUUUAGACCGUGGGAUGUGUAUAUUACAUAGAAAUUGUUCAUAUUAGUAGUUACUUUCUUUUCUACAUACUUUUAGAGUAUUGUAUGCAUCUUAUACUCCUAUAUUUAAAAAUUUGGUUCCUAAAAUUUUAUAGAUAUAUCCGCAGCGUAGCGAAGGUUUGUCACUAGCUAUUAGUAACACCAAGCACUUCAUGCUGAUCUCACCUUCAAUGAUUUUUGCGCUGAAUGAACCAUCGUCGCUGUUAGAAGUUAUCAGAAGCGUUAAAACUUAUAACAACUAACGACCUCGUUUCACAUCAUCCGUUUUUCAUUUUUUUUAAAAUAAAAUUUCUCCAUGAGAUAAUGUAAUAGAAAAUCAUAGAUUACUUAAAAGAGUCCUCGCGAGUAUUUGUUUAGCAACAAAGGAACAAAAGUUGAAAGCUAAGUUUUUUUCUACAUCCAAAAUUUCUCAAAGUUGUCAUCCAUUACUAGGCCAGAGGGGAUUGCAAGAUGUCUAAUCAUGACAACAAAACAGCCAUUUAUCUGUCUACUAAAUUAUAGAAAACUAGUUUAAAAAUAAUAAAAGAAUAACAUAAAAAAUGCCAAACAAGGCCUAAAUUUCAUACCGUUCAAAAUUGUUCUCCAGUUUACCCAGUCACCACAAAAUAGACAGAUUUUUAAAAUUAAGAUCCUAAUUGCAGAUCUCCAUCUUAUAAAAGAAUAACUAUAUUAAGACAAAAAAUCCUCAUAUAGAAUGUUAAACAUUUCUAAUUUUGCAACUGCUAUAUCAUUAUGUAAAUGAUAUUGAAAAAAAAAAAAAAAAAUCUAGUUCCUAGAAUUUCAAAUAUCAUAGAUCACGAUUAAUAGUUCCAAUCAUCAAAUAUAAGGGUCCAAAUAUGUGAUAUAGAAAUUAUUACAAAAAAUGUAGCCGUGUGAACUUAUGAAGCCACCAGAAUCGAACCGACUGUGAUACAACAUUUCUGCAAUCUAUCAAGAAUGGAAAUACUUGGGGAAUAAGGAUCGAGGGAAGCAUUUUAGUCACCUAAGAGCCAAUUAAAAUAUAACUUCCCCAGCUAUUAGAAUCACUCAAAUCGUCGAGUCUAAGCAUAAAGGUCUAUGCCCCAGAACUUCGCUGGCUGAUUAGUACGACACUUGCGAUCGAUAGUUUUGAUCUUUUCCAUGUCCUCAUCCGAUAUAGUGAAAUUGAAAAUUUGGAAGUUCUCGCGUAACCUCUCAACUUUCGAGCUCUUUGGGAUAACAGCAGUGUUUCUCUGGACACCCCACUGGAGAACAAGCUGAGCUACUGUCUUGUUAUAUUUCUCUGCCAAAGUCUGAUCAUACGAUGGGAAAGAAGGUCAAUUUGAUGACAAUGAUGAAGGUGGUAGAGUGAAAGAAAAUCCAAAAAAAUUGAAGGGUAAAUUGAACCUCAGUCCCCAACAUUUCAAUUGUAACAACCGGGUCCCUGACAGUAGCUGGAAAGGAUAGGGUUGCCAUGAAAUGCAGAAAUAGGGACCCAAAUGCAGCAGUUAAAGGUUGUGGACCAAGCUGAAACCUACUUAAAAGAUUGGAGACACCUGGGACUAUUAAUUCAAGUAGAGAAAGGGAGGAUAUUGUUACCUUGAUCACUGGAUCUUCAAGACAUGAGAUGGAACCAAACCAUUCAGCAUUGGCAGCUGCACCGCCCAGAGGAGUGUGCGCAGUAACACAAAUCCCAUGCUUUUGGCAGAAUUUGACAAGUGAAUCACGCUGGAAGUAAGGAUGUGUCUCGAUUUGAUUCACCGCAGGCUUUAUUUUGGAGUAAGCUAUGCAGUCUCUAGUAAGAAAGAUGUCAUAGUUGCUGCACAAAAGCACUCCUUAUCAGAGGAAAAAGAGACGAGGAAACUGUUUGUAGUUAAAUUACUCAAGUAACAAUAUUCUAGUAUUAUGAAGAAGCAAGCAACUUAAGAUUUAACUAUUUUAUCUUCGCCUUUCCUGUUCAAAAAGUGUUGCAAAGAAUAAGUUGUUCGGACAUUGGAAUAAGCUAUCCGGUGAUAACUUAUUUCGUAUGAAGAUUUUUAUGUGAUUGGAAGGUAGAAGCUACACUUGUGCUCCUUGAAAAGUCUUGGUAUUCAUGAUUUAAUAAGAUAGCAUAUUUCACCUAAAAGGAAAUUUAUUUUAUCCCAAAAUAAUGACUUGAAGGCCGAAUACAAAAUCCAUUCUAAACAUCUAAUGACAAACAGGCACCCUGGGCUUGGUUUCAAUGUUUCACAUUUGUUUUAUCUGAGUUAGGAUUUACUAGGAGUUCGGCUUAUCCUUCUAUAUUUACCUUCCAUAAUAAGGAAGGAAUUCUUGUUCUUUUUUUCUAUGUUGAUGAUAUCAUCGUCACAGGCAGCUCGUCCUCUAUAGUCUAUGCUGAACUUCUUAAUGUUCACUCUCCAAACAAAAUUUGCUAUGAAAGAUUAGGGGACCUCUUAAUUUUUUUUUUUUCUGGGAGUGGAAGUAACUACUACAGCUUAUGGUCUUCGACUGACACAACAAAAAUAUGCUCAACAGCUAUUUGAGCGACAUGAUAUGUUUUCUAGCAAGUCUGUUUCUACUUCUCUAUCAUCUAUGACUCAGCUGUCUUCUCAUGAGAGCCUACUUAAGGAUCUCCAUACCUACCGUCAGAUUGUUGCUGCACUCCAAUACCUUACCUUCACUAGACCAUGUAUCUCAUAUGCUGUGAAUCUGGUUGCUCUGUUUCUACAAGCACCUCGGGACCCUCACCUUCAGGUUGUUAAACGCAUUCUACGUUAUAUUAGAGGGACAAUGAAUUAUGCCUUUUAUUUUUCACAUUGUACUUCUCCCUAUCUUAUCGGCUACUCUGAUGCUGAUUGGGUUGGCUGUCCUGACACUGGACGUUCGACUUCUGGUUUCUGUGUUUUUCUUGGUUCCAAUCUAAUUUCGUGGUUUGCUGAGAAACAAUUGACAAUCUCUCGUUCUAGUUCUGAAGCUGAGUAUCGUAGUGUUUCAUUCACUCUUGCUAAGAGCGUUUGGAUCUAUCGCCUGCUUCAGGAUCUUGGUGUGUCACUAUGUCACCCUCUCACUAUCUAUUACGGCAAUCUCAGUACAACAUACAUUGCAGUCAAUCCGAUAUUGCAUGCACGGACAAAGCAAAUAGAACUAGACCAUUAUUUUUAUGCGAAAGUACAACUGGUUGAUCUAUCUUUAAUUCACAUUCCUUUUGAUAAAUAGUUGGCUGAUAUUUUUACAAAACCUUUGUCUACUGCUCGCUUUACUGCGCUUCAUAUCAAUCUUCACAUUCAGCCUUGAGAUGCUCAGAUUGCGGGUGGAUGUUAGAAUCUAAUCAUUUAUGUACUUAUGUGAUUAGCGCUAUUGCCAGUUGUAUUGUACUUGCAUAGGGCAUAGUUAGUAAAUUUGCGAAUUAUUCGCGAAUUUUUGGAAAACCGAAUUAAACGGCCGUAUUCGUAUUUUUCAAAAGUCGGAAAAAAAGGCGAAUUUUUGGGGAAAAAUAAUUAUUCGCGAAUUAUUCGCGAUUCGCGAAUAAUUUGGCCAAAAAAACGGCCCUCGGGCCCGAGCCCGGGCCCAUCCGCGCGCUGCUCACGCGCCCGCUCUCGCGUGCGCACGCGAGAGCCAGCGCUGGCUCUCGCACCGAGCCGCGGNAAAAAAAAAAAUUUACUCAAUCAAAAAAAUUUAAUCUCUUAUGAACUAUUUUAAUCUCUUAUUUGCUUAAUUAUUUAUUUAUUUAGGCAUAAUAUAGUUUGAUAUAUUUUUUUAUUUAAUUAGCUUAAUUUUGUAGCUUUUUAUUCUUAUAUUCUUAAAAAAUAUGAGUAUUUAUGCUAAUAGCAUAAAUCUUGAGAGAAAAAAAUUUAAUUUAAUAGCCGAAUUUUUGAUCCCGAAUUUUUAAUUGGUGAACGUAUAAAAUCCGUAUAAAUCAUGUAUUCGAAUAAUUGGCGAAUCCGUUUUUUAGCCGUAUUUUUCAACGAAUUUAAAAAUUAAAAAACGAAUUUUAUCCGAAUUUUAUCCGUACCGAAUUUUUGCCGAAUCCGAAUUAACUAUGGUAUAGGGUCUAGUUUAACACAAUUUGUACUAUUAAGGUUUUUUUUUGUAUUGUAUUCAUUAUAUAUUCUGUAGAACGCAGCGAAAGAUUUUGUUCAUACCUUUUACAUAAGCGACUCACGCCAGUACGGGAUAAGUCCUGAAUUGUAGAGAUUGAUUCACGUGUCCUCGGAUCAUCCACAAAGGUCUUCUAACGCUCCAAACCCGUGGUAGAUCAAGCUACGAAUGAGGUAGAUCUAUAAUCCACCGUUCAAGACCCCUUAGAGGCAAUAUGUUAAUGAAAGAUGUGGUUUCUCUCUCUCACAGGGCGGCGCGCAAAUUUCUCACGAAUUUCUGGGCAUUUUUCUAUUUUUUCUUGUUAUGUUUUUUUAAGAGAGAAUCACCUGUAUAUUUAUAAGGGAUCUCAACACACAAUAGGUAGGUAGAAGAUUAGGCCGAAUCCGUUUAUGAUUGCUAUCCUAAUAUGGCUAUAAUAUAUCUCUAAUUAGCUUUUCAAAUUAAAAUCGAGAUUAAAUCUAGUCCAAUUAGACAAAAUAAUAACUAUCGAAUCGAGCCCGAUCAUCGGCGCACCCAAUUAGGUUUGACCGAAUGCCAACAUAUUCAAUGGAAACCCUAGAGGGGGCUUUUACGGCUUUACCCAAUCUUUCACAUACUUUAAAUGGAACUUGUUUAUUACUUGUUGAGGACUCCGCAGGAAGAAAUAAAGAAAGUGGGCCCAAAGCGAGCCACAAAUUACAUCAAAAUCAUUGAGUGAUGCUAGAAUAAGCAAGCGAGGACUAACUUACACAUGACAAGUUAGUAUGUGUUUCAGACUUUUAGCGUAACCUAUAUGGUGCUUUUGUUGCCUUCCAGCCAAACCAAUAUGGUGUCACCACUGUUCUUGUGCCAGUGCAGGUCACAGUAGUAUACGUACAUCGCAAUCCAAUUCGCUAUUCUUUAUUACGAGAUGUACCAGCACAGAAUGAGCUUUUACUAGUAUCAGUAAUGCUUAUACAGUCGAGGGAUCAUCUAGUAAUUAAUGAUGACAAUUACUAAUAUGAUCCCACUCAAUGUACUACUAUAAAUGGAAGAUAAAAGUUUACGGCUUUUAGAGUUAUGAUAUUGGCACCUGGAAGUAUCUGUAAUUUUAUAUUGUUGUUAAUUGUUAGUCUUAUAUAAGCUUUUAUGUAUUUUCAUUAGUUGUAUAUGACUGUAUUCAACUUGGACUGGAUAAGAAAUAUAAUUUGGAUCAAGUUUAUAUGCAUUAUAAACCUUACAACAUACUAAAAGGCUAAAAUUACCCAAAAACUAGAAAAAGGUAGUGCUAGCGUGCCACUUGCGUACUACUGGCAGGGGGGCCGUGCUGAACAUUAGCUCAGCCCGUUCUGCUAGCAUAGCAGCAUGGACCGAACCAGUGGCUGGGCAAUCCUUGGCUUCAACUAAACCCUUUACCAUGGAAGUUUCACGAGAGAGGCAAAGGGAUAGGUAAGAAGUUACCCACCUAAAACCUAGUAAAAGCCUACAUGCCUGUGGUUCUUUCACACUCUCUUGCUCUUGAGAGAGACACCACCAAGGAAGAAGAAAAGACUCGCUCUCUCUCUUUGAUCCUAUACUUGACCCAUUAGACCCACUUAAACAUGAUUUCCUUGACCUAAUGUGAGCAACUUCUAACUUGAAUGAGAAAUGACCCAAAAGGCUAAAACAAAAUGGGUUUCGACAAAUACCCUUAUUGACCCUAACAUAACCAAAAGGCAAAAAAAUAAGUUAGUGCUAAUGUUUAACAGCUAGUGGUGAAGUUGAUAGUGGAGGCCUCAAAAUUUGAAUUCGACCAGGUGGAGGCGAAUUGCAGAGAAGUCAAGGUCUUCCGGAGGCUUCAGCCAAUGGUGUGAAGGUAAAAAGUAGAGGUGAAUGUCUCCAUUUGAUGCACCGGGGCACAGACUUUCACAGAUAAAUUUUUGUCAAAUGAAUUGAACUUUAAUAUCACUAGCCAGUAAGACUAUUUAGUAUCAAUUUAUGACCUGCUGACUUGUCGUUGGCAUGCACAACAAGGUUAGGUUCACUUGUUAGGAGGACAGAAGUUUCUAUUUAAUUUAUUGUUCUCGCAGGAGGUAACUUAAAACUCAUGGCUGAAGUACUAAUUGAACAUUAGAUAGGAAAGAAGAAAGGCACAAUAAGAUAUAUAUUCUGAUGUCUUGUAUGGGCAACUAAUGUCGUAAUUAGGAAUGUUGCAUCAAAACUAGAGUUGACAAUUGAACUAACCUUUUUGGGCUAGGCUCAGGCUUGAUUUCAGGCUUGAUUCUAGGCUAAGUUAGGCUGCACUCGAAAUAAAUUAAAUGAUCCAAAUAACAUUAACUGCCACCGCUGCUGUAUACUGAUCCAAAAAAUGCUGCAAUAACAUUGAUUACUGUGAUUGCUGUAAGUUGGGGCAUGAUUCCUAUGAGUGUCUAAAAAGCCAAUCAGAUGGAGGGUGAUAGCAUCAAUGUGUUGUGAUAUAUAAAAUGCACCUCAAUGAUGAUGCUGCUAGUGAAAGGUAGCUCAGAGGUAGCAUAUAUGACAACUCGGUUGCUUUUAUAAGAUGUAAUGGUGGAGGGUUGUUGGAAAUGCACAAAUUUGAUGUUUACAGCCUGCCUAUAUUGUGCAAGGAAAUUUACAAAAUAAUUUUUUAUUACUCUAUAUAUUCUUUCUAUUGAAGUGUACGAGAGGCAUGUGAGAGUAGUCCAUGAAAUUUUGGUUCAUGCAAUUUUGGACCUUUCACUAUGAAUACUUGUUUGUUAUUCUUAAUAUAUAUAAGGGACUUGACUAAAUUGGCUGAAGUUCUAUAGCCUUUGUCACCUUUUGUUCGUAUUGAUUAAGAGUAGAGAUUACAACUGAUUUCCUGAGGAGUGGGGGUGGAGGCCACAACUAUAUAUAGGCCACUCGCCACCCAAGCUACGAAUGAAAAGACGCCAAGUGGUGCAAAACUAUAAGGCAAAGAGGGAGGCUACGAGCUCCCGAGAGACUACACCUAUUGCCCUCCUAGAAACUCUAAGGGACUCUUCACCCUUCGGCAUCCGCGCCAUAAGUCUUGAAACCCGCAUAGAUGCUUCUAGAAUGUCCUAGCAAAACCUCUGACAUAACUCUCUUUCGGAGUUUGGGUGAUUGCAAAGGAGAAGUCGGUGAAAACUACUUUGUCCGUGACAACCUCCCCUACCUAACGCGCAAACGCCUCGUCGCUAGUCGAGCUGCUCCCGGUCCGCGUAGCUUUCCGCUUAGUCCGCUGUGCCUUCGCGCCCGAAUGGCCCUGAGCCUUGCUAUCGCAGUUUGCAUUUGCCCCCGCACCAGCGCCUAGUGCCUUGCCUCUCUCAGCAUGAGCACUAGCGAGCUCAUUGCGCGGAGAAUCCGCCAAAUGUGCCCAUCCUCCACGACAUGCCACGCGCAUGCCGCCAAGCCGCAGGAUGCCCUCGAGUCCUAUCGGGCUCAUGCUUGACAGAAUGACUUGCACUUAUGCUUGACGCUGCCUGCUCCAACACCACUUGAGACUUGACAGCCUCGCCUUCGCUCAGGUCCUCCUUGAGGUCCUCAGCCUUCCCACACUUCACCUCCUCAUAAAGCUGUAAGGUCGUAAAAGUUUAGUCCUUCAUCGGCUCGCCCCAACACAUCGAAACCAUGCAAGGCGCUGACUCAUCCAGGAAGCUCAACACCCACAAGUAUGGCAUAGACGUUGCUUUCGACGAAACUAGGAAGUCCAUCCCGAGGAUCACUCCGAAGUCGUCGAGCGGCCCAACAAUGAAAUUGGCCAUGCCCCUCCACGGGCCGAUGGCUAUCUCCACGCCUUUGGCAACUUUUGCGAUUGGACGCGCCUCGGAGUUGACCGCCUUGAUAUAGCUCGCAUCCUUCUCGAGCGUGAGGCCCAACCGCUUGGCCUCCGCCUCUGCGAUGAAAUUGUGCAUCAUGCCGGUGUCGAUCAUCGCCCGUGUGGUCCUCCCCAUCGACGAACAUUAGCUCCCUCUUGCAGAGCUUGUCACCGCUUGGCUGUCCACGAAUUGGGUUGACGAGCCUUAGCGCGCCCAUCCUCCGCAGCUCUUCCACAUCCUCGCCCUUCUAGGCUUGGACCGCAGCUACUUGCUUUCCUUUCUUGCUGCUCCUAUUUGGGCAGUCUCGCGUCCAAUAUUUCUCACUGCAAAUAGAGCACGAGAUCUUUGCAGGCGGUGGGGCAGGAUUCUCCUUAUGCCUCCUCACGUCAUAGUUAUGCUUAUGCCCCUUCGCGUCCUUGGAUCGUGGUGCCCUCCCCCAUCUUUGGCCUCGCCCACCUUCGGUGGUUCACCUUGAUCGUCCUCGGUUCCAAUUUCUCUGCUAAAGCGAUCACAAAGUUCAGGUCCUUCACAUUUCGCCCCAUGAGCUUCUUGUUCGCCCAGGGUUGAAGACCAUCCGGAAAAAGAAUAACUAAUCCCCAUCGGCGAUGUUGGAGAUCGCCAACAUUAGUUUUGAGUAUUCUUGGACAUGUUCCUUGAGUGCCCCAUGAUGUUAGAGCCGUCGAAGUUGCCUCUCGCGCAAGAUAUACGACAUAAUCGGGAUAGAACUGUGCCUUGAGUUCUCGCACGAAGUCUCCCAGGUCUCAAGUUGGCAGCGACCCUGCUCGGCCUCCGCCGACCACUAACGCCACCACAACAUGGCAUCGUCAGAGAGGUACAUGGCUGCGAUUUGGACCUUAUCCUCCUCAUCCUCCAAUUGCAAUGCCUUGAGAUAGCACUCUAUGUGCCAAAGGAAAUUGUCAAUUUUCUUCUCAUCUCGCGUGCGCUUUAAGUGUUGGGUUCAGGGACGCGGACCUUUGGGGUGUGCUCCUUUCGCAUUUCGACGCUGCAAGCCCCCGCUUUCUCAAGAAUAGUCACCCGCACUUUGAGGUCCUCGACCUCGAUGUAAGGAAGUGAAUUCUCGAAAUAUAAGGAUUGCAUUCCAUCCAGGAUCGACUAAUUGUCGAGAGUAUACCCUUUGUGGGAGUUGGGAAUGUCCAAAGCACAAAAAGUGCCUUGGAGUUGAGUCCGCGAGAGCAAAUGAGGCAAAUGGCAUCAUUGGGCUGAUGCUGCUCUCGGGGACCGGUCUCUGCAGGUGAGAGACCGGUUUCCCUGGCUGGAUGUAGCGGGGUUGCGUGAUGCAACCGGUCCCUGGCAGGGAGGGACCNACCCACUCUAUUUCCAGUGGUAGGUUCAGGGCUGCAGAGAGAGGACCGCGGCAAGGGCGUCGCGCCCGACCAGUGAGACCGUGGUAGUAUAGUAGCUUUCCUUUUUGCAUUAGUCACCUAUGUAUAGAGAGAGAUGCAUUGUAGGUGAGGAUUUGGAGAGCUAUGUAUUCUGGAUGAAAAAUGAUGUAAUGAAUGUAACUAUUGUAAUAGUUAGUAAAGUACUCUCUUUAUUUCACUCGUAUAUCUUGUGGACUUCUUGCUCUUCUUGUCGUCGGCACUGUUCGUGACCGUGUUGAAUGUGUAGCUUUAGAAUUUAAAGUCCUGGGUAAAUUCUUGUACACAUUCCUGUGGUUGAGCCUUGGGCGGGCAGGGGAGGAGCUGUCCGUUCGGCGGUCUGUCGCCGCGGCCGAAUCGCGCCAAAUAGGUAGUGGUUUCGGGGCGGGGCGUGACAUCGCCGACCCUGGUGACAAGAUCCUCCACUAGCACCUUCCGCUCAUCCUCGCGAUAGGCGAGGUCACUGCAGAACUGCUCGAGCUAUUGACAGAAAGUUGUCAUGGCAGUCGCGACGUUGUCCUCCAUGGCAUGCAGCCUCUCCUCCAUCAUCCCCACAUGUUGGGAAGGGAUGGAGUAGUGCUCCUCCGCUCUCGCAGCAGAAUCCUCCAACAAGCCCACGCGGUCGAGCUAAGCGGACUCCUUUGCAAGGGUCCACGGCUCUUUGCCCUUGCCGCGCUUGGAUACCCUAGGUUCAGGUACAAUGUCGACGAUGGCAGCAUCUGAUGUAGACAUGGCUUCCCAGCUUCGAACUCACUCCAAUACCAACUGUCACAAACUUAAGCGAAAUCGCUUGUUUAGCCCGUGCUGCGCUUGCCUUCCUUCGCAAAGUGAGCUAGCCUACCUCUCUGCUCACUAAGUCGGAACCUUCUCGCCCUCAGACUAAGUACAAAAGAGAGUUUGAGGAAUGUUGUGUAUUGAUUAAGAGUAGAGAUUACAAUUGAUUUCCUGAAUAGGGAUAGAAGCCACAACUAUAUAUAGGCCACUUACCAUCCAAGCUACGAAUGAAAAGACGCCAAGUAGUGCAAGACUACAAAGCAAAGAGGGAAGCUACGAGCUCCCAAGAGACUACACUUAAAAUCUCUAAGGGACUCUUGACUCUUCUGCAUUCGUGCUAUAAUUCUUGAAACCCGCAUAGAUGCUUCUAGAAUGCCUAGCAAAAUCUUCGACAAAACUCUCCUUCGGAGUUUGGGCGAUUGUAAAGGAGAAGUCAGCGGAAAAUACUUUGUUCAUGACAUGCAGCUACAGCCACAACCAUAUAAGUAGCAGCAAUAACUGUAGAAGCAGCAGUUGCGGCAACUACAUAGGCGGCGAUAGCAACAACAGCAUUAGCAACGGCUGCAACAACAGUGGUUGCAACAGUAGUAACCGCAAUGAGGGGAGUAAACAAAAGCCGCAACAGUAGGAGCAUUAGAAACAGCAGCAGCAACAAGGAGCAGCAGUGGCAACAGAAGCUACAGUAGCAUUAGCGGUGAAGCAGCAAUGCAUCCGCAUCAUAUGACAGUAAUACAGCAGCAUUUGGCGGUAGCAAAUCUCGUUCGUUGAGGCCUUACGAUGAAAUAGAAUGGUUUGAAGAAACGGAAGGCCAUUGGGUCUCCUCCCCUCCCCCUUUGAAGGCCCUUACACAAGAUUUGCCGAGUAGAUGGUGAGAAGGCGAGAAGGCGGCAACAUGGCGACAAAUCUCGUUAACCAGUGAAUAGGGAUCAAGUAGAGAGGUCCUAACAAACGGAGGUUCACCGGCCCUCCUUUCUUCUCCCUCCGAAAAGGUUGAUGUGAGGUUCGCCGACUAGAUGGCAAAGCGACAUUGGCACGCACACAAGAUCGGGGCAUGCUGGAGGAUCAGCAACAUGAUGUGUAUUGGCUGAGCAGCAUCGGCACGCACUCGAGAUUUGUGCUUGCGAAAGGAUCGAUAACAGGGCGGAGGUUAGUCAAGCGGCAUUGGCGAGCGCACAUGAUCGACAUAUUAAACAACAUUGGGAUUGACAAAUGCGAAAGGAUUGACAAUGGCAUGUGCGACAUUACACGCAUGGGAUCGAUAAGUGUAGAAAGGUCGGCAAUGGCCCGUGUAUCAGUCGGUGUCAAUGAGUGGACGAGAUUGACGUACAUGGAGGAUCGGCAAACACACGCGUCUAUUGGUGAGUGCAUAGGAUUAGCUUAUGCGGGAAGAUCAACACACAUGGGAAAGACGUCGGCGCACACACAGUGGGAUAAUAGUGUCAGCGGUGUGGUUUCGAGAUGCGGGGGAGGAUCAAUGAUGCUAUAUGCAUACUAGUGAACACACGGAAGCAAAUCUUUUUUUCCUCUUUUUUCGGUCUAGAUAAUGAUGUGUAAAAAGGGAAAAGAUUUCCUUCCCCUCCCCUCACCCCGAACAAUCAAUGCGAGAGAGAGAGAGAGGUCCCUUUUCUUUCAAGGGUCCACAUCUCCUUGGAUAGAAGAAACCCUCCCUCAUUUCGUAUAAGGAUAGAAAAAGAAUUGUUAUAAUGUGAUAAAACUCAAAUAAUUUAGAAAUAAUUAAAUUGUUAUUAUAUGGUUUAGAAAAGAUUUACAUAAAUCUGUUUCAUCCUUAUCUUUUGGAGGUGUCUCUCUCUCAUUCUAAUCCUAUUUUAAUUUGCGAAUUUGGUUUAACCGGAUCAAUUUGAAUUGCAUCCAACAUGAGUUGAAAAUAAAAAUAAUAACGAAAAAAAAGUAAGAAAAUUUAAAAAAAAAAAUACAUUAUGAUAUAAAACACAUUACUGGCUUAAAAUGUUAGUAAAUUUAAGAGAUCUACUAGUAAUCUUAUAUAUCAACAUUUAUAAACAAAUAUUAAUCCCUAAUAUUUUUGGCUGAGGUGGCACAACCUUCUUCAUUUGGCAAGAGAUGUUAGACCCUUUUUUUUCUUUUUUUUAACUCCUAACUUUUGUGUCUUUUUCUCUUCUCAUUUAGCAAGAGGUGUGGCAUCAAUUUUUUUUGUUAACUCCUAACUUUUGGUGUCUUCUCAUCUUCUCAACGUCUGUCACUUCACCUCCCCCCAACCCAUCUUUUUUUUCUCCCCCUAGCCUACACGUCUUUUCCUUUUCUCUACCAUUCAUUUUCCCCUAACUCCCAACCGUACAAGAUGUUUCAGUGGCGUGGUCAUAACGAUAACGAAGGCGGUAAAUGUGAUGGCGCCUUUUUUUUGUUCUUUAACUCCUAACUUUGGUGUCUUUUUCUCUUCUCAUUUAGUAAGAGGUGUGGCAUCAAUUUUCUUCUUUUUUUUUAACUCCUAACUUUUGGUGUCUUCUCAUCUUCUCAACCUCCGCCACUUCACCUCCCCCCAGCCCCUCUUUUUUUCUCCCCCCAACCUACACGUCUUUUUCUCUUCUCUACUAUCCGUUUUCACCUAACUUUCACAACCCCACCUACUCUCUUUCUUUGUACAGUUUUUUAGAAACCCUACAAGAUGUUUCAGUGGGGUGGUCAUAACGGUGGCGGAGGCGGUAAAUGUGAUGGCGGUGGAGACCAAAAUGGCGGCGGCGGUGGAGGCGUGGGCAAUGGCAGUAGAGAUCGAGGCGGCGACGGAAGCAAUGGCGAUCCUUGCCCUCUAGAAACCAAUAUGAAGUGAGAAUUCCUUGAUCCUUUUUUUUCUCUUUUUAUUGUCUAUUUUUUCAUCUAUUUUUAACUCAUUUUAUAGUAUUUUCUUGAGAUUAUUUGGUAGUUUCUUUUUAAGGUGUUAGGUUUGAUUAAAAAUUUAAUAUUUUGAUAAUACCUGCCCGCCGCAUCGCGCCGGUAACUACACUAGUUUCUAAUAAUUUAUUUAAUUAUUUUAAUUUUUCAAUUUUAAAAAUAAACAAAAUAAUGAAAAAAAUUAUAAGUUUGAAAAAAAAAUACAUUAUGGUUUAUGAAAUAGAACACAUUAUUGGCUUCAAAUGUUGACAAAUCUAAAAAAUCUACUACUAUCUCAACAUUUCUAUCCAUAUUCUUUUAUUACUUCAAAAAUUAAAGUAAUAAAAAUAACCAAAAAAAUAAAUUAAAUUAAAAAAAGGGAAAACUUCAAAAACCCCCUCUGUGGUUUCAAACUUUUUCAUUUUAGUACCCUGUGGUUUAAAGUGUAUCAAAUUAGUACCCUGUGGUUUUGUACUUUAUCACUUUAGUACCCUGUGGUUUCACACUUUAUCACUUUAGUACCCUAUAGUUUAAAAAAUCACAGGGUACUAAUUUGAUACAAAAUCAAAACCACAGAGUACUAAAGUGAUAAAAUGCAAAACCACAGGGUACUAACUUGAUACACUUUAAACCACAAGGUACUAAAGUGAUAAAGUGAGAAACCACAAGGUACUAACUUGAUACAUUUUAAACCACAGGGUACUAAAGUGAAAAAAAUUAAAACCACAAGGGGGUUUUUUGAAGUUUUCCCUUAAAAAAAAACAUUAUGCAAUAAAACAUAGUAUUAGCUUCAAAUGAUAGUAGAUCUAAGAGAUCAUUUAGAAUCUCAACAUUUCAAAACUUUUUAGUUAUUACUCUGAUUUUCGGAAUAUAAAAAUAAAAAAUAAGAAUAAUAAAAAAGUCAAAAAAAAAUAAAGAAAAUCCUUUUUUUUUUUUCCUAGAUCGUAUUAAGAACAAGCUCAAUGCUAAAAGUUUUAGCUUGGAACUUCUUCAAGAAGAAAAUCCUCUUGUUUCUUAAGGAUUUCUUGAGGGAAUAAGGGAGAAAGAAAGAGGAGAUUUCUCUCUUCUCUGAAACUGCAAAGCUUCAUGAGUACACAAACCGAAAAGGACCAAAAGUGGUCUUUGCUCCUAGAAAUGCCUACAGACAUCAUUUGGAGAUUUUUUUGACCAUCAAAACAUGUCUUGCGAACCCCAAGAGUAGAAAAAAUAGCUAAAUAGAUUGCACUAGCACGGACCAGCGCAGGGCAAUCUAAGCAACACGCUGUUGAACUGGCAAGGACCAGCAAAGGGCGAUACUUAGGCUGCAAGGAUUUAAGUGUCGUGGUACAAGAUUAUGCCAAAAACUUGCUAACACUAUAUGACACGAUACAUACUGUGCCGAUGUGUGCCGAUUACAAAGAAUACCUUUGUGCUGACACAUAAUGGUAUGAAAUAUUUAUUUUCUUUCGUACUAAUAUAUAUUCCUAUUGCUUAUUAUGUAUCUUUAAUAAAUCUUUUAAACUUUAUUGAGAUAAUUACUUGCUAGUUUCAAAGAAAACAGGUUUUUGAGCCGUGUCAUUGGCAUAGGGGCUGUACCAUGCCGAUAUCUUGUCAACACGAUUCGGUAUGGGCAUACGGCCCAUACCGAUAGCACUUAAAUCCUUGCUAAGCAGCAUCCCUAACACUGCUCGGUGCCUAGCGGCACAAGCCCAUGCCACGUGCUGACACACCACGUGCCAGCACAUUGUUGGCAUGGCAGAUAUGGGCAAUCCUUGGUUGAAACUUUUAUUUUGAUGGUUUUGGUUUUCUAUAUAUGGUGUUCGGUUCUCUUGAAGAAGUUAAUGAAAUCCAUAAUUCUAGCUGUUUUAGCUUGUUCUUCUAAAGCUUUAUAUGUCCCUUUUUGUCAUCUACAGUGGUUGAGCAGUCUUGGGCAUGUAGAAAGCUCACAUUUCAGCUUCUACACUUGGUGAAAAAGGUGUGCUUGGAUUUGAGUCAUUCUUUUACUUCUAGCUAGAUAGAUCACUAUUGGGACUUCGACAAGGUGAACACUAUUUUGCCUUUCCAGUGGCGACAAGGGAUGUUGCACAUCACCUUGGGAAGCUUCUACCCAAAUGACGUAGUGGACAAGACCAGCCAAAGGAGGAACUCAGCAGCUUCUCCUUGCUCGCAUUUUGCCAUCUUAUCCUUAAAAGCUGUAUCGCGCCAACUCACAUCAAAGAAAAAGAAAAGCUUGGAGGGGAAGCCAUGGUCUCUUCUCCCUCCUCCAAAAAAAAGUUGGGGUGCGGGGGGGUACAUCCAACACCACAGGCACGAAAAAAAAAAAAAAGAAAAAAAAAAUAAAACAUAUGCAAAUACCAAAAGGUGAUUUGGUGAUUGAAGGAGAUGAAGAUGAUGGGAAAUAGGCAAAAUGGGUCUUGGGAUGGAUGGAAUCAAAACUCAACACCCAUUAACCCAUGUAGUCAUAAAUAUUCGGCUCAAAAUAAAGUAAUGGUUAUUGAGAUAGGCCAACAAUUUGAGUUGGAUCUAGACCCAAUCAACAAACGAGGCCAUUGACUAUGAUUCGGAUUCAACAUGAACCCAAUUAGUUCUGCUUAGCCUAAUAAACCAAAUUGAUUUGGCUCGGAUCUAAUCGUGAUUUAAACAAGUUUGAAGGAAUCUGAAUUAUGGAUCGCCUUCAAUCAAUCCAAUCGUGUUUGUUGUGCAUAAAAUAUAGAGACCUAAACCGUGUAUAAUCUAAUAGAAUCCGGUGAUCAACAAAUGUCCAAGAAAUUGAUAUAAGAACUAAAUUGUAAAUUGAGCAGACUACUUGGACCUCUCCAAAAUUGGAAAACAUCUUUAGAGUCUUCAAUCUUCAGUUUGUUUUGCUAAAGUACAUUUGUCCAUGUAGCCCGCUCUAUAAUCAAAGUCAAUAGAAAGCUCCUUUCAUCUUUGUGUCAUUUAUCAGUUAACUCCUGUCAGAUUUCAAUUAUAAAUAAAAUAUAAAUUUCAUAAAAAAAAAUAUAUACUAGGUAAGCCAGAUAAGCACAGUAAACCUGGACAACAUCCAUUGCUAUUGGAUAAUGAGAUUCCAAUCUACGCUAUUAGUUAAUCACAAUUAGAAUUAUAAUUGAUGCAGCAAGGAUACAACUAAGCAUUCACAACCAUUACAAUAACCAUGAUUUCUUGCUUAACUUUAUCAGCUGAAUUUAUCAAGCUUAACUGGAUUUAUUGAACAUAAGCGAGCCAAUAAUUUGUGGUUGGGGUUGAUAAUAUAAAUUAACUUCUUCAACAAAAAUGGUUCAGUUGUUCAACUCAGACGUUUUAUUUGACUUUGAAAUUUGAUUGAAUCCAAACCCGACUUGUAAAUACUGCUUGAUCUAAUUAUUAGUUAAAUACUAUCAAUUAAACUAAUUUAACACGCCUAAUAAUUUGUUUUGGUAUAAAUUUCAAAGAGAUCAGGUUGGUCAUCCCUACUAAUUUAAUCGUGGAAUGAGCUUACAGUUACAAACUUAAAGGAAAUAUGUGAGUAAUGGUAAGCCGGCUAUGCAGCCGGCUCCUUUACUAGUACUAAUUGGUACACAAUACCCUUCUUUUUUUCACCCUUUUCUUUCACCCCUUUCUUUGGGGUGGGGGGAGGAUGGGGUUGGGAAUGUUAACUAUACUAAAAGAAUGAAUGGGAAUAAAGAUGUAUAAAAUAUGUCAUUUUACCUUAUUCCAAUGCUGCGAACCAAUCCUUUGGAAACAAGAUCUUCCAUUGCAUGCCACGUAGUCUCGAGUGAAAUGUUAGUGUCUAUGUCCAGCACACCAUCUUCAUCAAGGGCACUACCAGUCGUCCCAACCCCUAAAUGGGUAUGCAAAAGAAGAUAAAACUACCAAUGCUAAUCGUGAUUUGAGUACAUAGCCUAUUGCUAGUAAGAUAAGAGGAGGGUCACACCAGUAUGCCUGGUUGCUAUAGGAAAGUGAACAAGGUACAGAUCAAGAUAGUCUAGUUGGAGUUUCUUCAAGCUGUCCUGACAGGCCUCCGAAACAUGCCCAUGAUCCGAAUUCCAAAGCUUUCAUUAUAUGAAGAAAUCAAAUUAUCCAAAUGAUGAAUCGAGCAGCCAUGCAGUGGCAUGCAAAGAUUACAAAGAGAAUAGGAAAAAAAAAAACGAAAAACAAAAAACAAAAACACUAAAAGCGACUUAAGGGCAUCGGAUACUUACCUUUGUGGUGAUGAAAAGGUCUUCCCUUUUCACCAGACCCGUCUGAAAUGCCUCUGCAAGAGCUUCACCAACUUCUGAUUCAUUCUGGUAGUCGGCUGCAAAUAGUUGAGUAUUUAGGUAGAGAAGAAAUAAAAUCACAGUUGAAAAUGUUCGCAUAUUGUUACUCUUCAAUUCACAACUCAAGCAAAACCAUUACAUUUGAAUAACAAUACAAGUCCACUGAAAGAGGAAAAAAUAGAAUAGUAAAACAACAAACAAGUGUUUGUUACAUCUAUCACAGAAAAUUAAUUAAACCAUUCUUCAAAGUUAAAAAUCUAUAUAGAUAAGUUAUAAAAGCACCAAUAGUUUUCAUCAAGAGCCAAUCUCGACAAUCUGAUCAAAAUCUCUUUUACUUACCGUCCAUCUUAUCCUUCCUAUAGUGGACAAUCACAAUCGGGGUUUCCCUGUUGCUUGUUGUGACAGUAAACUUCGUUUUUUUGCAAUCAUAUGGUUCUAGCUUCAAGUUUUUGGAUUAACAACAACAUAAAAAAAAUGUUGAAGAUUGGGUCUCUCUCCAAAACUUUCCUCUAAGAUCCUUUUUUUUGUGGGUUCAUAAUGGUGAGUAGUGGCCUUUUUUAAACUCAAAAGUCACCACAACACUGGUAUGCAAGUAAAAGUGCCAAUCCUAUACUCACAUCUACACAUAUGAGAGCAUGCUCUCAUACUCUUCUUACUAAAAAAGAAGUCUGCUCCGAUCUGGAAACCCACAAAAUAUAGUGCUCUGAGAAAUAUGUCAAGCGUAAUAAGGUAUUGUUUGUUGAACACACCAUCGACAAGCUAUUCUUACUUCAAGUGUCCUUUCACGACCACCUAUACCAGCUGAAAAAUUUGUUGAAGGAGUUUCAGACUUUCUCCAGUUACAACAGUAUAAGAUGAAAAUCUGUGCCAUUAUAGUGCGAUUAAGAAUCAUCCUUGGUGGAAUUAAAUUCAAAAGAGUGUCCUUUUUUCGCAUGUUUAAUUUUAUGUCUUAAAGCUGCUAUCAGAAAUGCCCAACAAAGUAACCAAGAAGAUCCAAGAUGAAAGAAAAGGUACAACAAAAUGUCUUAAUUUUUUUUACCAAGGGUUUUUAGAAUUUUACUACUGGGAAGUUUAGACAACCAGUAGUCUCAGAAAGAAAGGAAAACAGAUUACCAACCACUUUCUUUCAGGAAAAUUUUGACAUAAAAUUAACCUGAAUAAUCCUUCAAACAAAGCUCAAGUUUGACUGGCAUGAGGUUAGUUUAAACUACCUUUCACCGUCGGACUAAAAUUAUAUAUAUUACUGCCUUUCAAAUACCGAUUUUGCUACGCAUUAACAGUGUCUCAAUAACCGCUAGAUAGUUUGAAUCUUGCCAGCAAUUAACAAGUUCAAUAAAAAAGAUUAUCAUCGAAAGGAAUACUAUUGUCCUUCUACUAGGCCCAGUUUGUGCUUCUGAUUAUCAAUUUUACAGGUGAAUGAAACUACUACGAUUUUAUUAUCCACAAUAGUACUCGGCAAGAGUUUAUAUAAGAGAGGGCAAAGUUUUUGAUAACAAGGUUGGCAUUCUCUCCUUCCAAAGUGCGGGACGACAGCAGUACAAUUUUCAAGUUUCCCAGAGAAUACCACAGUGGUGACAAUUACGACAGGAACAAGGACAAAGCUUAAGGGUUGCUAGGCUUAAUAAUAGCAUAUGACCUUUCCCAGACUGCCAUAAUCCGAACGAAGCAGCGUUUACAAUGUGAUGCCCGAAAUAGUUAUCCUGACAAACUGGUAUCCGGCAGGAUUUACUUACUAUUGGACCGAGCAUGAGUAGCUAAAUGAAACAAAUCUUAUAAAAAGUGAUCAUCCAUUUACUGAUACGAGCAACCUAGCACAUGAGACAGCGAAAGUGCACUGAUCUGAUAUUGGAAAUCAUCCGCAGGAAAAGGAAAGGGUUAAUUUGGGGGAAGCGGAAGCAAAAGCAGAAGCACCUGCACAGUCGAAGUGGCGGUAGCCGAUAUUGAUGGCGGAGAGGACGAGGUCGCGGAUGGACUUGCCCUCCAUCCGCCACACGCCAAGGCCGAUGAUCGGCAUCCUGAACCCGCUGCUCAGCGUGAUCGCCCCCGCCAUUCUCUGCGCUCGCUCUCCCCUCUCUUUGGCCUUCGAUGAUGACGACUGCUGUGAGUGAUUGACUAGAUAACCGCGCCAGGAUUGGAGGAGCAGAGCGUCGUAUCAGACCUGGAGUGGCUGAGCGGUGCGCCACUGGAAUUUUAAUUUUAGAUGGGGGUCGUCGCUCUGCAGUUAAUUGACCGUCUGAGCCGGCACAAGAAAUGUACAAAACAGUAUUUUUUUUAAAAAUAAUAAUAAUAAUAAUUUUUAAAAAAAAUUGAUAGGCCAAAUAAUUUUUUCAAAUUUUUAUGGCCAAUUUGCAUAAAAAAUUCACUAGUUUUGCGCUUUUGCAAAUGUGGGCCACAUUUUUCGAUUUUGCAGAUUCGGACCGGAGUUUUAGUAAACUGACCAAAAUACCCUUCGUCUACAUCCGCCGCUCGCGUAUUCUUUGAGAUACGUAUACCCUACCAUACGGUCCAGGCGGGUAUUAAAUGCGCCCCUUGCGCUUUACGCAAUCUCGGCUCUUUUUCGAAACCCAGACCAAAUUCGCCCCGUUAUUCGCCAGUUCCGCUGUUUGCUGUUCAGCUUUAAGAAUUUAAAUACUCUGAAGCUAAAAGAUAAGAACUACGUGGCCCGCAACAGGGGUAAUAGUGCAACGCCCCGGAGCAACGCGAGGAGAAAUGGUGCAACAACCAUUCUAACAGUGCAUCCUUCGGUUCGCUCCAGUGCAAUCUACACCAAAACGAUGAGUGACGCUCGCCUUCAAUCUGCUCGCUCCCCAGGGCAACCUCCUACUCCCUCGGAAGGUACUAGUUCAACAAAAGGCUUGAAGAAAGUAGUUCAACAAAAUGCUCGACGUGGUGUAACAUUCUCCGAUUUUAUGCAAGAAAUAAAAAUAAAUGCAGCAAUCUGUUCAAUAUUUUAACGCAAAUGGUGCAACGAGUCCACAACUAGUCAAAAUUUUCUCUAUAUUUGGUGAUAUAAUCUAAAAUUAAUAGUGCAAAUAAGUCCAAAAAUUUUUCUACGGCGAAGAACGGCGUUCUCUCCAAAUGCAGGCGAAGCGACAGCGGGGCAGUAGCGUCGGCGGCGAGGGCGGUGUUUGAGAGGUGCAACAUAACGCCUAAACGAUUAAAGAAGAUAACAGUAUAGUGUAACAUCUCUUUAAAAAGCUCACUUUCUUCUUUCAGCCGUAUAAUAAUAGUGCAACGUUAAAUGCGAAUAAUAGUGCAACGCAGGGUAAAAGAGUGCAAGAAAGCUUGUAAGAGUGCACAGCUCUUCCUACUAAUAGAGCAACACUCACCGUAACAGUGCAAUGCAGUUCCAACCAGUGUAACAUAACGAGUGGAACACUGGCUGGAACGAGUCGUUAUUAAUGGUAUAAUAUUUGCCUAACAUUAAUACUGCAACGAGUGGUUUAACAGUGUAAAAUUCUCUCCCUAAUCGAUGAUAACAUGUAAUUAAUAGUACAAAUAAGUUUGUAAAACUCGAAUAAUAGUCUAACGCGGGAUAAAAGAGUUCAACUAAACCUGUAAGAGUGCAACACGGUCAUAAUAACAGUGUAACAUUCACCAUAACAAUGCAAGGCAGUUCCAAACAGUCUAACAGAAAAGUGCAACCCAAUAUAAAAUUGUGCAAUAUGCACCUCUAAUUAGUGCAAGUCAUCACUAACUAUUGAAAGUAAGUCCGAAACCAAAGGAAGCGUAGUGGAGUUUAUUCAAGUACCCAUUUGCAGAGGAUUAGUGGAAGAAGCGUGGCCGAGAUACAUGGCGUUAGGGUCUGCAUGCGGAGGAGAGAGGAGGUAAGAGUGAGGAGGGAUAAGGGAGUUACGCAAAGGUAGUAGUGUAAAAAAAAAAGGAUGAGGUGGUGUAACAUAUUCCUAAGUAAUGCAAUGGUUUGAAGAAAAUGGCGCAAUGAGUCGUUAAGCAGUGUAAAAUUACAAGUCUCAAAAAGUAUUUUAGUAGCCAAAAGAAUAAGAAGAAGAAUUGAAACAGAAAAUGUAAUCUCCAUUAAUCUGGCAUCAAAUUGUACGAUUUUAUAGUUCUUUACAACAUACAAGACAGGAUUUGCAAACAAGAUACAGUGUUCUCCAAACAAUUAACGAAACAAUAUAGAUCAUAUGGCAUCUUUUGCACUUCCAUGUAGAGGGCGAUGCUACUUUUGGACAAGGAGGUGAAGGCGACGAACGGCGUCCACCCCUAAACGCAGGCGAUGCGGUGGCUAUGGAGGGGGGUUGUCGUAUUCCUCAUCUCCAAUUGUUGUGGCGGUGGCGGCGACGCAUCUCUUCGUCGUUUUUUAAAAAUGGUUCUUUAAAUGCAUUCUCGUUCCAUUACUAUAUAUAAAAAUGACAUAAAGACAACCAGGUUAAAGCGACGCUACUUUUGGUCAAGGAGGUAAAGGGGACGAAUGGCAUUGUCACGCCCGGGCCCCAGCGAAAGCCUGCCCGAAGCGUGCACAGACUCGCCAUGUACACCAAGCACCCCUCGAUGCACAUAAGGCGUCUAAUAAAACAAGAAAGAAACAAGAAUAGAUCCCUAACAAAGCUAUCAGAACAAAUAAAUAACUCUACUAAAAAGUCUACAAUAUCAACAUCCACAAGAUACAUAAUAAGUGUAUACAACUGAAUCCAUAAGUAAACUAUAAACUCUCUAAACAAAUACAUAGUACAUCUUUCAACUAUAAUAAAAAAGAAAGAUGUCGACGGGUCCAACUAUGAAAACACCGCAGAGGCUCUAGCUAGACGCUAACCCCUUGCCACGAUCCCUAGCCUCUCUCGCUGCGGAAGGCUCUGAAACAAAAACAAACAACUAAUGGGGGUGAGAACUAUUAAACAAUAGUUCUUAGUAGGUAAGCCGCCGAGAAUGGCGAAAUACACCACUAGGUCAACUGAGGCAUGCUAUAAUAUAAUAUGUAAGCAUACAUAAGGAUAACAAAUAAAUUAAACAAUCCAUUUCUAAGUCAUGCCUUUACUUGAUAAAGUUAAUUAUUAUGUUCUAAUGCCACAUGUUCAGAUAUAUACUUAUGCAGGUUUAAAUGCAUGUUCAUCUUUACUAUAAUGACGCAAAGAGUAAAUUAUACUUUUUAUUGUCAUUAUAAUUACCAUGCAUCUAUACUAAUCAACAUAAGUGUAGGUUUACUACCACUAAAGUUGUCAAUACCGAUAAUGACUAACAUAAAGUCCAUUUUCUAGAAAUGCAUCAAAAGAGCCACGAGGUAGUAACCCACUAAUAUGUUCAUCUACUAUAUAUGCAUCAACCAUGGGUGAUGUACAACAAGUUGAGUCUCAUUUACCCAAUUAACGAGGGACUUACACGUGGUAACGUUCCGACUCGUGUUGUGCCUAAUGGACCCGUGGUAGUCAACACUCCCCAUGGCAAUCCACUUCGGCGCCCAAUCCCGCACGGACGAUUUGUCAUUGCAAGGCCACUCUGGAGUGCCGGCUUGUAGGGAGCGACCCUCACAAGCUUGUGCGAAUAAGCACAAUGACAAGCAAGCGUGAUCAAUAGCAUAGGGUCCACAAAUCGAAUACUCAAUCAUCAUGUCUAAAAUAUGAAAUUUCACACAUCGACUCGACGGUCGGGUACUAGAUCAUUCAUGUCAUGUUUUGUUCACAAUUACAUUGGGGUAUGUCCCUACCGACACAUAAUAUGCUAUAAGCAUGCAUUGGUUCGCAUCUCGUUAUCCUAUCUAGAAUAAUUCACUAUUUUAAUCAAGGCUCAAAAGAGGUCUCAUAACAUACUAUCCCACUAUAGUCAAGGGAGUCAUUACUAAUGUCAUAUGCAAAAAGUUAUAAAGAUGUCCACAAGAAUCAUAAUGCAUGUCAUGCGUAUGCUUUGCUACCAAAGCCUCCACUACAUAGAGUAUAGAAGUUGUCAUGGAAGCAAUUUCAUUCAACUAGUAUUAUAUGCAAAUGUCUCUAUUAUAGUGCGCCCAAAGAGGUUGCAAUUUCAUUCGCCGUGUCUAACAUAUGGAAUACAUCUAACGAUCUCUAGAUCGAAUACUUUGUUACAAUGUCAAGUUCUAGUUGUUCAACUAGGUUAAAUAUACCAUGCUUGGUUUCAUGUUUAACCCUAUCAUGCACUAUGUCACCUUUACCUUGUUUAUCACAAGUAUAUUGUUCAUCAUGCAAGUGAUUCUAUUUCAUUCACUAUGAAUACUCCAUAGGAUCAAUCAUUUCUAACAUGCUUCCUAAUGUUGCAUAUGAGGAAAUCAUCAUGAAGCACUAUAUAACACACAAGUCCACAUUGUAUGCCUCUACUUCGUAGAGCAUAAAACUUUCUACAUAUAACAUGUAUAUAGCAUGCAUUCUAAAAUUCCCUCAUGACAUAUUUAGCAUGAAUAUGCAUCCAGUUAAGUUUAAAGACAACAUCGAAGACAUAGAGAAAGUUAGUGUUGAUGUAUCAAGGCUGCACUAUCUCUUUUUUUUCCCUUUUUUUUUUGUUUAGUCAGUUUGCUAAUGUCCUAUUUCUUAGGAAUGUCUAGCUGUAGUUUGGUUAUUUUGUUAGUUUGUUGCUGUUUUUGUGGACCAAGUAAGCUGAUAGUUGGUUAGCAACUUGUUAAAAAAAAAAAAAAAAAAAAAAAGGAAAAAGGAAUCUGAAAUAGGUUCCCAAUUCUUCUUUGUUCUUUGAGAAUCAACACUGGUAUCAGAGCCCUUCUUGAUCUUAAGGGGCUGUGAAUGACUUGUGAGAUUGAUUGAGAGGUGUGUCUGCAUCCAUAGAAACUUAAGGCAAGAUGUAGACAGGAUCGAGUGGUCUCUCAACAAUGGCUCCACCAGUGUUUGAUGGUGAAAAUUAUCAAGCCUGGGUAGUAAGAAUGCGAGCCUAUUUAGAGGGUUGUGAUCUUUGGGAAGCGGUGGAACAAGAUUAUGAAGUUACUCCACUUCCUGACAAUCCAACCAUCAAUCAGAUCAAGUUUCACAAGGAGAGGACAACAAGAAAAGCUAAGGCAAAGUCUUGUUUAUAUUCUGCUGUCUUACCAGCCAUUUUCAGCAGAAUUAUGAGUUAUGAAUCUGCCAAAGCUAUCUGGGACUUCCUCAAAGCGGAGUAUCAAGGAGACGAGAGGAUUAGAAGCAUGAAGGGGCUAAAUCUGAUGCGAGAAUUCGAGAAACUGCAAAUGAAGGAGUCUGAGACAAUUAAGGAGUAUUCUGAUAAGUUAACAAGCAUUGCAAAUCGAGCAAGAGUUCUUGGCACUGACCUCUCUGAUAAUAGGCUAGUGCAGAAGAUUCUUGUCUCCCUGCCAGAGAGGUUUGAGCCAACCAUUGCCUCUUUGGAGAAUACCAAGGAUUUAUCUCAGAUCAAACUUGCAGAAUUGCUAAGUGCUCUGCAAGCACAAGAGCAAAGAAGGUUAAUGAGGAUGGAAGAAAGUACAGAAGGAGCUCUGCAGGCCAAAGAGCAACAGAAUGUAGGUGAAAGAGGCAAGAAGUGGAAAGGGAAGAAAGGGAAUGGCAGUACUGGUUCAGAAUCUGCUGCAGGAGAGAACAGUGCAGGCAACUCUAAGAACAAUUGGAGAAGGUAUUCCCCAUGUCAGCACUGCGGAAAACAGAAUCAUCCACACUUUAGAUGUUGGAAGAGGCCAAGUGUAAGGUGCAGGAAAUGUCAAAAGUUUGGACACAUUGAGAGGUUCUGCAAAGAGAAGGGAAAUCAGCAGCAAGGUGAGGCACAGGCUGCAGUACAACAAGAGGUAGAUCAAUUAUUUGUUGCCUCUUGUUUCUCCUCUAGUACUCCAUGUGAUAGUUGGCUUGUUGAUAGUGGUUGCACAAACCAUAUGACAAGUGAUGAAAAGCUAUUUAUUAACCUUGACAAGUCAUUAAAGUCAAGAGUGAGAAUUGGAAAUGGGGAGUACUUAGAAGUGAAAGGGAAGGGAACUGUAGCAAUAGAGAGUUGUGUUGGAACUAAGCUAGUUUCUGAUGUAAUGUAUGUGCCUGAGAUUGAUCAAAAUUUGUUAAGUGUGGGACAGUUGGUUGAAAAGGGAUUCAAAGUGAUAUUUGAAGAGGGAAAGUGUUUGAUCCAAGACUCCAGUAAUCAGAAGUUGUUCAAAAUAAAAAUGCAACAGAAGAGUUUCUCUUUGAAUCCUCUUGAGAAGGAGCAAGUGGCAUUCAAGUGUCAGACCAGUAAUUCAGAGAUAUGGCACAAAAGGUUAGGCCACUUUCAUCACAAAGGUUUGUUGUUCAUGCAAAGGAAUGAACUGGCAACUGGAUUACCAAGCCUGGAGGAGCAGAUCACAAGGUGCAAGACUUGUUUGCUGGGCAAACAGACAAGACUUCCAUACAAGGAAUCCACCUGGAGAGCUACAGAGAAGCUGCAGCUGAUUCAUACAGAUCUCUGUGGUCCACAAGUGACUCCUUCAUUAAAUGGCAGCAGGUAUUUCAUUAUUUUCAUUGAUGAUUAUACCAGAAUGUAUUGGAUUUACUUUAUGAAGCAGAAGUCCGAAGUUGCUGAGGUAUUUCUAAAGUUUAAAAGAUGGGUUGAGAACCAAAGUGGUUGCAAAAUUCAGGUCAUCAGAUCUGAUAAUAGAACAGAAUAUACUUCACAAAAGUUUAACUCCUUUUGUGAAGAAGCUGGAAUUGAGCAUCAGUUUACUGCUCCUUACUCUCCAUAGCAAAAUGGAGUUAGUGAAAGGAAGAAUAGAACUGUUAUGGAGAUGACUAGGUGUCUAUUGCAAGAAAAGAAUAUGCUAAAAGAGUUUUGAGCAGAAGCAGCAAACACAUCAGUCUUUCUGCUGAAUAGACUACCUACAAGGGUAUUGGAGAAGAAGACACCAUUUGAAGCUUGGUUUGGUAUCAAGCCUAUUCUAAGAAAUUUGAAGGUGUUUGGUUGUUUGUGUUUUUCUCAUAUUCCACAAGUCAAGGAGACAAGCUGGGAGAGAAAGCUGAAUCUGGGAUCUUUGUUGGUUUCAAUUCAGUAUCAAAAGCCUACAGGAUCUAUCAACCACAGAAGGGGAAGGUGAUCACUAGCAGGGAUGUUCAAUUCCUAGAAGAUGAGCAAUGGGACUGGACAAAUGAGCAACAAGGCAAGCACAAAGAGAUCUCUCUGGAACCUGACGAGCUUGUGGAUGAUGCUUCAGUUAGAGGUACCAGAUCUCUGACUGAUAUAUAUCAAAGGUGCAGUGUAGCUGUUUUGGAACCUACAGGAUAUGAGGAAGCUAAAAGUGAUCAGAAAUGGAUGAAUGCAAUGAAGGAAGAGUUAGCUAUGAUAGAAAAGAAUCAGACAUGGGAGCUAGUGGAGAGGCCUGAAGACAGAAAGGUGAUUGGAGUAAAAUGGAUUUUUAGGACCAAACUCAAUUCUGAUGGCUCAGUGAAUAAGCAUAAGGCCAGGUUGGUUGUGAAGGGAUAUGCACAGGUUUGGGGAGUUGAUUUCUCAGAAACCUUUGCUCCUGUGGCAAGACUGGAUACUAUUAGAAUGACUCUUGCAUUGGCAGCUCAGCAAGGAUGGAAGGUGUAUCAGUUAGAUGUAAAAUCUGCAUUUUUGAAUGGAGUGUUGCAGGAGGAGAUUUAUGUUGAGCAGCCAGAAGGAUUUGUCACACCAGGUCAGGAGGAGAAAGUCUAUUUACUGAAGAAGGCUCUCUAUGGCUUGAGGCAAGCUCCCAGAGCUUGGUAUUGUAAGAUGGAUGAGCACUUACUGGGUCUGGGUUUCAAGAAAAGCCUUAGUGAGUCCACUCUAUAUGUCAAGAAGUUAACAUCUGACAUUGUAGUAGUGUCUCUUUAUGUGGAUGAUAUGCUAGUGACAGGGAGUAAUGGAGCUCAGAUUAAUGCAUUUAAGCAAGAAAUGAUGAAGAUGUUUGAAAUGACUGAUCUUGGUGAGAUGUCAUAUUUUCUGGGGAUGGAGGUUAAGCAGACCCAAAAUGAAGUUUUUAUCUAUCAGAAGAAGUAUUUGAAGGAGAUCCUGAAGAGAUUCAAUAUGGAGGAGUGCAAGAGUGUGAAUACUCCAAUGGGUCAGAAGGAAAAGCUUCAUAAGAAGGAUGGAUCUGGACCUGCAAAUGAAAGAGUUUAUAGAAGUUUGAUUGGCUGUCUUAUGUACCUCACUGCAACUAGACCAGACAUCAUGUUUCCAGUAAGUAUAUUGUCUAGAUUUCUCAAUUGUACCAGUGAGUUGCACAUGGUAGCUGCAAAGAGGGUGUUAAGGUACUUGAAGGGUACUCUUUCAUAUGGGAUUAAGUUUUGCAAAGUUCAGAAGUUUAAGUUGCAGGGGUAUUCUGAUAGUGACUGGGCAGGAUCAAUGGAUGAUAUGAGGAGCACUUCAGGUUAUUGCUUUACAUUUGGAUCAGCAUGUUUUUCUUGGUGUUCAAAGUAGCAAGAAAUAGUGGCUCAAUCAACUGCAGAAGCUGAGUUCAUUGCAGCUACUGCAGCUGUAAAUCAAGCAUUAUGGUUGAAGAAGCUGAUGAUGGAUCUGCAUUUGGAGCAAGAAGAGGGCAUAGAUGUAUUUGUGGACAAUCAAGCAACUUUGGCCAUUUCACAGAAUCCAGUAUUUCAUGGAAAAACAAAGCAUUUUAAGAUCAAGUAUUACUACUUGAGAGAAGUGCAGAAGGCUGGAGAAGUGAAGCUGGUGUACUGCAGCUCAGAAGUCCAAAUUGCAGAUAUAUUCACUAAGUCAUUUCAUGUUGGUCGAUUUGAAUGUCUCAGGGCAAAACUAGGAGUGUGCAGCACUUAAUCCAGGAGGAGAGUGUUGAUGUAUCAAGGCUGCACUAUCUCUUUUUUUUUUGUUUUGUUUAGUCAGUUUGCUAAUGUCCUAUUUCUUAGGAAUGUCUAGCUGUAGUUUGGUUAUUUUGUUAGUUUGUUGCUGUUUUUGUGGACCAAGUAAGCUGAUAGUUGGUUAGCAACUUGUUAAAAAAAAAAAAAAAGGAAAAAGGAAUCUGAAAUAGGUUCCCAAUUCUUCUUUGUUCUUUGAGAAUCAACAGAGUUCACCCAUUUCGGUGAGGUCAAACCCACUGGAUACUCCUCGAACCCUUUCGUUCCUUCGAACGAAGUUGUCCACCGAGCUCCUAGCACCCUUAGAGAAUUUCUAAAAAAGUUACAAACUUCUAACAAACCUUAUACAAAAAUACCCAAAAAUCAAGUCUAAAAUGGAUAGAAAAUACCUUUAUCCAAGAAGAACUUGCCCAAAGUCCAAAUCGAAGCUACAAAGCUUCAAAUCCUACAUAAAAGAUUGUUUUACACUCAUCAAUUAGGUUCCAAAAGUCUCACAAUAAUAAACCCCAAAAUAAACCCUAUUCUUCCAAAACUAGGUUUUCAUCUACAAAUCUUACAAAAUUCACAAAUAGAUGUUGCAAGAUGAAUACUAACCUUCAAGAAAGCUCCAAAUCAAGCUAAACUUGAGCUAGCGUUGGAGUUAAUCCUCGACAAAGCUUCCUUCUUCACAUCCAAGGCUUCUUCAAGGUCCAAAAAGCUAGCCACCAUGAAGAGGAAGAAGAGAAACAUAUCAAAACCCAAAUCAAAAUGAGUUUGGAGAAAAAAUAUAGAGAGAGAAAGGGAGAAAACCCUACCUUUGCUUCUCUCUAAGCUCAUGUAAUACACUGGAUCUUAGCAAAUUGCAAGAUUCGAGUGUUUGAUCUGUGUGUGGAGCCUUUCCACAGUUUUUGGAGGGUCGUUGAUAGUGUUCCGACCCCUGGCGCGCUUCCCGAGGAUGUUGGAGUGAGACUUGGCACCAAAAUCCCAAAAUUGGAAUUUAUGGUCAGCUCUCGAGUAGCCUGCAGCAGGGCUUGUACCGGAACAAGACUGGUCUUGUACCGGUACAAGGGUUGAUGGUUGUACCGGUACAGCCAUCGGGCUUGUACCGGUACAGAGCCGCAGACUCGCGCGACCCGAUCCCACCUCGGUGCAUUUCUCGUCGGACUCUUGUACGUAUCACAAGACCCGUUGUACCGGUACAAGGAGGCAGAUUUCGUGGCAGAAAAACUGAGGGGGUUUUGUGCGUUUUGUAGCCUUCUAUUAGUAACCCCACCCACCUAGCACUCCUGAGCUUGGAACCUUCCAGGGAGAAAGGUGAGAACCCUCACACAAACCCUUCCUUUGUGAUUCUUUGAUUGGUUGGGUUUUAAGAGAUUCAAAACUUCCUUUUUGCUCCUUAUUGCUUGUUGAAGACUUUUCCAACCAUUAGGAGCUUGAUUUUGGAGCUAUGGUAGAGGAAAGAUUGGACUUGCAUACUUACGAGCUGGAUUUGAAGCUUCUAAAGGUAAUGUCAACAUGUUUCUCAUGCCCCGUCUAGAUGUCAAGUUUUAUUGGAGAUUUUGAGUGAAUAACCCGUAAGAUGUUUAGGUUAUAUAUUGGCAAUUUUGAAUCUAGGGCUUGGAGCUAGAUUGAGUGAUUAGAGGCUUCCAUUGGUUGAUUGGGCAUAGCCCUAGCUUCAUUUGGAGCUUUAGAGGAGAAUUUUGCAUUUAAGGAUGAUUUCCUCAACUCUAAUGUGAUUAGUCUUAAUGUUUGAGCUAGUAUCGUUCGUAUUGCUGCGGGUUCUCGUACUGACCUAUGUUCUUGUACCUCUAGUAUCUAGGAGCUAAGGACAUCCCUCGUGAGCGCACAGGAGUUUCGUUGUCAUCAGUGGUCUUGGCUUCGUGGAAAUUGGGCGAAAAUGGCCUCAUCUAUGCUCUUUCUACUUGUUGUAAAUUAUUCUUUAAUUCAUUCUAUGCUAAGAAUUUAUAUAAUUUUAGAGACAGCGUUAAAAUACAUGGCUCGCGUGUAUAUAAAAAUUUCAACUAUAUGUAAGCUAUAAUCAAUUAGAAUUGCAUGCAUACGGGAAAAAUUGUUUAUUUGCAAGGAAAAAUUACAUCUUCUUAUGAGAAAAUGACUUGAAUACUGUACUUUGGAAUCAUAGUAUCCAUGUUUUGACAUAGAGAAAUUUCCACAGUGUCAUAAAGGGGCACUUGAAACUAAGUAAAGUAUGAAACUGCAACAUAAGAGAUAUAUUUGUAGGCCAUACAUAUCUGCUAUACAUCCACUUUAAGACAUGAUGACAUAUAUGGGGUAGGCCUUUGAAUACUUGACAACAUAUCCAUUUUAUUAGAGUCAUGAGGACUUGUACUGCGACAGAUCCGUUUCACACUGCCAUUGUGCUCAUUCGCACAUGCUUGUGCAGGCGUCGCUCCCUACAAGCCGGCACUCCGCGAGAUAAGCCAUCCGCGAAUUCAUUAUUCGCCGUGCCGGGAUUGGUCGCAGAAGUGGAUUGCCGGUGGAGACAGGCUUCAUUACCUAGUGGGGAUAUGACUUACCACGGGCCAUUUAGGCUCCGGCAUCCGGCGCAUGACACCUACGCGUGCGGUCUCAGGCUCAUAACAGCCUUCGCGGGUUCUCUUCCGAUUUGAUGCUUUUGUAUAACCAUUAUGAACAUGUGGAGCAGAUUGACGGAUUUUUAUACCUACUUGAUAUUGAUUUAGAAUAGUAAACAACCGAACUUACUAUCUCACAUUGUAACAUCAUGAUAUUGGGACUUUACUUCAUGCAAGUUGCUUUCAUACCUAUGCUAUUUAUUCUAAUAGAGAUAUCAUAUCGUAGAGGUUAUUUUUAUUAUCUUUUGCUUUUUCUAAACUUUUAUACUCACUGACAUCUUUUCUGAGGCCUUUGGCCUUGUGGGCAUUCACUGAAGUCAGUAAUUGCCACUGGGAACUAUUCUAAUAGUUCUCACGCCCCUGUUUAUGUCUACUUUCAGCAGCCUUUCCGGCAACCUGCGGAGGCACGGGAUCCGCGCUAAGGGAUCUGCUUAGCUAGCUAGCGAGGAGCCGAUACUUGCCUAGGUGGUUACUCCUUUCUUUUGUAUUUGGAGAGAGCUGUGAGAUUUUUGUAUCCAUAUAUAGACCACUAUUACCUUACCUAUACACUUGUAUUUGGGAUUCCUAUUGUAUUAUCUUUAUGUCUUAUUUUGAAUUUGACAGUUUCAUCCUUUAUUUCUUGUUGUAGCAUUUAGACAUUUUAUUACGCCUCUGAUACACCUAGAUGUCUUUUAUUAUGGCUUUACUAUUGCUUCUGUUUUUAACGGCCUUAUAUGUGUAGACAUAUGCUCGGUCUGGGCACCGCCGGGCGACUUCCGCUGGUCCCGGCGUGAACCAAAUUUAAUUGGUAUCAGAGCCUAAAAAAGGGGGUUGAGUUUAGGGACCUACAAACCUUAGCUGGUGACUAUACGGAAAUAAGGCUCGGAGACGAGUCUAUUCGACUUGUGAGACGAAAGUACAUGAAUUGGGUAUUAUGAUAACAUCUAAAAAGUAGAGUGAUUGGAGUGUUUGGCUUCUAACUUCGCGGAGGGUUACGUUGGCGCCGACAACGAACAUCGUGGAGUUUUUUUUUUUAUCUUAGACUGAAACACUUCCUUUACUUUGCAUGAUUUGGGUUUGUCUUUUGAGUUCGGGUAGGAUGCGAUAGCGGUAUAUUUCUAACUGUCGCUUUUAUAUGUUGUAGUACGAUGCCGAUUAACUCGCUCCCAAUCUGCCUGGGCGACAAUGCGCAAAUUUCGAGGAGAGCGAGACCUCCGCUACCUCCGGAUCCAGCGAGUACCGUGAGUAGGGCGCACUUGCAGCCCUCACCGACCUAGUCACUCUAGCAGGCGGAGGCGUCCCGAACAGCAGACCGAGGCUCGCUCCGACAGGAGCGAGGAUGAAGCGCCUCGAGAUGCUACUUCUGCAGAGUCAUGCAAGCUUCAUAAGGAGACGGCAGGGCCCUAUCAGUCCGCCUGCCAAGUUGUGACGUCGUAUCACCGAGAGCAGGCGCUCGUCCCCGCGCCAGAUUCUUCGCGUGCGGCGUCCUGCGCCGUACCCCAGGGAUGGAGGUUACUACACCGCUGUGCAGAGGCCCCCCGUUGGACUCAGUCUUUCCCUACAUUUGUUGAGGAGCGGCGAGCGGAUAGACUGAUGAUUGCGCCUCAAUGAUGUCAGCGAGGUGCAUCCCCCGAGUCUUCGAUCGAGAACAGUCGACCACUGGAUCGUGGAAAGUGGUUAUGCAUCAUGGAGAACUCUUCCGCGACACCUUCGUGAGAGAGGAGAUGACAAGUUUUGGUCGCCACUCACACAUUGGACGGCGAGCCUACCCUUGUGUGUUGGAUUUCACGGACACCCCAGCACUGACUGGCACUAUCACUUGGUGAGGUAGACGUUCUUCUGGCCGCAUUACUUCGGCCAGCGUCAGCGAAGAUGGAACAGAUUUUGCGCACCGCCAGGUGACAGGUACCGUAGCCGAGUAGAGAGGGAUUUUUCUCGCUCUGCAUUGCGUGCCCGUUCGCGUUCGGGACACGAGGACAAGCCCGAUCUUCGAGCGAGGGGCGAACCGUCAUCUCCGGUUUGUCGCAAUCCCUCUAACGCUCCAAACUACCCGGGAGUGGUAGAUUCGCCGCUCAAUUCGUGAGAGCGCAGCGACGAAGUACAGGACAGCGAGCUAGGACAAAGGUGAAAGCCAAAGAGGCCUGCGGCUGAGGUGCCAGCCAGAUACACUCUUAAUGAGCCCGCCGAGCAUUCCUAUGUAGCCAGCUGCACCGUGACCAGCUCCAGCAGCACAGCGAGGAGAUCCGAUCGGCGCGGCCUUCCCCUUUGUGAUCUCGGUGGGUCCGCAUUACCACAUUUGCAUGUCCGCACGGGCGGGCAGGUCUUCCAGCUGUGGUCCAGGAGGGCCCACCCGUACCUGGUGCCUGAGAGGUUUCUUCACCGACACCAGUCGACAUCAAUCGGCAUCCUCGGCCACAGCCGUUAGCUCAAGGACGUUCAUCGGAUCACAUACCCAGCCUGGCGUCCAUCUCAGCGCCGAUUGCGAGGGAUCUCGCAGGACCCACGAGUGGGCGCAUGAUGCCGCUCAGAUAGACUUAGGAGGAGGCAGCAGCCGAGAUGUGUUGCAUUAUCAUUUUAACUUGAUGUCAUUAUGAGUUCGUUGCUUUAUUUCAAUACCGUGCAUCGCAUUCCAUUUUAUAGAUUCGAACUUUUGCUCGAGUUGCAUUGGCAUUCUCUUUGGUUUCCUUUGUUGCAUACGGGAACAUGAUCUGCAGUACUCAAUCCACAUCUUGGACAUUAGAGAGUUAUGCCCAGGUUCCCUGAUCGGGUAUGAAAUUGGAUCCAUGCUAUAUGAUUGCUAGCUUAUGCGGCAAGCUGGGGAUUUUGAUGUUGUCUUGGACUAUGAUUGGGUUUACAAACGUAUUAUGCCACUCAUUGUAUUGUAAGAACGCAACGUUACUUUUAAGAACCUGUGCAACCGAGGUGGUAUUUAGUGAAUGCAGGAGUUCGCUUUUGCGAUAACUGAUUCAGCUCGUUCUCGAGCUGCAGCUGAUUCUAUUAACGUGGUAGCCUAUUUGCUAGUUGUUGUAGCUGAGGGGCGAAGAUUACACCCCUAGCGAUUGAUGAUAUCCCGGUGGUGCGGAGUUCCAGGAAUGCGUUUCGCAGCGAGGCUACGGGUAUGCCGCCUGAUAUGGAGAUUGAUUUGUGAGUAGAUCUCGUCCCUGGGCUACCUUCAAAUCUCAAAGGCACCCUAUAGGAUGCACGCGAGCUGAGGGAGCUGAGGCACUACUGCAUGUAUUUGUUGGACAAGGCUUCAUCUGCGACGCUGAUGUUUCACCCCUUGGGAGCGCCCGUUUUGUUCGUCAAGAAAGAAAGACGGAUCACUCGCCUUUGUGUGGAUUAUCGUGACAUUAAUAAGUCACGUCAAGAACAAGUAUCGCGUUGCCAAGAUCGUAUCGACAUUGUUUGAUCAGCUUCAUAGAAAUUUGCUAAAUUCCUAAGAAUCGACUUGCAGUCGGAUUAUUCCACUUAGUUUAAGAUCCAAACACCGAAGACGUCAUCAAAGACGCUUUAGAACGCGUAUGGAGCCAUUAUGAGUUCACAGUUUAUGUCCGUUUGUGGCUUACUUAAUGCCGUUCCGGCAGCUUUUAUGGAUCAUAAAUGAAUCCGUGUUUUCCAAAGCCUUAUCUAGACAGGUCGUCGGGUGUUACAUCGACGACUAUUUUGGUCUACGCUCGGAGUGAUGCAGAUCACGAGGAAACAUUGAAUUGUAAACUCCAAGUUACUUCGGGCAAAAGGAGCUUUUAUGCCAAGUUGAAGAAAUUUGAAUUUUGGCUUCGAGAGAUAUGCCUUCCUUGACACAUUGAUUUCAUGAUCAGGUAUACAGUGGAUCCCAAAGAAGAUCAGAUACAACAAGGAUUUGGCCGAACCGACGAGCGUCACAAAUACGGAAGCUUCCUUGGUUGCCCGUUACUACCGGAGAUCCUGACAGAGUUUGCUAAGGCUAUCUACUCCCUCACAGGCUUCCGCAUAAAGUGUUAAUUCAUUUUGAAUGAUGCCUGCGACGAAGCUUCAAGAGUUGAAAUAGCAACGAUUGACUACGCCCCGAUCCUGAGCCCUACCAGUAGCUGAGCCGUAAUGGUUUAUAGUGAAUGCUCAACUUAAUGGAUUGGGUCUUGUGGAUUGAAUGCAUGAUUGGCAAAGUUACGCGUAUCUUCUCGCCAGCUAAAAGAAAUAGAUAAAAACUACCCGACCAUGAUUUGAGUUGCGGCCGUAGUGUUCCAUUUGAAAUAAAUGCGGCCACCACCCUUUAUGCGAAGGUGAAGUAUACACGGAACACAAGAGAUUAAAGUACCUGUUUACUCAAAGAUUUGAACCUGAGACACGCAGAUGUUGGAAGCUACUCAAGAUUAUGAUCUUGACGAUCCCUUACUAAAACUUGUUCAGGCAAGGCUAACUGUGUUGGCGGAUGCGACUGAGUAGGAAAUCGAUGGAAACUUAGCGAUCAUGUGGUGACUCAAUCCGCAGUGACGAAGCAGAUGAAUCGGUUGGAGUUGGAGAUUAGUGACUCCUAACACCUUGAUUAUGACAUUCAGUAGUGCAACCUACCUGUGACGCGAAUUAAAGAAAAAAGCAAGCUCAGAUGUGGAUUUAAACAUAUUAGCAGGAAAAAAUGUACUGGUUGCUCGGCGAAUUCCUUGUGAACGCCCGCAGGUUUGAUGCGCUUUCGAAAGAAACACAUGUUUCCGCGUACUACCGGAAUAAAGAAACAUUCUUCAGAAGCGCACCGCGCGCCCUAUCAUACAUUCCAGGCACCAAAAUUAUAUAAGGGAAAAAAACUUACAAGUUGCUCUAUGUGCCAUGGAAUGAAAAGGAUGUGGCGAGAUUUGUAGCUAAAUGCUUAACCUGCCAACAAGUGAAGCAAGCACCGAUUCCCGCGAAGCUUCAUAGUUUGCCUAUCCAAUGUGGAAGUGGAGAAGCAUUCACUAUGGACUUUGUGAACAGGUAUUGCCACGCUCAUUCAGGCAGGGCAAUACUCUAUUGUAUCGUGGACAGGCUUAUCAAUUCGGUCGCGACUUCAUACCUGAUUCAUUACGACUUGACCGCGAAAGAAGCCGCCACAAGUGUACCUUGAUGAGAUUGUGGCGCACUUCAUGAAGUGGCUACCUUCGAUUGUAUCUGCAUUCGCGAUCACGUUCGCUUCGGUCUCGCACUUUUUGGAUGAUCUAUCAGGACGCCUUAUGCACCCGACUGGAUUUCAGUACAAUCGCAUUCCACCCGUAAGUGAUGGACAGUUGAGCGCACUAUCAACCAUUAGAGGAUAUGCUCCGGCAUUGGUGUGAUAGACUUCCUCAGGAGGAUGUCGCAGCAUCUCUACCUAAUGGCGGAUUGCUUAUAACAACAGUUAAUCAAGUCAGCACUCAAUUAAUGCGCCCUUCGUAAGCACUUUAUAAUGGACAGAACUUGUAGAUUCGCUCACUUAUUGGGAAUGAAGUCGGACGAGUAGUUUGCUCCAGCCCUGAUUGUGCUCUAUUGAAGUUCUGAGAAUAAGGUUCGAUGCUUCUGGGUAUGCUGAUUUUUUGACAUUGGCUUCAGAUAAACAGAGGAUGCUACGCCGAUCGACGUACGGCGAGACGUUGGAGUUCCAAGUUGGAGACAUGUAGUUCAUUGAAGGUCUCCCGACUAGAGGAAUCCAGAGAUUUGGGGGAUUCGGAAAGUUGAGCCCCUGUCUUCAUUGGACUCUAUGAAUCUUGAGCGUUCGUAGGGUCGGUAGCGUAUCGAUUGCUCUAUACCACCUGAACCUCAUCGGCGUACACAACGUCUUUCAUUAUCCGAUCCUUCGCGAGGUACAUUCAUGAUGCCAGCUCCAUCCGUUUUGGAUGCUGUAGAGUGGAGCUUGGCGUAGGAUUUGAGCUUUGAGUAGCCAACCAUGAAGAUUUGCUCGCGAGUGAAAAGCGCGGAAUACGGAAUAUUCGUAUGUGAAGGUCUUUGGAGCAACCACGGGGAGCGGGAGUGCCACGUGGGAGCUAAGAGAGUUGCGCUGCGGGAGCACUACCCACCUUUUUUCAGUGGAGUCUUGAGGUACGUCUCAAUUUCGAUUUCAGGAGACGAACUCUUUUUUAGAGGUGAAUGUAUAAAGACUGGAUGCUUAGCAAAUUGGAGAUUCGAGGUGUUUUGAUCUGUGUGUGGAGCCUUUCCACAGUUUUUGGAGGGUCGUUGUAUAGUGUUCCGACCCCUGGUCCGCUUCUCCGAGGAUGUUGGAGUGAGACUUGCACCAAAAUCUCCCAAAAUGAAUUAUGGUAGCUCUCGAGGUAGCUCUGCACAGGGCUUGUACCGGAACAAGACUGGUCUUGAUACCGUACAAAGUUUGAAGUUGUACCGGUACAGCCAUGCGGCUUUUACGUACAGAGCCCGCUAGACCGCUGCGACCGAGCCUCGGUUUGCAUGUUCGUCGGCUUGUACCGUACAAAACCUGAUAACCGUUACAUUGAGGCAGAUUUCGUCGCAAAUGGGGGCGAAAACUGCAGGGGUUUUGUGCGUUGUAGCCUUCUAUUAGUACCCCACCGCCCCCUAUGGCAUCUCCUGAGCUUGGAACCUGCAGGGAGAGAAAGGUGAGGAAGCCUCCACACCUUCUUUGUGAUUCUUUAUUUUGGUUGGGUUUUUAAGACAUUAAACCUUCCUUUUAUGCUUCCUUUUCUUUGUUGGAGCUUUUCCACCAUUUGAGCUUGAUUUUGUGAGCUUGGUAAGGGAGAUCUUGGGACUUGAUUAGUUAGAGCUCUGGUUGAAGCUUCUAAGAGGUAAGCAAACAUGUUCUACUCCCUCUAAGAUUCAAUUUAUUGAGAUAUUGAAUGAAACCUAGAAUGAGGUUUUAGGUUAGUUAUAUUGGACAUUUGAAAAUCUAGCGGCUUUUUGGAGCUAGAUUGAAUUGGAUUAGAGCUUCCAUUGGUUGGAUUGGAUGAGGCCUAAGCUUCAUUUUGGAGCUUUAGAAGAGAUUUUGCAUUAGAGUGAGUUUUCCUCUACCUAUGAAUUGAGUAGCUUAAUGUUUGAGCUAGUAUUGUUCGUAAUCGGUCUCCCGUAUGACUCUCUGUUCUCGUACCUCUAAGGGUAGUAGAACUAGAGGACACCCUCCCCGUUGAGCGCUACGAGGAGUUUCGUUGUUCAUGUGGAUUUGCUUCGUGGAAAUCGGGCCGAAUGGCCCUAUGCUCUUGUCUACUGGUUGUAAAUUAAUUUUUAAAAUUCAUUUUCUAUGCUAAAUAGAUUAAUAGAAUUUUAGAGCACUUAAAUGCAUGCCUCGGUAUUAUAAAAAUUUCACUAUAUAUAGUGAGCUAGUAAUGCAGUAAGAAUGUCCAUGCAUCACGGGAAAAGUGUUAUUAUUUGCAAGUGAAAAAUACAUCCUUAGAGAUAUUAUGACUUGGAAUAUGUACUCUUUGGAAACAUAGUUACCAUUGAUUUUAUGACAUAAGAAACGGCAGAGUGUCAUAAAGCGACUUGAACUAGUAAUCAUCUAAGAAACUGAGCAACAUAGAGAUAUACUUGGUAAGGCCACUACAUACUCUGCUAUAUUCCAUGUUUAGAAGACAUGAUGACAUAGGUGGGUAGCCAUUGAGAUAUUGACAAUUCAUGUUAUUAACAUAUGACUUUGGUACUCUAUGCGACAGAUCGUUUGAACCUACUUGCCCAUUAUGUCUCGAUUCGCAUCAUGCUUGUUGAGGGUCGCUCCCCUACAAGCCCGGCACUCACGGAGAUAGCAUCGCGAUUCAUAUUCGCUCGUGCGGUUGAUUGGGCGGCCGAAGUGAUUGCGGUGGACAGGCUCAUCUAGGGUGGGAUGAUGAGUACCACCGGGGGCCCCAUUAGGCUCGUGCAUUCCGCCAGACAGGCCUUACGGGUGAGUCUUCACAGGCCAUAGUACACCUCUUCGGGUGGGUCUCUUCAGAUUUGACUUGUGUGUUCCAUUAUGACAUGCUGGACAGAGAAGGAUUUAGUAUAUCACUUGGUAUUGAUUCAGAAUAGUAACAACCGGAACCUUACUAUCCUCACAUUGUGAACAUCAUGAAUAGUUGGACAUUUACUUCAUCAUAGUUGCUUUCAUACUUAUGCUAUUUAUGCUAAGUAGAAUACUCAUGUCGUAGUAAGGUUACAUUUUAAACUUAUCUUUGCGCAUUUUCUAACCCUUUUAUAAGUCAGCUUGACAUCUUUUUCGUAGCUUGGGCCUUGUGGUGCAUUCAUCCUGAAAUCUACAGUAAUAUGCCAACCCUGGGAACUAUUUCUAUAUUAGCUCACCUCCACUGAUUUUAAUGGUUUACUUUUCCAGACCUUCGGCACUUGGCCGAGGCACGGGAUCGCCGGGCAGAUUGGGAUGCGCUUGCCUUAGCUAGCGAGGAGCCAUACUAGUUCCUAGGUGUUACUCUUUCUUUGUAUUUGAAGAGUGUGAGAUUUUGUAUCCAUGUAUAAGACAACUCUAUGUAACCUACCCUAAUAGGCAACCUUGUAUUUUGGGACUUCCUAUUGUAUUUAACUUUAUGUCUUAAAUUUAGUGAAAUAUACAGUUCAAUCUGCUUAUUCUUGUUGUAGCAUUAGACAUUUAUUACGCUCUAAUACACCAUAUGUCUUUUAUUUGGCUUAUUAUUGUUGUUUUUAGACGCCUUAUAUGUUGUAGACAUAUGGCGGGUCUGGGCACGCGCCGGGCGGACUUCCGCUGGGUCCCGGGGCGUGACAGCUCAACACAAAGAGGGGCCUGUGGGGGAGAGGGGGUGUUAUAAACAUAUUGUAACAAUUCCCUCAAGACCUCUCAAAAUUCCAAAAUUUACAAACUCCAAGGCUUCUUCAAAGUCCAAGAAGCUAGCCACCAUGAAGAGGAAGAAGAGAAAGAGAUCAAAACCCAAAUCAAAAAGAGUUUGCAGAAAAAAUAUAGAGAGAAAAUGGGAGGAAACCCUACCUUUGCUUCUAUCUAAGCUCAACACAAAGAGGGGCAUGUAGGGGAGAGGGGGUGUUAUAAACAUAUUGUAACAAUUCCCUCAAGACCCCUCAAAAUCCCAAAAUUUACAAACUACAUGAACUGUAGUUUUCUGCACUUCGUACCGGUACUCGAAGGGGAGUACUGGUACCCGGCACCCAAACCUGCAAAACCCGAGCACAGACAUUCGGGUUCUAAUAUGGUGUACCGGUACCCGCGUGAUGCAGUAAUGAUACAUGGCCCAGUACCAGUACCCGUACCCGCCAAUCCAGUACCCGCCAAUCCAGUACUAGUACCCAGCACCCCAAAACUCAAACCCGAGAGUAGCUACUCUCGGUCACGCAUUGGGAUACCAGUACUCCACCUUGUACCGGUACUUAACACCCCAAAAGAUGCAAUUUGCAAGUUUUGGUGUUAAGUACUCACUCUCACGUUCACAAAACACGAGUAAUAGGUCGGUAUACAGUCAACGACUCUCAAAACAUGCAGAAUAGUUUAAAAUGCUAUUCUUAUACUAAAAACUUGUAAUUUGCUAAAUUUUAGUGUGCUACAGGCAUUCCCCGAAAAUGCAAGCGCAGUAGCUGUGGAGGAGGAGGGUCUUCCUAUUCCUCAUUCCCAAUCGUUGUGGCAGCGCCGUCGGUGGUGUUCGAAUCUUCGCAACCCGGCGCCGACGCGGCCACUGGGAACGAGGAAUACGAGGACCUCCCUCCUCCACCUCCGCUGCGCUCGCGUUUACGAGGAACGACGUCCGUCGCCUUCACCUCCUUAACAAAAGGUAGUGUCGUCUUAACCUCAUCGCCUUUAUAGAAAAUGCAUCUGAAGAACCCAUAUUUAAAAAAAUGAAAAGACGUUUGAAGAGCCGCUUUUCCUUCCCGAGGAAACUUCGAUAUGCCCGCCGGUGUCUCUUCGCCUAACCUAAUCGAGUAGAACGUACACGUUACUGUACGGAUUCUAGCGCUAGAAUUAAAUGUGACCUGCUCAGGAAACCCAAUAUUCUGUCUGAACCGGUAUGCGAACCUAAUUUGCCAUGCUAUUCGUCAGACCUAGUAUUUGCUGUUCGGUUCGCUGAGAUUUGGAAGAAUACGCAACCGGCGAUGGAAAAAUUGAUGCAAAUGGAAUUGAAAUAGUGCAACAACCCUAAAACAGUGCAGUGCAUACUUUAUAUUAGUACAACAAUGUGGUAAACAGUGCACUAUACGAACAAAUAUUUCCCACAGUAGCUAAAACGAGCCGACUAAAGUAGGAAAGAUGUUCGGUUUUUCCCUUGUUAGGUCGCCCCACUUUAAUUCAAAAUCGUCCGGAAUAUCAGCACUUUUCGUCGACAAAUUUUAUAUCAAUUUUAGAUUUAAUCGAGUAAAGACGUUCGAAAUAGAGUAAGACUCGUUUAAAUAGAAUAAUUGUCUUUCGAUUCUCAACACACAUUGUCGCUGUUGGCUGUUUGGUGUGCUAACGUGUCAGCACAUUUUUGGAUUCUUAUGCUGUGUGGUGAAUAGGUUCUCCCAAACGAGCAUCCCACUAAUUAUCAACCGGCGGUUGCUCCCAUUACCCUAUUCUAACCCUUUACGCACUCUACACCGCCUUACAGCUCCUAUUUACCCUAUCAACCGCCAUACUAUUUGUGACCACCAUCGUCCGCUUCGAAUCCUAUUAGCCACUACACUCUCAAUCUACAUUGCUUGCAAUGGCGUCGUAGUCUACUGAUUCAUUGUCUGACGUCGGCUGGAAGGCGCCGUCGCGGCUGGUUACCGGCGGCCCCAGUGGUAGAUUCAUUGUGAAUUCACGGUGUUUCGUCGAAGCGUAUAGAAAGAUUACGCGUCGGUCGUGAAGCCCUAUCAUCUUCUCGUCAUCCACAGUACGAUUUUCGGUAAUAUCUUACAUUUCCCCGACAUCACCUCAGAUAGGCUCAUACUGGAGUUCAUCCUCCGACAUUGGAAUGAGGGUGUAGAUUUCGAAAUAGGCCCGCAUGUCAUAAGCUUCACAGCACAGAAAGCGGCAGUUCUUCUUGGAUUACCCCAGUCGGGCCAAGUUCUAGACCUAAACCUAAAAGUUGAGUCAGAUAUUCAGAAUCGUUACCUUGAGGGGAAGAAGGUCGACCGCAAGAAGCUAGAGGUGGUUUUGAAGAAGAUGUCACCUAAGGAGGACGAAGACAACAUUACUGACUUCGUGAAAUUACUUAUUCUCUAUUAUUUUUGUUGCAUUCUUUUCACAAAUACCAAUAAUCUCUGCCCCAAAGGUCUGGUGGCUCUUGUCGAUGAUCUCCCCGCUUUGGGACGGUACAAUUGGCCGGAAGCAGUACAUCGGCUUAUCAUCGAUAGCCUAUGUUCCGCCGCCAUUAAAUUACAAGCUAAUGUGAAGCGGGUGGGAUACGUUCUUGGAUGCACCCCGCUUCUUCCGGUAAGUGUAUAUUGUGCAAGUAAUCGUGCAAAAUAGGUAUGAUGUAUGCUUCAAUCGUGUAAUUGUGUGAACUAUAGUGUAAUAUUGUGCUGAUUAGUAGUAUAAUAUUGUCUUUGAAAUCAAGUGUGGAUAUACGAGCAUACUGGGUACAGAUGUCCUGUCACGCCACCCGCCCCAAAUCCCUUACCAAUUUGGCACGGUUCGGGUGCGGCGGACGGACGCCGAACGGACAGCACCUCUCCUGUCCGCCCAAGGCUAAGCAACCAGAUCAUGUACAAUUAAGUGCCCAGGAGUUGCUUAAAUAACAUACAUGAUCAAUCACGAUGCACACAAGUGCACUAUAACUAAGAGCAAGAACCACGAGUGAAUGUACAAGUGUAUAAAGAGAGAACACCUAGCUAUUACAACCAUUCAACAUUUACAUAAGUUGAUUACAUUUCCAUCUGCCAAAAUGUAAUUACAUGUUUUCUUCCAAUACAUCAUAGCUCUCCAAUAACUAUCCAAAACAUCAUCUAGAACACGAGGGUACUCUAAUGCAUAAAGGAAAAGCUACUAACUAAGCUCAUGGCGCUAUGCCCUUACCGCGGUCCUCGCUCGGUCCGCUCCGGUGUGUACCUGUACCCGAAAACCACACGGGGUAAGAACUAUAUAAAUAUAGUUCCCAGUGGGUUCGGCCGCCAACUCCGCCAAUUUUUCCACUAGGUCUAAGCUAGCACAGAUAGAGAGAUAGAUAGAUAUAUAGAGAAAUGAACUGCAACUACUCUAUCAUGCCAUCAAUGAUAAUAAUGCAUGCAACAACUACUAUCAUACUAGUAUUAUGUCAUGAGUAUAGAAAAGUACAUAGCAAUGCAAACUACAACAUACACUAUGUCUACUCAAGGUAAUAAUGCAAAUCUACUAUGCAUUCCAUAUUUAUUACUCAGUCUACUUGGUUAACCCGUAAGUUAAACCCUCGACUCACUUUCAAUCUCAUAGGUGAGGAGAAGCUGCACUCGCACACCGAGACCGUCUGCGGGACAACUAUGUCUGCCCCUAAUAAAGUACUCCGGAGACUCGUGCCACGGUGGAGCGACCACCGACAGCGAAAACAGACUAGUGAGUGUGAUCCAAUCCUCACAAGAGGAUACCCUAUCUACAAGGGUCAGAGUGCCUCUGCUGCACCAUGUAUAAUGCAUCCUAGAUGCCGGGAUCUCUACUAUCCCUAGAAUCAUGUCAUGUCUACUACACUAGACUCGAUGCCACUCAUUCGAUCAUUGUAGUAAUGUUCUGUAACUAAUUGACAUGCCACUCGUUCAACACUAGUUCAAUGCCACUCUACGAGCUAUCAUAUGUCCAAGUUUGGCUCUUUAUGCCAUUAUAGGAUUUCCAUGUCACAAGACCCAAUCCUCAUGCUACCCUAGUUCAUGUGUCCAACUCAUAGUUACACUACUAAGAAGCAUGCAAGGAAUUAGAAUUUGCAACUAUCUACUAAUCCUAUAAUGCAAUGUGAUCAAGCAUAUAUAUAACUUAGACAUAAAAAGAAAUCCGGAUGCUUCGGGAUGACACCCCCACCUCUUGAGGGUAUGGAGGCUCUAGAAAUACCCUCCAACGAACUUUACGACGACUUCUCGGAUUCCUUAGGUCGAAACGAAGUUUGGUCGGCCUUGUUUUGCCGAUAUCUUUUCUUCCGCUUGGCGAAUCAAAAAUCCAACUUCGCCCCCGCGUUUAGGCACCUAGCAAUUAGGUUUACAAGGCCUUAAAUGAGAUCAAUCUCAUACUUUACCAAAAAUUCUAUUUUGGUGCCCUAGGGUUAGCACCAAGCUAAACCCAUCUCAAAACCCUAGAUUCUAGCUCCAAUCUCACCAUUCAUGGUGCUAGGGAUCCAUUUGAUCCCAUCCAAAGAGCUAAAACCCAAAAACCCUAAAUUCCAUAACUAGGGUUGGAAGUCUAUCUCUUGUUGUAGCUUCAAAGAGAGGAGAGGAAGAGGGAGAGGUCCAAAGCUUCCUCUAGCUUGAUCUCCUUUUUCUUCUCCUUCCUUUUCCUUCUUCUUUUCCUUCUCUUUUCUUCUUCUUCUUCUCCUCCUCCUUUUCUUUCUAGAGAGAGAGAGAGGAAGAGAAAAGAGUGUGAGGGAGAGAGUGAAAUGAGGGUUGGAGAGAGAAAGAGGGGGCUUACAUACCCCUCUAAUGUAACAAUAUCCAAACAAACCCCUCAACUUUCACCUCCUUGCACUGCCCUUACUCGGCAUUUUUCGCCCAGAGGGACCGGUCUCCCCGACCUGGGACCGGUCCCCGAGAGCCUCAGCCCGGGUCACGCGUUCGGGAACCGGUCCUUUCCUGAGAGACCGAUCCCCGGGAGACCGGUUCCCUCCUGAGAGACCGGUUUCCGAGAGCUGGGAUUUCAGGACUUAGCCAAAUUUUGGCUUUUCUCGCUGGGGUCACGUUCGGGGACCGGUCUCUCCCUGCUAAGGACCGGUUGCCUCAAGGAUCCCCGCAACCACCAGCCGAUGGAACCGGUCCCUCCCUGCCAGGGACCGGUCCCCGAGAGCAAUUUUGCUCGAGUGCAGAUUUUGCACUAUUUGCUCUCGUGGACUCGUUUUCAAUGCACUUUUGGUGAUUUUGACAUCUUUGGCUUUUCCAAAGCUCACCAACACGACCCUUGGUCGAUUCUAGAUGAAGUCUAACUCUCAUAUUUCGACAAUUCACCUACUUACAUGUCCUCUGCCUUUCCGCCGUGCAACAUUUUCUCGUGUCCAGAGGUGGGAUACGAUUAGAUGGACUCGGCGUUCACGGGGAUCGUCGAGAGUAAAGGAGGAUUUUAACUUUACUAGGUGCCGACGCAGGUUGGACCUCUCCUCGGAAGAACAAUGGCUGCUAGGGGUCGUGGCUGAUGUUCCACGUCGCCAGCGCCCCAGGAAUGAGGAACCUCCGGGGGAGUAUAAAGAGGUGAUGGCGGCAAUUAGCCGUCUGGAGUCUGUGGUGUACAGUCUUGCCACCUCCGUUGCCGGCAUACUGGGCAAUCCAGCUCUUCUACCAGCACCAAAAUCAUCGCCAGCACCUCUUCGAAGUAAAAAGAUUAAAAAGAAUAAAAAGAAUAAAAAGCGGCACGAAAGCAUGCAAGUACCAACCCCCCCAUCAUCUAAAUCCUCUGGGCUCUCGUCACAGAGUGUCAAAAAACAAAGGCUAGCAACGUCCGUCUUGGCGAUGCCCGCAAUGAUCUCGGCCAUUAAGGAGAAUCCCAAAUUCGGGCAAGAACGAAGGUCGAGUUCUUCAAAAUCUAGAAAGGAUGGGGCUCGCCAAAACUACGGAGUCCACCUAGAGCUCCCCAGGAGUGUCGUAAGAAGCGCACGCCGGGGAAGGGCAAACGAACUAGGAGCCCGUACCUCCUCCGGCCGCUCUGGGGAUAAAAGAAUAACGACAACGACCUAAUCGCCGACAUAUGUGACGCGCUUAUUAUUUUACAUUCUCAGUAAAGGAAUGAUUUCUAUAUUAUAUCUCAAUAAUAGUGUAAUUGUACCACACUGAGAUUAAUAAAAUCAUGUUUUAGUUGUUUAAUAGUGCAAAAGUUAUUGUAAUAGUGCAUCAGUUACUUCAGUAGUGUAACAUAGAACCGCAUCGAUUAUAUGCAGGUUCUGCCACCGAAAGAGAGCGGCCACCUGCGGGCGCUGAGAGAGAGUGCACAUCUGCGCCCGGUCAAUAUAUUUGAAGAACAAGUCGAAGAAGAAGACCGUACAACAGCUGGUUUUUUCGCCGUCGAUUUUAUUAUGGAAUGCGAUGAAGUAUGUAAUUGUGUAAUUGUUGCUUAAAUAGUGUAAUUUCUAAACUAUUAGUUCAAUUGACUCUAAUUUUUAAAAUACAACGUCAGCUGCAUAACGUCAUCAUCCAAAUCUAUUAAGACGUUCAACUGUUAUCUUCGCUACCAGAGGUGCCGGAACUCGCAUUGCCAGAAGUGUCAAAGUCCGUCGAGGUGGGGGCACCGGUGGCGGUGGCGGUGGCGGCGGAACCGGAGGUUCCGACGAAAGAGAAGGCGGCGGAGGAAAGAAAGGCAGCAGAACCGGUGGCGGCGGCGGAGGAAAGAAAGGCAGCAGAACCGAUGGCGGCUGCGGAACCGGUGGCGGUGGCGGAAUCGGAGACGACGGGGGCACCAUUGGCGGCGGCAGAAUCGAAAGUUCUGGCGGAAGAUGAGGAGGCGGAAAGGGAGGCGGCGGAAUCGGUGGCAGCGGAACCAAAAGCAUAGGCGGAACCGGAGGUAGAGAGGGGUCCUUCGGUGGAACCGGGGGCGGAGAGGGAUCCUUCGGCCGAGCCGGAGAAGGAGUUGUGGUGGCGGCGGUACUGAUGGUGGCGGCAGCACCGGAGGCAUCGAUGAAUCUCGUGGAUGCGCUGAAGCCAAAGACGGCUCGCACAUCUAAAAGUAUAACUGGAUGUUACACCAAUACUUUUUAAUUAAUGCAAUAUUUCUUCUAUUUGUGUAAUAUUUUCCUGAUUGUUGCACUAUUUAAUAUUCCUGUGAAUAGGCGAAUGUUAAAAUCGACAAGCCCCCUAGCAGAAUCUCGCAAGUCGAAGAGACGCCUGGCGCGUGACUCGCCUACGACAAAGGCGGCUACGCAAGAAGCGAAGUAUGCCAAGCUGGAACCCAGCAUUAUAGAGGUAUGUGAAUCUUGCAACGAUACUUUUAAGUAAUGCGAUAUUGCUUCUAAUAGUGUAAAUAAGUGCAGCAAUGGUGUAGUUCCCUGAAUGUUGCACUCUUUGAUUGAUUUGUGAACAACCCCCAUUGAUCAUCAACAUCCCCCACUCAAAAGAUACAUCAAAAACAAAAAAGGCAAAAAACUGAAGGUUGCAAGCGACAUCGUCAAAGGAUUUAAAGUACUAUGGCAAGGGAGUGCUACAACAGGAGGAUCAGGAGCUCAUUGAAAAAUUGCUUACAAGCACCACCCAAGCGAUAAGAGUGCCUUCAAAAAGCAUUGACAUCGGGCGGAGUGACUUCGUCGAUCUUACAAGUCACAUGGCCUUCAUCAGCUCCGAUGUUACUGACUCAUACCAGCAUCUACUGGAAGAGGCAAAAGGCCAGAGGUGCAUAUACUCCUUGAGCUUCCUUUACCAGACCAUAGGUACAGCAUUUGGCGGCGAAAUAUUUUUGAAUGAUUUGACCAAGGGGGCGAUUAGUGACGCAAAGUAUUGAUUCAUCCCGCUCUUCGACUUCGAGCACUGGGACUUGCUGGCGAUUGAUCUCCAAGAAAGGAAGUACCUCCACUUCUUGUCGAUUAAAAACUCUAAAUACAACGCUCGGUUCGAAAAAGCGGUAAGUAUUGCCUUAAUAGUUUAAUAUUGUGCCACGAUUAUCCUAUUAUCUUUCUAAUUAGUGCAACAUUCUGUUAUGUAGUGUAACUUCAUAGAAAAUUUUUUGCAAAAUAAUUUUUCCAAUUUGUUUCACCGCUGCGACACCCGUCCCGUGAAAUGGGAGAAGAUCAACAUGGAAAUGAUACCAAUGCAAGUUCAGUCAAAUGAUUGCUCAAUCUUCCUUUUGGCUUACGAAGAAUACCUGCAGAAGGUGUGGAACAUGAACUUCUCCCAGAAUGAUGUGAUGAAGAAACGCGGCGAGAUAGCAGCAGAAUUUUUGCGGCUUUUUUACUCGUGAUGAUUCGAUUAACAAUUAUUUAAUUUAUUCAGCCUUUUUUUUCCACAUUUGAAGAUUUCGGUGUAAAUAUUCUCAUUUUUUUAGUUAUAAAUAAAUGAUUCAAAAUUUAUUUGUAAUGGUGUAACACAACAAGCAUUUACACCAACAAGCAUUUGCGCAUAUUUGAAAAAAAUAGUGUAAGUUUGUAUAUCUGUUAAGCAAGAUAGCCAAGUUGCAUUGCUGAAAGAAUGUUGAACUGUUAUCGUCUUCGUUACAGUAGUUACAAAGAAUGUUGAACUGUUGUCAUCUUCCUUACACUAUUUAUCAAAGAGUCUUGAACUAUUAUCGUCUUCGUUAUACUAGUUUUCAAAGAAUGUUGAACUAUUACAAUAUGGAUGGGAGGAUUUGCCGCGCUUUCCUGCGUUGCGCCUAUAGAUGUCGUCGCGUGAGGUGGGAACUCCAGAGGCUGCUUUUCUUUGGCCAGAGAAGGGUUCUUGCAUGACCGUUUGUUGUGCCCUUACCUUCGGCAAUUUCCGCAUUGCUUCUUUACCACGCCAUUAGAAAUUGACUCUCUCCGCGCAACCUUCCCUCUCCCCGAUUAUAUGCGCACGUUUGGCGGCCGUGGCGGAACGACGGUGCUUGGUAUUGGUGGCCAAUGCUCUUUGCCUCUGGUGGGGGGACGUAGUUGUUGUAGGUUGCGCGAUAAGUCAUGGUCUUGAACCAGUCCUCGACAAAAUCAUACAGAUCCCGUAGCCUACAUGAAAUUGCUUCCAUGGCGUGAUUACAUGGGAUGCCGUCAAUGUCCCAACGCUUGCAGGAACAUGUCAUUUUAGAAAGAUCCACAAUCUUUGUACUUUUUGGUGUGAUUACCUAGAUAAACACAAGCCAGGGAAAUGGGUGAGACAAAUAGUGCAACGAGUAGAGAUAUUGUCACGCCCCGGGACCGGCGGAGGCCCUCCCGGUAGCGUGCCCAGACCCGCCAUAUGUCUACACAUAUAAGGCGUCUACAAUAAAAGCGGAAGUAAAAGCGAGUAAUAGAACAAAUAGAAGGAGUGAAAUAACUAGCAACUAAUGAUAUCAGAGCGAGUAAAGUUCUAACAUCUACAUCAAAGUAGAGAGGUAAAGCUAGACAAUAAAAGAAAUCAUAAGUAGUACAAUAUCUGUCACUAGUACAAAAAUGGUGGUCUCUAGUACACUGGUAAAACCCUCAACCUCUCGCAAAAUAAAAUAAGACAUCGAGAGGUAGACCACCUAGCAACUCGUNCUGGGCAGUUUUCGCCCAGAGGGACCGGUCUCUCCCCAGCAGGGACCGGUCUCUCGCUGCGAACCCGAAAAUCCAACGUUCGGGAACCGGUCUCUCCCUGCGCGGGACCGGUCUCUCUGUGCGAAGGCGCGCUCGGGGACCGGUCUCGCCCGCCAGGGACCGGUUGCCUCAGGGCUGCCGCAACACUGUUCACUGGGGGACCGGUCUCUCCUUCCAGGGACCGGUCCCCGAGAAUAAAAACUCUCAAGACUUGUCCAGAAUUCCAGUUUUCGAACUUCUUAGGUCGGAAAACAUUCUACAACCCUCCACCAAGUGUGGAAAAGCUCGAAAUACACCCAAACACUCGAACCUUGCAAUUUGCAACGGUCCAGUGCGUUACAGAUAUAGUACAUAAAAACAUUACAAUAGUGCAACGUUAUGUGAUAUCACAUAAUACGUUUCGACAUUAGUGCAACUUAUGGUUAAAUAGUGUAAAUAAUCAUUAAAAUGGUACAAAAUAGUCGAUAAGGCCUGAAAAAGGACAUCGAUCGAAGGGUCCAGUGUGUAAAAGCGGGAUGCUGCUCUCGAGCUCUCUAUUGUCUUUUUUACAUACGGCGUUAAAACAGUGGUGAUCUUCUCUCCAGCAUUUUUUCUCUGGUAAAAAUACCAUGCUAGUUUCCUUCAUGUUUCCUCUACCAGGUAGGUAAUUGGAAAGCCCUUUAAAUGUCGUAUAAUAUUGUUUAUCGUCUCGGUACAGUUGGAAGUUAGCAUUGAAUAAUGUCUUCCAAGAAAGUUGUAGCACACUGAACUUUAGCAACUUGUAAGGUUCUAAUGUUAGAAUAGUAUUUUGCGUUAUUUUUGGUGUUUUUGAAAGUCGUUGACUGAGUGCCGACCUAUUGCUCGUAUUUCGAGAAUGCGAUAAGGAGUACUUAGCAACAAAAUCUGUAAAUUCAGGUUUUGGGGUGCCGAGUACCGGUACUUAGGUGAGGUACCGGAACCCUAUUGCGUGACCGAGAAAGCUGCUCUCGAGUUUGCGCUGAGAGGUGCUGAGUACCGGUACUGGGGUCAGGUAUCGGUACUCCCCUUCGAGUACCGGUACGCAAUGCAGAAACCGCAUUUCGUGCAAUUUGUUAUUUUUAGAGUUUUGAGGGGUCUUGAGGGAAUUGUUACAAUAUGUUUAUAAUACCCCCUCUCCCCCACAUGUCUCUCUUUGUGCUGAGCUUAGAGAGGAGCAAGGUAGGGUUUCUCCCUCCCUCUCUCUAGAUUUCUCUCCCAAACCUCUUUUUAUUUGAGAUUUGAUCUCUUUUUCUCCUUUCUUUUCAUGGUGGCUUGCUUGGUGAACCCUAGAGGAAGCUUGGAAGUGAAGAAAAGAGCUUGGUUAAGGAUCCAACUCCGACCCUAGCUCAAGUUAGCUUGAUUUGGAGCUUUCCUUGAGGUUAGUACUUAUCUUGCAACAUAACUCUCCUUUAGGUUGGAAUUGAAGCUCCAUUGGGUCGAUUUGAGCCUUGGACAAGUUUUAGUUGGUCAAAGGUAAUUUUCACCUCUUUUCCUUGUGAUUUUUGUUGAAUUUUGUAUGAUGUUCGUUCGAAGCUUGUAACCCUCUUAGAAAUUCUCUUAGGGUGCUAGAAGCUUAGUGGACAACUUUGUUCGAAGGAACGAAAGGAUUCGAGGAGUAUCCGGUGGGUUUGACCUCACCGAAAUGGGUGAACUCCCUCUAUGUCUUCCCUAUGGUUAUAAGACAUAAUUUGGUACAUAUUCAUGUUAAUUAGGACAUGGUAGAAUUUAUGGAUACAUGCUUCAUACAUGUUAUAUGUGGGAAAAUUUACGCUCUAUGAAGUAGAGGCUUACAACGUGGACUUGUGCAUUGAACAGCUCUUCAUGAUAAUUUUCCUCUUAUGUAAUCUUUGGAAGCAUGUUAGAGAUGAAUAAUAGUUCAUCCUUUGGAGUAUAUAUAGUGAAUGGAAUAGAAAAGUGAUUAACUUGCAUGAUGAACAAUAUACUUGUUGUUAGGGCCAAUAAUAAAUAGCCACGUGGCAUAUUGGUGCAUGAUUCAACCCGAACCUUUAGGAGCCAAGAGUAAAGGGGUUUUUGGUGCGCCAAAAGUACUGACAAAAUAAUUGCAAUAACCGCAAGGCAUAACUGCAAGCAGUUAUGAGCAGUUUUGAUCGGCUUGAAGUGGCCCACAAAAAUAGGGAAGUAGCCGAUCGUGGAGCAAUAACUGACCAACAAGGGCGGAUUAUAAAUAGGUAAAUAACGCCCAAAAAGGAGGUCUUUUCCCCCAGAAUAGAAGACCACUUUCAUUUUCUCUGCAUUUUAUUCACAUUUUCUAGGAGUAGUCUACUUGUAAUCUUUCCUUUUCUGCAUCUAUUAUUUUCCGUAGGAGUAGCUCUAAGUUAAAUAGAUUUUCAGAGUCUGUAUGCCUUAUAGGCAUACUCGAUCCUUGUACUAGCUUCCAUAUUUUAAUAUAUAGAAGGCAUUCGGCUCUUUCAACCGGCCAAUCACUGUGCAUUCCAUCCUCUUCGACUCAUUCAGCCGAACCUGUUCUACAGUAGGAAUUUCGAACUCGGCUGAUCCGAUCCCCCAUCAGUCGAAUUGCUUGAUCCAGUCGAAGGGCGCAAACUUCGAGGGUUACUAUUCAUAGCCGUUCCACAUCCCUACACUUUUUCGGGGGAGAUCUUUGACCAGGUCAAGGAUCAGGGAAUUCGGCCUGUAGCAAUUUUUGGCACGUCCAGUGGGACACAAUUUGGUAAAUUUCUUCUAUCUUAGAAACUAUGGCUGAUGAUAAUGCUAUGAAUUUACGUAAUAGAGUCGUUCCUCGAAAUUCGGAGAACGACCAUGCCAGCAAUUCCGAUAAUGUAGGAAAGCGUCAAGCAGUCUUACCGGUCGAAGGCGAGACUAGUGGUUAAUUUGACUAGCAAGAGCCAAGCCUGGUUCAAGCGCUUAGACAAAUGACGCGAGUUCUACAAGUAUUAGAUCAAAAUAGCCAUAGAAGUACUGCUCGAUUAGAUGCCGUUUUGGCUGCAAUCACGGCUUCUAAUGAGAAUAUCGCCCGAAUAGGGCAAUUAUUGACACGAAAUGAGCAACCUGUAGCAGGUCUACAAGGACCUGUAGUUGCACCAAUGUUACAAAAUCUUGUAACACCGGUGAGUGGUCAGCCUCAACAUCAGGGGGCACCUUUUCAAGCAGCUUAUAGACCGGCUUGUAAAUACCGGCAACAACCAGAGAUAGCCUGGGGAUUACCUCCUCCACUGCCAUUGGCAACAUAUCUGCCCCAAAAUGUAAGGGCUAGGUAUGAGAAACGGGGCAGAUAAAUUAGCAGAAAAUGCAGUGUCAGAAAAUUAUGAAAACCGGAGGAUAUGUCAGAAUUAUUUUUAUGAGACUAGAUUUAAAGUUUCAUACCAUUCUGACACCCGAAAAGUGAAAAGUAAAAUCCGACUACUAUCUGCUAGAGAUUACAGUUCGAUAGAGCUUUCGGUGACCAAACGGGGUCGAAACUGAAAGAUUACAAAUUUUUUCGUUAAGUUAAGCAAAACCGAGCAUGACUGUCAAAUUUGAGCUCAAACAGACAUUCAGAAGGGCAGGCGAAAAAUAUUUGUACCUGAGCUGAAAACUGAGGGUUGAAUAGUGUAUAGUUGAGGGGCUAAUUUGUAAAACGGACUUAAUCCCUUUGUUUCUUCUCCUCCCUCAACCGUGCAGCCACAACACCACACACACACAUACGCAUACAUGGAAGGAGAGAGAAACCUCCCUUUCUCUCUCUAGAUCUCUCCCAAAAAUGGAUGGAUUGGUGGAGAUCGAAGCUUGGAGAUGGAUUGUCUUCAUCUUUUUCAUCUUCUCCUUGGUUUAGAGCAAGCUUUGAGGUGAGCUUCUUGAGCCCUCUCAUGGUAGAUCUUUAGAGCUUCAUUUAUAAAACUCUAGAAAUGGGUUUAAUGGAAUCCUAGGAUGUUAAAUGAGUGUAAAUUGUAUGAAUCAAGUUCCAAUUUGGGUAUUCUUGCAAUAGUAAACACCUAGGGCUUAAAAAUGGCAUUUUUAACUAGUAGAUGGGUUUGAUCUAAAUUGAACCUAUGUAAACCUAAUUGCUACCUAUACGAACGCGUUGACGAAGUCGGUUCGGUGAUUCGUCGAGCCGGUGCGAAGAUAUUGAAGAAACGGCGUUUUUGGCUUCAUUUCCGCCUGGAGGGCCGAGGUAGCGUCUAAAAAUUAUGAAAACGGAUUUGGGGCACCGUGGCGGCUAGCUGUAGACCUAUAAUUUUCGGGGCCGCGAGUUGGUGCACGGUUGAUGUGCAAUUGCAGGAUUGGGCCGAGCCGCGUGCCGCGGGAGGCCGAUUGCAAGUGUCGACAAGCAAUCGGAACGCGAAUCAAAGUAGGUUGUGCUCACCGAAGUGACUAGGUCGCCUCCAUGUCGAAGUGGAGUAUGAUUUUCUAUUUGAUGCAUAUAGGUGUAUUGGUAGGCUUAUAUGAUAAUAUGAAUGUUUGAAAUAUGUUAUAUAGUUGAUGUUGCCUACCGUUGAGAUGAAAUGCAUAAUGACAUAUAAUAUAAAUGCUAGAUGAAUGCGUAUAAUGUGUUGAAUGCUAGAUGAAUGCAUAAGUUAAUUGUCACAUGAAUGCAUGAAAAUGAUGUUAGAGGAAUGCAUGAAAAUGAUGUUGUAUGAUGCAUGAACCAUAUUAUACUAGAUGAGAAUAUGCUAGAUGGAUGCAUAAUUGCAUGUUGUAGUACAUGCUAGAUAAAAUGUGCAUGUGGAUAUCUAUAUACUAGAUGGUAUAAGAAUGUCGAUAUUGUGAAAUAUAUUAGAUCGAGUGGCAUGUGAAAUACGAGUGUAGCAUUAACACUAUGAUAUGGUUUGGAACCCUAUAAUGAGAUGGUAAAUGUGAAUUGGACCCUAGGUGAAUGAAAACCUAGUGAAUAUGCAAGUAGUGUAUCGAGAACAUCUAAUUGAUAACGAGUGGCAUCUAGUUAAUGUAAACCUAUGACAAGUGGCAUAUGAGUACCCUAGUGUAGUUGAAACACUAGACCAAUGAGUAUAGUAGUACAUUGAUCCCAUGAUGAUGCCAUCCCUAGUUGGUAAGGUAUCCCCGGUUCACAGAGAUUGGAUCGUGCUCACAUAGCCUGUCUGCGCUUGCCGUGGUCGCUCCACACAAGCUGUGCACUCUGGAGUUUAAACACACAAGGGGCAGUCGUCGUGUGCUGCCUGGACAGCCGCUAGCUGUCCGCAGGCGGUCUCGAGGAUAGUUGAGCAGUGAGACUCCUCCCCUAUGAGACUUAAAAAUGUGAGAUUGCGGGUGAACCUUCGGGUUAGCCAAGUGAUUGGGUAAUCACAUGAGCUGUAGCAAUAUCCUAGUUGAGUGGAUUUAAGGCUGAGGUGCAAGUGAGACGUCCUUCGCCUCGAGCCUGGCUUUACGCGGUACUCCGCAAAUGAUUGACUCAAGACCGAGUCGGGUGGAUAGUUGAUAAAGGUAAAUGAGACCAUAUGAUCAGAAUUUUAAUUGACACGAAUUUAAAAUAGAGGAAUAACUUCGAAAUCAAUUGGAUGAGCUAUGAAUAGCAGGAUUGAAAGUAGUAUCGAUUGAUCUACUAGUUGGUUGCAUAAAUCACAUGAUUUUCAUAUUGCAUGAUUGUGAGGCAUUAUAUAUAUAUAUAUAUAUAUAUAUAUAUAUAUAUAUAUAUAUAUAUAUAUCUGUUGGAUAUUUGUUCGACUAACAUGUUGCAGUGCCUCCCUGGACCUGGUGGGUCGAGCUCUUCUCUUGGAUGGUCGUAUCUACUGGGAACUAUAUUUAUAUAGUUCUCACCCCCAUGUUGCUUUUGGGGGUACAGGUUUGCACGUGAGCGGCGCGACGGCGCGAAGAGAGGGCGUAGCUCCGUAGAUAGUGCCCUACCACCGAGACCAGAGAUAGCGGUACCUCGAGUCAGCCUAGCUAGGGGUGUAGAAGAAAAGAAAAGAAUAAACUUGUGAGAAAACAAUGUUGUAACAAUCUUGUUUGUAUUUUGAAGAAAAGAAAAACGAAAAUGUAAUAUGUAAUAAGCAUAUAAUGUGAAUGGUUGUAAUAGUCUAGUUGUUUAUAUUUUUUGAUACUUCCUUAUGCAAUCUGUACGCUUGAUUUCAGUUCCUGGUUGGAACAUCGUGAAUUGUAUCGAUUGAGACGCCUAGGACGUAUAGGGGAGACUCUGUCCGUUCGGCGGUCUGUCGGCGUGCCCAAACCCGACCAAAUAGGCGGGGCUCGGGGCGUGACACUAGGGCCGGGGGGCAAGCCCCCGAAUAUGCAGGGGUUAAUCCGGCAGCGCAGAAUUUCGGGUUACCACCAGGACCGAAUCCAAUUCAAGCACAGGCACCUGUUCCAUUACAAGCUGCAAUGCGGCUUGUAUUUAGAUCACCUUACCCUACCAAUAUAGAUAUAAAACAUCCCUAUCCGGCAAAUUGAAAAAUGUCGAAAUUUGAUAAAUUUUCUAGCGACGAGACCGAAAAUACGGUCGAACACGUCGCACGGUUUACGGCUCAAUACCGAGAGGCCGCUGCUGAUCCUUUUUUGAAGCUCAAGUUAUUUAACAUUUUGUUAACCAAGACUGCAUUCACUUAGUAUACAAGUUUACCGGCCAAUUCGAUUCGAGAUUAGGACGAAUUGGAAAGGAAAUUUUAUGAACAGUUUUACAGGUCAGAGCCGUAACUUUCGGUCGCUGAUCUAGCUCAAUUCAAGCAAAGAAUAGGAGAAUCGGUUGAAGAAUAUUUAAACCUAUUUAAGAGGGCUAGGAUGUCACGCCCCGCGACCGCCCGCCUAUUUGGCCGGGUCGCGGCGCCGCAAUAGACCGCCGAAUGGACAGGGUUUCCCCUGUACCGCGGACAGAGUCUCCCCUGUACAUUCAAGGCGUAGCAAUCAAUACAAUGUGCAAAGUUCCAACCAGGAACACAUUUCAAUCAAGAUUGCACAAUGGAAGGUAUCAAACAACAUAACACAUCCUAUAUUAUUACAUUCAUUCAUAUUCAUGUAUUUUACAUCUCAACUACCAUUCCUUUUUCACCCAAAUGCAAUCUAAAUUAUUACAACAUUUAUAUCUUUAAUACAUCAUGUUACAUUGUGUUCUUUUCAUUUCUUUAACCCCUAAGCUAUGUCGACGGGGUAUUGCUAGCUCUGGUCUCUGGGGUAGGGCGCUAUCUAUGAUGCUACGCCCUCGCUUCGCUCCGCCGCGCCGCUCACGUGUGAACCUGUAAACACCCCAAAACCACGUAGGGUGAGAACCAACUCCAUGGUUCCCAGUGGGUACGGCCACCCAAGGGAGAAGCUCGACCAAUAGGUCCAAGGGAGGCAACUGCAAGUUAGUUCAAUAAACAGAUAGAUAUAUAUCUUGAUUAUGCAACGAAUAAAACCAUGCAUUGCCUCACGAAUGCAAUAAUGUAAUGCUAUAUGCAAAUCAUGCAAUAAUGCAACUAUGCAACCAACUAGUAGUUCAUUCGAUACUACUUUCAAUUCUGCUAACCAUAGCUCAUCCAUUGCCAUCUUGAUAUUUAAGGUUUCCUCUACAUAGAUUCUUGUCAAUCACCGUUUAAUCAUGAAGUUCAUCUACCUUACAAGGCUAACGCACCCGACUCGGUCUUGAGUCAAUCGUCUGCGGAGUACGCGCACUAGAACCAGCUCGAGGCGAUGGACGUCUCACAUACACCUCAGCCCUAGAUCCUCUCGACUAGGAUACAAAUCCAUAACUCAUAAUGUAUACUCGUUGUACACUCAUUUGCUAUGACCCAAUCUUACCGUUAACCAUGUUAACCCCAAUAACUCACAACAAAUCCCUUAAUAACGGGGGACUCGAACUCCCUAGGGACCGUCAACUGUGGGACUUUACACACGCCCAGUGGUGACCAACUCCCCGGAGCGCACCGCCCGAGGGGGAGCUACCUCCCUCAAGCCAAGACUUAUCGUGAGUGUCGAUCCAAUCCUCAACUUGAGGAUACAUAGCCAUCUAGUCACAAUGCCAAUUCACAAUAGGUUUCUACCUAUUUAUCAUGCCACUCUAUGUCAACUUGGACCAAUGUCAAUAUGGUUAAACUAUGUUUACAAUCACUUUCUUGAUCCAAUCAUGUCUCUAUUGUCAUUGCCACCCUUGUUUCUACUAUGUUCAAGUCCACACUCUCACAUUUACACAAUAAUAGGUCUAACAUACAUGAAUGACACCAGAAUAUAUAUGAUCAAUCACCACAAGUGUUUGCUAGUUCAAGAUGCUAGAUUUAAUCGCCACUCGAUCUAAUAUAUAUAUAGAUUGUCCACUAUUGUUCCAACAACAUGAAAAUGUCAUCAAGUAUGUUUUUCUAUUUAACAUAAUCCACAAUAUUAAAUUCAUAAUAUAUCAUCAUGCCAUAUACACUAGCAUCACAUGAUUUGUCACUACAUAAUAGUCAUUUACUCAAAAUAGUCCAUCUUAGCAUCUCAUGCAUUCUUUUAAGCACUUAUUCAUUAUGCAUUACAUUUAGCAUUCUAGUAUGUUAACAUCAUUCUAUUCACAUUCUUAUAUUAUGUCGUAUGCAUCAAUAUGAAAUCUCAUUUCUUAGACAUAAAGGGACCUAGUCGCUUCGGUAAACACAACCCACCUCAUUUCGCAUUCCGAUUGCUUGUCGACACUUGCAACGCCGCCCGCGCACCCGGCACCCGGUUUGGCCGAUCUCCCACGCGACCACCCGAACGGCCUCUAAUCACGAUCCGAAAAUUAAAGGUCUUCGUUAUGUGCACGAUGCUUCAAAUCCAUUUUCAUGAAUUUACGGUACGCCGGCCUCCCGGCGGACCCGAAGCCUAAACCUCCAUUUUUUAAUAACUUUGUAACGGCUCUCGGAUUGCCGAACGUCUUCGCCAACGCGUUUCGUUACCUAGCAAUUUGGUUUACGGAGGGUCAAAUGAGAUCAAACCCUCAUAUUUGAAAGUUUGCAUUUGAGCCCUAGUUUACAACUAUGCAAGAAAUCAUUAAAUUGCUCUAUGAUUCAAGCGUAAUCAUCUAUUAGCAUCAAUGGGUUCCACUAAAACUAUUCCAAGCAUUUAGACCUAUCUUUAGAGAUCUACCAUUAAAGCCCUCAUUUUGGAGCUCUAGGUUUCAAUAGGUAAAAUCCACAUUAGAGCCUUGAAUUUCAAGUCAUCAAACCUCUAAUUAGCAUGCUAGAAUACCUCUAAAUCCAUUCUAGAGCUUAAAAACCAAACUAGAGAGAAAAUGCCAUUAAAGGGUUUGAAGCUUACCUUCAAAACUUGCUCUAAUGGAGAAGAAGAAGAUAGAGAAGAUGAAAAUCCAUACUUGAGCUUCAAUCUCCCAACCCUCUCCUUUUGGGAGAGUUUAGAGAGAGAAAGGGAGAAUCUCUCUCUCCUCCAUGUACGUGGUGUGUGUGUGUCGUGUGCGUGUGUGGUGUGCGGCCGAAGAGAGAAGAAGAAGCAACAGCUUCUUAAUAUACCCCACAACUAUUCAACUCCAGCAGGGCUUAAAAUCUGAUACCUUUCGCCGGAGCUCCCUGAAUGUCCGUUUGAGCUCAAACUGACAGCAUGUGUUUACUUAACUUAACAAGCUGACGAUCGCGCUGUGUCAGUUUCGACCUCCGUUUGGUCAUUGAAAACUGUACCGAACUGUAAUCUUUAUAGAUAACUGUCGGAUUUUAUUUCUCACUCUACGGUGUCAGAAAAAUAUGAAACCUUAAAUCUAGCCCAUAAAAAUAUUUCUGACAUCUCUGCCAAUUUCAUAAUUUCUGAGACUGUGCAUUUUCUGCUAAUUUAUCUGUCCCGUUUCCAACAGAAAAUUCUAGAUCUUCUGUUUUCACUUCCGAUUUCAGCAUAAGUCACCUUCUGACUCAUGUUUUACUUCUACAAAUCCAAUAAAAAAUAGUUUCUCACACUAUUUUUAUUGUAUUUUUAUUUUUAUACCAAAUCUGGUAUGUUACAUUCUCCACCCCUUAAAAGAAUUUCGUGCCGGCGAAUUCAAAUCACUCCUCAAUUCAGCUCCGUGAGCAAUUGAGGGUACCAACUCAUUCUCCCACUUCCAGAGGCUUCACACUAUCGUGGUUCCAAAGCGCUCAUACUGAAGGACGUGGGUUAACCUAACUCAUUUGCAAAGUGUGAUACAAACGUGCAUCACGGUCUUGCAAGUCAUAGUGGCAGCGAAGUCGGUAACUCGACGACUCUACGCGCUCCAACACCACUCGCCACUCGUACACAAAUCUCUUCUUUGCACUGGCCUCCCUUUUGGGAAUACAUUCCAAUUCGAUCACCGACAUUGCUUAGAACAAUGUCACCGUGCAUCACUCCGUCGUGAGUGCUCUAAUUUUAGCACUGACCCUAAACGUUAACGUGAGAUGCCUAUCUUAGCACAUCCCAAUUCCAAUCCCAAGUCCACUGGCUACUAACUCGCUCAAGUCUCACCAAGAGCACUUCAUCUUCUGAUACUAUAGCCACGGUCAACAUUCGAACUACUUUCGCAACGAGCUCACGCGAGCGCUUCGGUUCAUAAUUCGAGUCGAAUCCCCGAUAAGGCUAUCCGCCAAAUCACUCUCUUCGGUCUCCACAGGUAGACCAGGCCACCAAUCCUACGUAGCCUACACACCUAAACUGUCUCAAUAACGCAGCGUCUCUCGCUCGCAAAUGCAGACCCAAUCUUGAUCGGGCGAAAUUCUCACUUUGGGAAUUCGCACACACUCCAACAGAGCAAUUAAGACCCACAAACCACGCUCAAGUCCUACAGGUUAGGGUCAACAACCAUACUCGUGUACAUCGUCACACAACUUAUCACGUGGCAUUCCACGCUCCUGGCCUAAACUCGGACUACCGUCCUGACCAGCCUGCCCUACCGUAGUACCGGCCGCUGUCACUCACAGCUGACUGCGCAUGCCCAAUGGGCCCAGGCCCACAGUCCACAAAUGCCUCCAGGCACGGUCGUCCCCCAAGCACUACCCGCGUCGUGUCGCUAACACGCACACUCUCUACCGAGUCACACGUACCAAUAUCGGUUCCUAUCACCUAGUGCAGAGUCACCAGUCCCAUGAGUGAUCCAUGGCACGCUUCGCACCUAGCAAGCUCAAGUGCUACUUGCCAAUACACUCUCUCGCUGAAUUCACAUCCGCACUCUAGCACGGGUAUCUACAUCGAGCGCUCUAACGCCUCUACAGCUUCCACAGUAACCUAGCAUUAGGCAAUCUGCCUAUGCAACCGACCGCACGACACCAUCGCCUACACUCACAUUGGAGUCUACUAGGCCCACUCUCAACAUUGGCCACUAAUCGACCGUUCUCCUCAACAGUGAUGCACUUCACUGUUCGAUUCUACCGGAAUGACAUCCGAAAUUUCGACUACUCGGCGCCAUAGGCAUUAUGGCUCGACUCUCGCAAUUUACUACUCAAUAUGCUCUAAGAGUCAUUCUCGACACUUCUAUCUCUACGCGAGUCUCUACUUUCUCGCCAUAGAUUACUUCUAAACACUUCGGCUAGUGCCAUUCUGCUUUAUACCUGUAACUGGCAGGGUACUACGCCCUCACAUAAUACAAAACUCUAUUUCUAGAGCAAUCAAUCUAUCUCUAGAAAUCACAUGAGAGACAGCUUAGAAGCUUACCUCUCCAAGAAGCUCCAACCAAGGAAGAUGAAGAAGAUAAGGAAGACAUCCUUCUUCUCUCUUUCUUUCCUUUCCUUACUUCUUCCUCUUCUUGUCUUUUAGAGAGAGAAGAGAGAGAGAUAUGAGAGGGUGUGUGGGUGAGAAAUAAGAGAGAAAAGAGCCUCUCAUACCCUACAUAGCCCCACAUGUUGCAUAAGUUCAAACAAGGCCCUCAACUUUUCUCNNNNNNNNNNNNNNNNNNNNNNNNNAAAACAGACUAGUGAGUAUGAUCCAAUCCUCUCAAGAGGAUACCCUAUCUACUAGGGUCAAUGUGCCUCUGCUGCACAGUCAUGAUAUAUAAUCAAGGUUGGGGACUUCUACUAUCCCUAAGUUCAUGUCAUGUUUACUACGCUAGACUCGAUGCCACUCGUUCGAUCAUUGUAGUAAAUUUUCUACUAGUUGACAUGCCAUUCGUUCAAGUUUAGUGUUUCUACUACACUAGUUCAAUACCACUCUACUAGGCUAUGUCCAAGUUCGGAUCUUUAUGCCGCUAUAGGAUUCUAUGUCACAAGACCCAAUCCUCAUGCUAUCUUAGUCCACGUGUCAAGCUCACCCUGCUACACUACCAAGAGAGCAUGCAAGGAAAUGGAAUGUACAACUACUAUUCCUAUAGCACAAUAUAAUCAAUAUAAUUAACUUAGACAUAAAAAGAAACCCGGAUGCUUCGGGAUGACACCCCCCACCUCUUGAGGGUAUGAAGGCUCUAGAAAUGCCCUCCAACGGACGUUGCGACGAAGUCUUGGUCUUCUUGAUCCAAAAUAACGCUAAAUCGGCCUUGUUUUGCCGAUAGCUCUUGACCCACUUGACGAAUACGAAAUCCGACUUCGCACCAGCAUUUUGGCACCUACCAAUUAGGUUAGAGGAGGGUCAAAUGAGAUCAAUCCUCUACUUUUCCAAAAAUCCCAUUUUGGUGCCCUAGGGUUAGCAUCAAGCUAAACCCAUCUCAAAACCCUAGAUUCUAGCUCCAAUCUUACCAUUCAUGGUGCUAGGGAUCCAUUUGAUCCCAUCCAAAGAGCUAAAACCCAAAAACUCCAAAUUUCACAAGCUAGGGUUAGAAGCUUACCUCUAGGUUAGCUUAGAAGAGAGAAGAGAGGAAGAGGAAGAAGUCCAAAGCCUUCUUUUUCUUGAUCUCCCUCUUCUUCUCCUUCCUUUUCUUCCUUCUUUUCCUUCUCUUUUCUUCUUCUUCUUCUUUUUCUUCUUCUCUUCUA
Molecule: long non-coding RNA, 95525 nt
Filed under: Ananas comosus (pineapple)
Lineage: Eukaryota; Viridiplantae; Streptophyta; Magnoliopsida; Poales; Bromeliaceae
Description: long non-coding RNA (ACOM_LNC033320)
Source: RNAcentral